RNAcentral lists this long non-coding RNA (119893 nucleotides) under Coffea arabica (coffee). RNAcentral describes it as "long non-coding RNA (CARA_LNC002445)". Lineage: Eukaryota; Viridiplantae; Streptophyta; Magnoliopsida; Gentianales; Rubiaceae. The record is from RNAcentral.
UUUUUUUUUUUUUUUUUUUUGCUUUUCUGAUAAAAGACUGGGCUGUUAAAAUUGUUUUCACUCCCACCAUCAAAUAGUCCAUCCUCUUAAAAAAAAAAACUAAAAUUAAAAGACUCCGGGCCCAACAAUGUUGAGUACGGGUUAAUUACCUUUACCUCCUUGAAGUAUAGCUAAUCUACAAGUGAUGUUUGGCUGGUAACCAAAAAUUAAUUGUUUUUUUUUUCAAAUGAUAAAAUAUUUUAUAUAUAUUGAACUUGAAAAUACAAGAUAUUAGUUACAAAAGAGGACAACUUGUCCUAUUAUCCUCCUGUAUACUUUCUUGAAGUCACAGGGGAAAACUUUGCUUCCAUGUAAUGUUGGAAACAAGUUUGUUGCAAAUUGUGCCAUUUUAUGUGCACAUCUAUUUCUAGCUCUAUACACAAAAGAAAAAGUAUAGUAUUGGAACAUGCCACUCAGCUGUCCUAUAUCUUCCAUUAUGGUUGCUAUUGGUGAUUCCUCUUUGCAUCCCUUUUGGAUUCUUUCAAUGACAGCUUUGCAAUCAGACUGCACCUCAAUUCUUUGCCACCCUGCUUCUUUGGCCAUUUCCAGUCCCUACCGGAUUGCAUCUGCUUCCUAUAAUUCUGCUCCACAUUUACUUUUUUUUCUGAUACCUCUAACUUCAAUGAGGUUUCCAUUAUUGUCUCUUGCAAUCAAUCCUAAUGAUAGGGUAUAAUUUGUUAGUAAUUUUAUUAUUAAUUUCCCCUUUUAUCCCUGAUAAAUAUUGUGUUAAUUGCUGAUAUCUACUCAUAUUUGGUACCUGGACUUAAUUUCAGGAAUGAAACAGAAAACUACCAAAAAGGAGGGAUUUUAUGAAGAAUAUGGAGACUUCUAAGGGCUUCAAUCCUUGGGCCCUUGGAUUGGUGGGGACCACAAAGCUAUAAGUCAUUUGGGCUUUUCAAAGAAGGCUACAUAAAAGAGACUUGGAACAAGAAGUACUUUGGAGGCUUUGUCCACAUGUGUGGGGACCACCUAGAUAGCUUUAGUCUAUCUUUCUUUUGUUUCUUAAAUAGGGAUAACGUAGGGAAAGAAGACAUCUCUAGUUUUAGUUUUUCUUUUAGUUUUAGUUUUUAGCCUAAUCUUUAGUUUUUUUCCUUUCCUUCUCCUGACUGGCCUCUGACACACGCCAGGUGUUCGACAAUAUUCCCCAACGGGAAAAACACCUUUUAUUCCUUACUUCCUAAUAGAAAACGCAAUGCCUUUGCAAUUUAUUAAUUCGUGUGGUGAUUUCAUUAUGCGGCGUGGCUAAGCCUUCCAUCUAGUCAAGGGUCAACUCGACGGCGCAGUCCCGAAAAUCUGUGAGAUCUAAUUAGUUUUCACGUGUUCCUUAAUUUAUUAAUAUUUGCACGUUGUCUGCUUGAAUUUUCAUGGGAUUAUUUUAUUAAUUGGAUGUCAAGGGCCAGAUGUUCAAUGUGAUUUAUUAAUCUCGUGCCAAUUUAGUCAAUUAAAUCCGUAAUUAUUUGAUUGAUUAAUAUUAGUGGCAACUGGUGUGUUUACACAUUAGGGGAACGUGCGAUCUAAUUUAAAUAACCCUCGUAGCGUGUUAUUGAUUAGGGCUAGGUUUUUCUAGUUAUUAAUGCAAUUGGAAAAUUACUUCCUAUGGUCGUACCUAGGAGCAUUUGCUGAUUAGGGGUAAUCAACGGUCGUACCUUGGUUAUCAAUAAUUUAAGGAAAAAUUGGUCGUCAGACUAUAACUAGCCUAUUAAUACAUUAAGUGAACAUCUCUUGCAUCAAUGAUCGGAUGAUUGGACUGUGCCAGAGUAGUUGCGUCCUUGGCUAGAAUUUAUUUAUUCUUGAUUUAAUUCCUGCUAGAUUUGUGCUAGUUAAUUAUUUAUUUUUAGUUGGAUUGUUUAAUUAUUUUUAGUUGCCUAUCCGUGAAAUCCCCCUCUUACCAAUUGGAUUUUAAAAGAGACAAAUAUCUCCAGUCCCUGAGGAGACGACCCUAUUUGCCACUGUCUAUUAUUUAGUAAAUUUCGUCAAUUACUCAAUUCUGGUAUAUCGGAUUCAGCAAACUCUUCGAGAACAGGGUGAAUCAAGUAACCCAUUGCACACCUAGAGUCCCUGCUCCAGUACCUAGGAUUAAUUAUUGACUGCUUUUAGUGGUAGCUAGGUUCUAUAUUUAUUAUUAUUAUUGCACAGGCUGACGACCUGUCACCUAAGCCUGCUCCGGCCAGUGCAGCAGGUACUGCCGCAUCAGUGUUGAUCAUCACCACACCUGCAUCUGGUGGUCUCCACUAGUGGUUUUGCAUCUGGUGACCUGUUCCUGUUCUGUGCUUUCCAUCAUUGCCAAAUUGCUUUUCUUGAAACUCCAGCCACUCUUUCUUUGCAUGAUCUAAGAUUGACAUGUGAUCCUUGCAUUUUCCAUUGAACUGGCAUGCAUUUCUGGCCUUCCAAAUUUGCCAGAUUAUGUUUGCUGUUAAUGUAAUAUGGUCUUCUCCUUGCAGUCUUUUCCUAGCAUUUAAUAUACCUUGCCACCAUCUCCAGAAGUUUAAUCUCCAUUGUAAUAAUCCAUCCCAUUGUAUUGGGGCCAACUUCCAUAUAAUGUCUGUAUUUCUGCAAAAAAAAAAAAAAAAAAAUCAUAUGUUCCACUGUUUCUUCCACUUCACUACAACACUUGCAUAAUGGAGACCCUUUUCCUAUUCUUUUGUGUAUUAGUUCAUUCACAGGAAUGCUGGUGUGUAAGCAUCUCCAUAUGAAGUGCUUGAUCUUUUCCUUCAACUUCAGUCACCACAAACUUUUCCAUACUUUUUCCUUGUGUUGGGAAUAGCUGGUUCCUUCAGUGCCUUGAUCUACCUGUCCUCUUUGUCUUACCUCCUUCUUUUCCACUGCAUGUCUAGAUUUCACUAUGUAUGCUCCUAAUUUGAGUAUUUCCAGAGACCAUAUCCUUCCUGGGAAACAUACUUAGAGGCAUUCUCAGUAUUUGUUUAGCUUCCACCCCUGAGAAAGUCCCCUCUGCCAGCUCCUUGUUCCAUGCCCCAUCUUUAAUCAAGUUUGCUAUUGUUUGCAACUGAUAGUCUUGGGGUUUUUGUGUUUCUAUUUUCCCUGUAGGUGUUCCCACAAGCCAUUUGUCCAUCCAGAUGUUUAUGUUGGUCCCAUCUCAUCUCCCACUCUCUUUCACAUACCCUUCUGAAGAACAGUUCUAGAACUAUAAAUACUUCUCCACACCCAAGAUGCAGGACUUCUCCCACCAGGUUUAUUGGUGAUAUUUUGUAUUUUGUUGUCAGCACUUUGCUCACCAAUAAGUCUGGUUGAAGUAAAAGUCUCCGCAGUUGCUUUGCUAAUAGAGCACUAUUAAAAUGUUUUAGAUCUCUAAAUCCCAAACCUCCCUUUCCAUUCACCUGUGUAAUUUUCUCCCUAACUUAUCCAUUGCAUCUUUUUGUCCUCUUCACCUUAACUCAAUUCAAUAAAUGUCGCGCAUUCACAGCCAUUGACAGCAAGGGAGACGUACAAUUGUUUAAGGCACUGUUUGGAUUGAAGGAAGGGGAAGGAGAAGAAAGGAAACUAGAGGGCUUCAAUGGAAAAAAAUCGAAAGAAAUAGAAGAAAGCAGAUUUUAUCUACCUUGUUUAAAUUCAGUACUAUAAAAAAGAAAGAAAAUAUAAAAAAUAUUGUUUGGAUUAGAUAAGGAAUGGCAAGAAAAUAAAACUAUUACAUAUUAGUUAUGUUUUUAUUCAUAAUUUAAAAUCGAAUUUGUAGACACCUUGAUUUGUUAGAAUAUUUUAAAAUGUUCAUUAAUCUUGGUUUCUUUUCCCUCCUUUUCCAUUCAUUUUUAGAUGGAAAGUAGGCUGAUAAAAAAGAAAUAGGCAUCAUUCCUCUAUUUUCCUCUCUAUCCUUGCCUUUCCCUCCUAAAAAACCAAUCCAAUCAUUAAAAACCUUAUCCCUUUCUUUUCUUUCUUUUCCUUUCCAUCCUUUUCCUUUAAAACAAACAGUGCCGUAGAACAAUUAACCUAAGCUAUCAGACUUGGAGAGUUACACAAAGCAUUAGCUGAUGCCGUAAAAGUGAACAAGCAUUCACAUGCAUACUGCCUUAAGGUAUUAAGAGCUCAGUGUGGGUGACAUAUAUCUAUAUCUGUAAAUUUAGGUAAAUUAGAUAUAGCGCCCUAUGAUUUUAUCCAUUGUCAUAUGAUCAUUGUAAUAUUUCAAAAUAUUCACUAUAACUCUCUGUGAUUUUAUAAAAGGUAAAAAUAAGUAAAAAUUAACCUUUGUAACAUCAUUUGUUUAAAUAUCUGGUAUCAUCCUUAUUUAAACCCUAACACUCUCUUGCAUAAUACCAUAGGAGGAUUAUAAGGAUAAAUGCAAAAACUAAGGGGAAUAAAAUGAAUAUCCAUGCAAAUCAUAGAGGUAGGGGAUAAAUAAAUAUUAUGAUCCCAUAACACGCCUUUUUGAAGAGUGCCCUAUUCUUUUUUCUUUUCUUUUUUUUUCCACAAACGUUAACCGUUAUAUAUAUAUGAUAAACCCUUGAUAAUACAAGAAUUAAUUACAAAAAGGGCUACUACCCUCAUUUGCUUCCUCACUAAAUCCAUCAGCCAAACUGGGAAGUCUUGUUCCCAUUCAAUAUCAUCCACUAGCUGUAUAGCAAACUUAGCUAGAGCAUGGCUGAUUUCAUUCUCUGUUCUAGGUAUAAACACAAAACUACACCUUUCAAAAUGUGUUGUCAAAUCCUGCACAUCUUCCAGAAUAGUUGCAAUGUUAACAUCAUACUCAUUGCCUCUAUCUAUCUGGUCUAAAACUGAUUUGCUAUCGGAAUGGAUUUUAAUUUUAGUCCAUCCUACCUGCUUAGCCAUCAGCAUUGCAUUUCUAAUUGCCAAAGCUUCUUCUUUCAUUGGUUCCCCCUUAUAUUGAUUGACUAUUACCUUUGCUUUCAUGAUCAUUCCGUUCCACUUUCUUGCAACAAUUCCUUGUCCCGUCCUCAUCAUCCUUGCUGAUAUCGCAGCAUCCGUGAACAGGCAAACGUCAUCGUCCCUUGCUGUUUGUCUUCGUGUUUGAUGCUCCCUGAUGUUGUCCGUAGCACUCUGCUCUAUUUCUUCCACCCUUGCUUGCUCAUAUUCCAACCAUUCCACUUGUGCCUUUGAGACAAUGUUCAGUGGGUUCUGGAAUUCAUUGUCAAAAACUCUUCUGUUGCGAGCUUUCCAGAUUUGCCAAAACAGGUUGAUGGUGAGGCUCACUCGCUCAGGUCCACAGUCCUUUGAAGUAGAUUUAGUGGCUUCCCCCCACCAUAACCACAGAUUGUGUUGUUUAUCCACUAAUCCAUCCCAUCUUACCGGUGCCAAUUUCCAAACAUCCUUCGCAUUCACACAAAAAAAGAGUAAAUGUUCUAUGGUUUCCAUGCCUUCACCACAACAGCUACAUCUCCCCUCUCCGCGUCCAAUCCUUUUGAAAAUUACUUCAUUUGUUGGUAAACAAGUUUGCAAGCAUUUCCACAUGAAAUGUUUCAGCUUGGCCUUUACCUUUUGAUGCCACAGAUUCUUUCACACCGUGCGUUUUCUAACUUCCCAACUUGUCUCAGCAUUGUGUGUUCGAUUUCCACUGAUCUGAUUUUCCUCCUGCCUUGCCAUUGCAUAUCCUGUUUUCACCGUAUAUGCUCCAGUCUUUGAAAAUUUCCAGAUCAGUUUGUCUUUUCUCCUUCCUAUGCUGGUGGGAAUAUGUUCAAUGAGCUCAGCCUCUUUGUUUCCAAACCAUGUCUGCAAAAUUUCUGUUUUCCAUCUCCCAUCUUCAAUCAACUCACUCACCCAAGUGAGGUUGCACCCCUCAGGUUUUGCAGUUUCCACCUUACCAUCUUCGGACCCUAUUAACCAUUUAUCAUUCCAGAUACUUACUGUUCUUCCAUCACCUAUCCUUUUCCAUAGUCCAACAAACAACAAUUUUUUUGCACUAUGUAUGCUUUUCCAGCUCCAUGAUGCGGAGCCAGGAGGACUUUUGUUCAUCCAAUUGGGAUCCAUCAUGUAUUUCGCCUUCAUCACCUUGCUUACUAACAAAUUUGGAGCAGUUAGAAAUCUCCAAAUUUGUUUUGCAAGCAAGGCAGUGUUAAAGGCUUCUAGGUCCCUGAAUCUAAUUCCUCCUCUUCCCUUUACUUCUGAAAGUUUCUUCCAGCUUGCCCAAUGAAUACUUGCCUCUCUUUCUCCUUUGCCCCACCAAAACUUUGCAAUUUUCCUAGUAAUAUCUCUACAUAAUCCCUUUGGGAGCCUGAAGCAUGCCAUUACAUAUGUUGGCAUGGCCAUUGUCACCGCCUUUAUCAGCACUUCCUUUCCCCCUUCACUUAAAAGCCUUUGUUUCCAUCCUUGUAGCUUGCUACUGAUUUUGUUCUUAACAAAGCCAAACACUUGUGCCUUUGAUCUUCCAAUGGCCAUUGGUAGACCCAAAUAUGUCCCAUUCACUGCUUCCUUCAUAUUAUCCAGGCCUUCGCUUAUUGCUUGCAUCAUCCUUUCUUUGGUGUUUUUACUGAAGAACAAGGCUGAUUUUUCAAAAUUCACAACCUGGCCAGAUGCAUUGCCAUACUUUGUCAAAAUGCUUUUCACCUUUAGAGCUUCUCGUUUGGUUGCUUUACAGCACAAAAGAGAGUCAUCUGCAAAAAAUAAGUGAGAAAUAACCGGACUGUCCCUACAAAUUUUCACUCCCGUUAGCUCCUUUUCUUGCACAGCUUUAUGAAUAAUACUAGAAAGACCUUCAACACAUAUGAUGAAAAUAUAGGGUGAUAAAUGGUCCCCUUGCCUAAUGCCUCUACUAGGUUUGACAUUUCCAACCUUCUGGCCAUUUAAAUUGAAGGAAUAAAUCACUGUGGAUAGACAAGCCAUAAUCCAUUAUAAGGUGGUAGUUUCCAUCUGUUUUCCACUGUAUUAUUAUAAGGGCUUAUAUGGCUAUUUUAAAUCCUUAAGAGGGCCAUGUGUAAUAUACAAAACUAUCUAGGAUUACAUGUAGGGAUGGCAACCUGCCUACAAACUCCUCCAACCCCCGCCCCGUCCCCGCUCCGCACCCGCGGAACUAAUAAAAAUUUGUUAUAUAAUUUUAUUAUGGUUAAAUUUUAGCAAAUAAUCAAGUACUAAAAUAUUAACAUAUCAUCAAAUUAUUAUUCAUUAUAAUUUUACAAUUGAAACUUAUAAAAACAAUCAAACAAAAAAUAUUUGAAUAUAAUCCAACAUGAUGAAAUAAAUAUAACUAAAGUAGUCAAAUUUUCACUUUUGGCACAAAUACAAUCACUAAUUCAUUAUUGUGCUUGUGCUUUUUUUAAGAAAAAAAUAUUAUUGUAUUAAGUGUAAUUAGGGAUUUAGUAUAAAUGUAUUAGUAAAUUUAGUAUAACCAAUUAAUAAUUUGUAUUAGUACACAUAUAUAAUUAUUAGUAUAAUUAAUAAUAUCAAUUAUAUUAUAUAUACUAAUAGACAUUAUAUAAUACAUAUAACUAAUAAUAUCAUUAUCAUAAGUUUGUAACUAAUUAAAUUAUAUAUUUUAUAUAUAAUUUUAUAUAUUUUUUAUAUAUUUAUUUUUUUAAAGCAGGUGGCGGGGCGGGGGUACACUCCCCCGCCCCCGGCCCCGUUUCUAAGCGGGGGGAAAUUCCCCCCGCCCCCGCCCUGCCCCAACCCCCUCCCCAUUAACCCCCGGCGGGGUGGGUGACCGCCAUCCCUAAUUACAUGUAAUUCACCUGUAAAUUUAUGUCUGAAUAGAGCCUUAGAGUUGAUAAAAACCAGAAGAUGGCUCAAAGCCUCAAGCCAAACUUAACGCAACAGUUCAACAUACAAAAUAUAUAUUCACACGCAGUCAUUCUCGGGAAGGGAAAUAAGGUGAACAAGUUCUCAAUUGUUUUAUAGAUAUUUGAUGGAACUUUAAUAUACUUUCUCCGAUGUCCAUGAACAAAAUGAAGACGAAAGGGAAACAAACCUCGCAGAAACCCAUAGACACCCAUCAAAAAGAAAAUUAAAAUAUUGCCAAACAUAUUCAGAGAACCAGUUUCUAGUUCUUAAGAAGAAAGAAAAGAGUUGUAUAGGUGAACUGUAAAGAACAUAAAGGGUUUCUAAGGCUUACUUUUUAUACCAAUUACUUCAGAAUAUAAAGCCUAUCAGAACUUUGGUCUAACAUUAUGGGUUCUUUCUACUACUCCUAUGAUACUACUAACCUUGAUACGUUUGUUUCAUUUUUAUUUUUUAUUUUUUUGGAUACAAUCGAGAGCCAAAGGCUCUAAAACAUUGGCAAUAGGCGCCUUUGACAUCAUUAUUUAAAGCAAUCCAUCAAAAGUACACCUAUAAAGCCAUCCACGACAUUAGAAACAAUCACCUAUCCAUUAUGUCAGUAAAGCCGUAGCAAAAAAAGAAGUCAUAGUAAAGCCUAGCGCCAUACUGAAGAUGAUAAAAGAGACGUGACUAUUGGGUUUGUAAUACCCUUCUCCAUAAUGAAACUAUGCAUCGAUUUUUCUUCCUCCGUAAUGCAACUAAGUAUUAAUCGAUUUUGGUUUUGGUAGCAAACAUGUUCCCACCAAUAAGAACAGAUAAAGUCUUGGUCAAGCCUUCUGAUGAGGUUUGACAACAAACCUAUAAGCUGUUGAUCACCCAGUAACACACUAGUUGAUUGGAGGACAUUAGAAUGUUCGGACUCCUUAUUGAGUUAACUCAACAAUUUCACAUAUGCGCCAACUCUCAAUCCCUCAAUAUCCAAGUCUUCUUGCCUUUUAUCCACUUUUUUGUGCAGCGCAACCUUAUAAUCCAUUACUUCCCUAAACAUGUGCUCCGAGUCUCGAGUAAUGGUCAGGAUAGGUAAGCAAAAAUUUGGGAAGAACCCACUGGUCUUGAAUUGUAUGUCUUUUUCUACCUAAUUAUUGGUUGAAUGGCCGAAAUUGGAUUUUUUUUUUCCAUUUACAUCCUCUGUAGUGGGAAUGGUUGGCUCCUCACUCAGCAGUUAUCCCAGCUCCAAUGCAGUAGAGUACUCUAGUGAAGUGCCAACGUUCUGCCAAAUCGAUUAAAGGGCAUAUCUUGAAGUUUAUCCAAAAAGUAGGUACAAUUUUCUUGAUAUAAUCUUGUAAAAAGACCCUUGGCCAACAAUGUUGUAGCAACAAAAGUGAAUGGGGUGCGAUGUAGUAUAUGUUUUAAUGGUCAAAUACAUUAAUGUUGAUAUAAAAGAUUUUUCAAAAAAUUUAAAUGUGUUUUUUACCACUCCAUUAUCUUACCUACACAUUUACUAAAAAUAGUAGUGUUAUACUGUAAUUUUUUUCGACAAAGAUUUCAAAGAUCAACCAUCUGAUGAAGCAGUUAUACUCAAAUAAUUUUUGCAGCAAUCACUAUCGAAGUGUUUUCUUUAUUACCUUUUUAAGAUCUGAAAAUUAUUUCAACAAACCAAAAUGUGACCUUAGUCAUGUGUCUUAGUACCAAAAUGGAGCGUUCUAUUUAAGUAUGGAACCUAAGUUGGGUCUUAGGUCCAAAAUGUAUUGAACUUAAGUUGGGUCUUCGGUCUUUUCAUGGUGUUUUUACACAAGUGAGAGACAAAUUUACAUCACUUGGAAGGUCUGUAUUUAAAAAGUAUCAAUGCAAAAUGUAAGUGAAUAUUAUAUUUGUAUGACUAUUAUUUGUUUGGAUUUAGUCAUAUGAUUAAAUUAAUGACAAUUAUUUUUAUUCCAUGGAAAUAACAAUCCUAAGGACAUAUAUUUAUACGUUAAGUAAUUUAUUAGCGGAAUUGACUGAGUUUUCCCAUCAAGAAGCAAAUAUACGCAUCCAAAUCACAUGCCUUUCUCUAUAUGUGGAGAUGAAAAGACAUCACUAGCAUCUCUAUCUUUUCUUCUAAAAAAAAAAAAAAAAAAAAACAAAAAGGUAUUGCAUACAGAGUGAUAAUGACACUUUUUUUUUGUCUCCGCAAUCAUUUCCAUUCUUGUUCCCUAGUAAGUCAUUCGGACAAAUCUAAGAAAUUAAUGAAUUGAAAAAUAAGUUUUCAUUGCUGAAAUUCCUUGUUUAACAGCCAAAAGAAUUUUUCAGGUGCUUUCAGACUAUUGAGUUUGACAUAUUCACUGUGUCAAAAGAGAAAUGAACAAAUGAAACUAUAUAUACUAAUGAAACCCGCCAAAAGCAGUCAAUCUAUGACUAUCCAAUGUUCUCUCUAUACAAUGCAAAGGUAUAACUCUAAUGACAUCACCCUAUCGAUGUUGACAUGUAUGCUGUUGUUUUUGUCAAAAUACAUCAUAGAAAUAAUUUUGCCAUUCGAAAUUUAUGCUCAAUUUCCUCUAGGUGUAUCCCAAUUUUGGGUCCAAAAGUUUUAGGCGCUGGAAGGGGCCCUCAUAUGCUUCUUGUACUUGUGGCCAAUUUUCCUCCAACAAAAGAUAAGUUUUCAAUCUAUUGCCAUUAGGAGGUGAUGAUCUUGUCGAUCCAAGUUUGAUGGGUUUUCAACCAAUUGAUGGGGUAGAACCCUGAUGUAGCGGAGGCUUUCAUUGUUCGAGAGAGUUGGGGGUUCCACGAGUAGAUCCUUUGGUCGGUACACAUCUCAAUAUUUUUUCCAUUUUUCCAAAUUUAAUUGUAUAUUCUUUCCUUUUCAGUUUAGAAUACUGGUAACCUAUAUUCUUUUCUUUCCUUUAUUUUACAAAUUUUGACAAUAUUAUUGAAAUUUUAACACUCUUGUCAUUGGGUUUAUACCUAUUCUUGAGUGCUGUCAAGUAGUUAGAAUCUCGUUGAUUCUUGUUGAGGUUCCUUUGAAUCUUGGUUUUCUUUAGAGUUGACCGUGAAUCACCGUGAUUCUUUAUUUUGAAUUAAUUAGUGUAACUAAUUCUGCCGAAUCAUUUCUGCUGCCAUAUCACCUGCAUUAACAUGUCUAUUUAAAGUAGACUCUUAAAGUGCAUCUUGAUUGGUCAAAUGAAUCUUUACUUAAAAGAUGUAUCUUCCUUGAUUCUACCCUUUGUUUGAUCGCUUCUUCUCUAUAAAUAAAAAUCCUCCUCAAAAGUUUUGUCCGGCGAGUUAAUUGUAUCUUAAAGGUAAUUUGUAAUAGAAACAAACAAUGCCUUGAGAAAAGUGAACCCACACCUUAAAUUUUAUCUAUACUAGUGCUCAAUGCACACCCAAUAUGUGUGCAAUCAAAAAUAUCUAAUAUUUAUGGUCAUAUAUUUUAAAUAAAAUUUUUAUUAUUGAACCAAACUUUAAUCUUUUAAAUAUUUUCUAUAAAACAAUUUUAUAUUAAUAGUUAUAAUAUUUAGGGGUAGUUAUGUUGAAAACAUAUAUUUAAAUAGUUAAUAGUAAAAAUAGAUGGGUAGUUAUAGGUAGUUAAAGUAACACAAAUAGUUUUUAUAAGGGUAAAUUCAUAAAAUGACAAUAAAUGUUAACCUCAAUGUUAACACCAAACCCCUUUUUCAAGCUUUAUAUAUAGUAUAGAUUUCUAUUUCUCUACAAAUUUUCUUCAACAAUCUGUAUACAUGUUACCCUCCUUACAAGUUGGUUAAAUCAAACGAUUCUCUCCAUAUUACAUUAUUGUUCUAAAGAGAAGUGGAGUGAUGUGCUUCUUUUUUCUUUAGAAGAAACCAUUACAAAAGUAAACGUGUAGUCAGAAAUAACCAAAAACAACGUUAAUUAAACUAAUAAAAUGUAAUUGGAGUCAUGCUUAAUAACACUAUCCUAAGAAACUAUUUCAUGAGGUUAAAAUGUUUCCCCAAGAUUAAACAAGGCUUCUUCUUGUUUAUAACAAGAAGGAUCAAAACUUUAGCAAGCGUUAGCUAAAUCCAGCAGAGAGGGAAAGAAGAGAAAAAACAAAAAGAAGUAUAGCAAGAAAACUGUCAGGAAGGUCUCUACUAUCAACUGUUGGUGUAUUUCUAAAGUGGGAGGGAAGGGGGAAGGAGAAUGUGUAGAGACCUACACCAACAGCUAGCUGACAGUAGAGACUUUUCUGACACCAUCUACACUGUCAGCUCUACACCAACAACUGACAGUAGAGACCGUCCUGACAGUUUUCCUGCUCUACUUCUUUUUCUUAUCCUUCUUUCCCUCUUUGCUGGAUUUAGCGGACGUUUGCUAAAGUUCUGAUCCUUCUUGUUAUAAACAAGAAGAAGCUUUGUUUAAUCCUAGGGAAACAUUUCAACCUCAUGAAACAAUUUCUUAGGACAGUGUCGCUUCUCCAUCAUCUUUCACACAUUCUCUAGUACAUUCUCCUUUGCCCUCCUCUUCCUCUCCAUCUAUUUCCCCAUCUUUUUCUUCCACAUUCUGCUUCGGUCUCCUCUUCCUCUCCAUCUAUUUCCCCCUCUUCCCUCUACUGUUUCUUCUCCAUCUACAAUCUUUUCUCUUCCUCCUAUAGAGCUCUUUUUCCCAUUGCUUCUCCUCCACUUUCUCCAUCUACAAUCUUUUCUCAACAAAGAUAUGCAACUAUUUCAAAACUUUUUUUGUCACCCUCUGUACAUCUCUUACCCUUAUUUUUUCUUGAGCAAUCUCAACAUGAUGUUCUAGAUAUUCAAGCUUCCUACCGGAUAGUGGCGACUGCUUUCUCUUUUUUUAAAUUUCUAAUCUUUUUUGUACAUUGUCUUUUGUUGUACUUUCACCAUACUCAUGCUUGAUAGCAUAUUGAAAACCAGCUCCUUUUUUUCUUAAAUUUCUAAUUUUUUUUUGUACAUUGUCCUUUGUUGUACUUUCACCAUACUCAUGCUUGAUAACAUAUUGAAAACCGGCUUCUUCUACUCUUUUCUUUGUUUCUGGAUAUCACUAUUCCAAAAGAUUAAAAAGCACUGCAAAGUGAGUAACAAACACAAACUACAGAUCGAACCACAAGAAAAGGCGAUAGCAUAUCAAUCGAAACCUAGAGUCAUCUUAUGAUAGUUUACAAUAUAAGUUGUACCACAUUAGGCUAUAUGAGAUUUGUAUCAGCAACAAUGUGAAGUACAGUUUCAUCAUACUAAUACAAUAAAUAGCCAAAGAAGGUACAUUCAAAAUAUGCAACACAGCUUGUAAAAGGAUAAUAGGUUAGAAGGAGCACAAACUAAAACAUGCUCAUUUUUCUCCUACUCGGUAAAACUUCUUCUCUAUUCUUUCCUCAAUUUCUGUUCUGUUCUACCUUCUUAGGAUAACAUUGGCUAAUCUACUAGCUUGAAAACAAGGUGGGACAGUUGAGGCACACGGUCAAUCAGAAUAUUCUUUUAUCCUUUUUCAUGUUUAGGAGACAACACACAGAUGAAACUGAAAUCAAAGAAAGAGCUGAAAUAGUUAACUACUGAACUAAAACAUAAUACCCCUUAAAACAACAAAGGCAUAAAAGACAAGCACAUGUAAAGACUAUGAAGAAAGAUCAGACCAAAUAUCCAAAAUCACAGCUAACUUGAUUCUUUCUAUCCAAACCUCAAACCAAAGCAUAUUGUUCACAGACCAAGAAACCAUCAAAGAUAAAUAAAAAAUAAAAAAUAAACUCAACAACAGAUUAAAGGCAUUUAUGAAGCAAUUUGACAAAUAUUUAAUGUGAUUAUAUAUGAAAAAUUUGACUAACAAACCUAACAACAAGCAAUAAAUUCUAAUAAAAACUCCCCUAGCAGUUGAAGAAGCUUCAAAAUGAAGAAAAAAUAGCAAAAUAAAAAAACAACUCAACUAAUAAAGGAUGAAUUAAUGAUGAUGAGUGCAAACUUUAUAAAGCAAGAAAAGAGAGAAAAAGGAAAUCACCCAAUGUCAUCCACGUAAAGCAAAGCAAACCCUUUUUUUAGUGUUUUUCUCUCAUAGAAGUGAAAUAAAAGGAAGCUCAAAAUUUAUAUAUAUAGGCCUAUCUAAAUUUGUUAAAAAACAGAGAAUAAAAACAAUGUUCUGAUGCAAUCUACUGGCUGGAAAUUCCACAGAAGCACAAAAUAAUUGAUCUAACAGUCAAAAUCAGUGAAGCAAAAUCCCUAAAUUCAAGAGGGAGGCAAUAUUUUUUAUGGAAAAUAAUACCCUUGAAAAAUCAUUCCUGUAUGCGAAAGAAUGCCAGAGGCAAGGAAACAUGCAAAAAAAUUAAUUUCACGGGUAAAAAAAAUCUAAUCGAAAAUGGGUUCUGUACAUUUUUCAUGGGGAAAAAGUACAACUGAUAUACUAUAAAAAGACCUAACCAUGAAUCUACCAAAAAAUCUCAGCAAGUAAACCGACAGAAAGAGAUAGAAGUAGUUCCACAUUCGUGUUUGCUGUUGUGUUUGUCAAACAUAGUUUUUUAGUUCAAAUUUUGUGUAGAUUGUGGGAGUUCUCACCAAUAUCUUCACAUGAAUGAAGAUGAUAUGGCUGACAAGCUAUGCAAGUUUUUGAGGAGAAAUAAGUAUCUCAUCAUUUUGGAUGAUGCUUGGGACAUUGACGGGUGAAAUUUGUUGAAGCACUCACUGCAAGAUGAUUGCAAUGGAAGCAUGAUACUUUUAACCAGUAAAUUUCAGAAAUUGUCAUCGCAAAUUAAACCUGAUAGUGAGGAUCACCAUCUUUGCCCAUUACUGAUAAAGAAAAAAGCUAUUUGACAAAAAAUAUUGUCCUCCAACAAUAAGUGAAGUUAUAUUGCGCGUAGUAAAAUACUGUAGGGGCCUAUCUCUCACAAUUGUCCCUAUUGCUGGAAUUCUUGCUACUACUAAGCAAGAUUGCUAGGCAGAAGUUGCAAAGACGUCUAAGUUCCAGCAUUUUUGUUGAAAAGAAAGAUGAUAGUGGUGUGGGCAAUUGGAUUGUAGUUCUUUAGGGAAGGCGUCUAAUUGUGGUUGAGAUAUUUAGCUCCCUAUUAAGCUUCGGACUCAGCCUCCUCAGUGUAUUGCUCCCAUGUCACCGAACUCACAUGCCUCUCAGAGUAGUUGGACUUGCAGCUUCUGAAACGCUGAAAUUGCUCUCCAAUUUCACAAACAGAAAACAAGACAAGAAGAAUUCAACCAAAAAUAAUUUACACGCCUGAUUAAAAAUCUCCUAAAAUAUGAUAUAACUUUUUUCUUUUUGCUCCAAAAUAUAAGUCAUAUCUCAAAAUGGUUAUUGAUCUUCAGCACUUACCCCAAGAGUUGGGUCAAAGAAGACACACUCCAUCUCAGCAAACCAAUCUAUAUUAUGGUUUUAAUUCCAUAAGAAUGUAGUUUGUAUGAUAGGACUCAAUCCAUGCACCAUCGUAAAUAAUCAACUGAAUCUUGCAAGACCCAAUUGAAACCUGUGAACGACACUAAAUACAGCCUUGAAAUAGAAUCUCUAAAUGGUGUCAGCAAUUGUGGCAUGACAUGGGUUAAGUUGCUCGACUCUCUCAAUGGUUGGCUAAGAAAGCCUCAGAAUAGGAGAUGACAAAGUCAUCUUCAGUGUCUGUAGAAGAAUAGUUGGAAAAUAAAAUUUAUUUCUUUUCAAUUUUUUUCAACAGUUUUUACUCGAAAAAAUUGGAGAUGAACAAUACACUAUGAAGAAAUCAUAAUUUACAAUGAGACUUCAAUGAGACAGAAGUCAUAUUUGAUUUAAUACUGUUUUUCUUUUCCCCUGUUGUGGCUGCUGAAUCCUUGAGAAACUAGGGAGUUUCAGAAGCCGCAAGUCAAAAAAAUAUUCAGAUGUCUGAGGCACAUGAAUUAAGAGACGUAGCAGCAAUACAGUGAUAAGGCCGACUAAGCGGAGUUAAUAAGGGGGCUGAUGAAGAAGUCAGUUCCUGACUCGAGCGUUUCUCAAGUUUUGACAGCGACACAGGCUGCUUUGCGGGAUUCGUUUCAUCAGUUGGUGUUGUCCGCCCCGUCACCUGUCUCUGUAAUUUCUCAAGCUGCUGCGAUACCUGUGUCGUCAUGGCUCGAGCAGAUGGUCUCGUUAUCGUCAGCGCAAUCUGAUUAUGCUAUUAUUUUGGCAUUAACGGACAGAUGGUUUGCCUCAGGUCUCGCAGGCCAGAGAGGGGCUUCGAUCCAUAUUAGAGUUUCCCAAUUUUCAGUCGUUUGAGGAUGCAGUUAAGCAUGUAAAUUAUCAAUUAAAUAGAUGCUCAACUGUUCAAGUUAGUCUUUUCAGCCAUUGCAAUUUGUAAGAGCUUCAGAGUUCCAUAGCCACAAUGGACGAUUCUAUUUUCAUGAAUGCCGCUGAUUAUAUACUUGGCUUUUGGUAAAUCAAUCUAUCACUCAACAGAUUAAAUUAACUCUUAAUUACUAUUUUCUGGGACUAAGUUUUGAUGGUAGCUCUUUAGCUUAGCAGAUAUUAUUUUAACGAAUUUUCUAUAGGGAAAAAUGUAAAACAGUUUAGGGCUUUGUUUGGUACUCACAAUUUUGAUGUUUAAGUUUUCAUUUUUCAAAAGUACAAAAUAAACAAAUAUUAUGUUAAGAAUUAACUCUUAAUAAUUACCACCUUUUCUUCCACAAUAUAUCUAUGAAGUCAUAUUAACUUAAGAGAUUCCUACUGCUUCGCACUUAUAUCAAUCAUCUCAUUCUUGGUCCCUUCUUCUUUAAUUGUACAAAUAUCUCGCAAUGAACAUAGAUCUUAAAUACUAUAUGCAUAACUAAUUUAAAAAAUUGUUGAAUAAGGAUAAUAGGACUUUUUUUUUUUUUCAUUCACAGUAGGUUCGGAAUCUUACAAAAUGGAAGGGAAAAGAGAAAAGUUUGAGAGUUGAAUCAGGAAUUUCUCAAUUACCUAACUAAUAAUGUUCCUACUCAUUAAAUUAGUUCUUAAAGACGAAUAUUAAGGCUUUGUAAUACAGUGAGUGGUAAGCUAAAUAAUUAAUUAUUUUGAUUAAUAAGAUCAUAAGUAUGAAGGAAAAUAACCGAAAGGUUGCAAAACUACUAUUAUGCGUAUAUAUUAGUUGUAGAAAGUGGUAAUUUAUUAGAGAAAUUAACUGACGUUUUCCCAUCAAGAAGCAAAUAUACACAUCCAAAUCACAUGCCUUUCUCUCUAAUGUGAAAAUGAAGCGACAUCACUAGCAACUCUGUCUUCUUGAAAAAAAGCAUUGCAUACAGAGUGAUAAUGACACUUUUUUUUGUCUCCACAAUCAUUUCCAUUCUUGUUCCCUAGUAAGUCAUUCGAACAGAUCUAAGAACUUAAUGAAUUGAAAAAUGCUCUGUUUGGAUCCCCUAUUUUUUGGGUGUUUUUCAAAAAUUAGUUUUUCAAAUACAAUAAAAAGUUUUAGAAAGUACUCUAAAAGAUAAUCUAAAAAUUAGUUUAAAUUUGUUUAAAAUUUUAGAAACUCUACUACUCUUAAAUAUCUCAAAAUAUUUUCUAAAAAUAUUCCAAAAUAUAUUCUAAAAACUCUGCUACCCCAAAAUAUUAUAGGUGCUUUCAGACCGUUGAGUUUGACAUAUUCACUAUGUCAAAAGAGAAAUGAAUACAUGAAACUGUAUGUAUAUACUAAUGAAACCCGCCAAAAAUUGUCAAUCCAUUAUCAAAUGUUCGCUCUAUACAAUGCAAAGGUAGAACUCCAAUUACAUCACCCUAUAAAUGUUGACAUGUAUACUGUUGUUUUUGUCAAAUACAUCAUAGAAACAAUUUUGUCAUUGGAAAUUUAUGCUCAAUUUCCUCUAGAUGUAUCCCAAUUUUGGGUCAUUGAGUCAGCAUUCAAAAGUUUUAGGCGCUGGAAGCGACCCUUUUGUACUGCUUAUACUUGUGGUCAAUUUUGGGGCUUCAGCCAUAGUCAAUUUCCAAGCCGCCAUAGUCUGCAGCAGCCCUAUAUAUUCUUCAACCCCCACAUAUAUAGGGGGAAAAAAAAAGCAUUUUGCACAAUUGUCUAAAAUUUCAAAACAUUAAUGUGCAAUGUUAUCAAAACAGUAAAAGAGAUCAUUUACACGUUUGCAAAGUGAUCAAGGUUAACUUUCAAGAAGCAAUUAUACUUACCAUUAUCAUUGUAUUACACAGAUGCAAGAAUUGUGUACACCCUCUAAUUCUCCAUCCUCUGACACACUACGACAAUCAACAUUCAGGAAAAAAAAAAAGCCAUAAGAAUCACGAAAACAUAGUCAAAUGCUGCCCAAAAUACUACCCAUUUUUUCCUCCAACAAAAGAUAAGUUUGCAAUCUAAUUAGCUUCAAAUAUUAGUAUUUUUAGAUAUAGAAAAGGUAAAAGUAGGCUUCAUUUAUAGCAACCAACCAGCAUUCUUGUUUUCGUCUUUACUUUUUCGUUAAUUCAAGAGCUCGAUAUGAUUGUUAAUGCAUUAGUUUAGGACAUUUUUGCUCCUCAAAACUCUAAUAUUUUUUCCUAGAUCACAUCAUGCAAAUUUUGAUAAUAUUAUAGAAUUUAUAGUGUUAAACACUUAUUUCACUCCAAAUUUUUUCAAAAAAAUAAGAACACCAUUGGGGCUUUCUUUCUCUUUUUUUUUGGUUGUUGGGCCGGGGGGGGGGGGGGGGGUGAGGACACUUGGAGAGAUGAAGGAACUUCUAUUAACGUACCUUGGCUCAAACUCUUGAACAUGAGCAAUAUCUUUGCCAUGGGCGUCCGGCCAGUUAACUUUCCUCGACCCUAUCCUUAGCUGCUGACUAAAUUCUAAAGGUUCAGUCGCUUUCUUCAGAUUACUCUUAAGAGGCAUGGGUUCAUUAAGCUCUUGAGAUGCAUCAGACCCACCAAUGUCACUCGCGAUGCCUCCACUGUUCUUGACUUCAACUUGUGAUUCCUCAUCAAAACAAAAUUCGUGAAAAAACCCAUAUUUCUUCUCUAAUGAUCUAUGCUUCCUGUGAUUGUUGCUGGUGCCACUUCUCCUAACACCUUCGUCGUCUUUGCUGUCGGAAUUCCUCGCUGCUACGUAGCAUGAGCACACUAAAGAUGUGCACCUGUUAUGCCCUGAGGCCGCCAGGAGUGCAGAAAAGAGAAAAAAAAAAAAGAAAAUGGUAUUUAAAAUCUUGAUAGUGUGAAAGAAAUUUUCAUUGACUUAGCUCAUAGGAUCAAAUGGAAAAUGAAGUGGCUAAGAAGAUUGAUGUAUAUGCGUAAUGCUUUGUCUUCACUUUCAGCAAAUUCCAAAAGGUUUGAUUAGGUUCAUAUUCUGCACGUAGAGAAGAUAGUGGGUUGAAAAUUUUGAAGCAUGCGGGUGCGGUUUUUGGUGGGAUUUUGUGAGCCUGGAAAAGAAGAAAGGAUACAGAACUAGGGAUAAUCAUUCUCUCAUGCUUCGCCUCCACUAUCACUUGUUCUCUUUUCGCUUUCAUACUCAUUACAGUAGUCCAGUGAAAUAGUGAAUCAAUGGGGGAAAAAAUAAGAAUAAUAUUAUUCUAUUAUCUAAUUAGGAAAACUUUUCAUGAGAUUCCAUGUUUAUUAUGGUGUCAUGCACUUACGCUAUUUUCAAAUAACCUAUUGAAUAAUAUAUCAUGUAUCACAAGAUGCAUUAAUAUCAAUUAUUCGUCAUCCAAUAAUAAUAAAAAGCAUCUGUUUCCUUAUUUGAUGAUAAACGAUUGAUAAUAGUUCAUCACAACGUAUUGUUAUACCAUAUACAUGGUGUAACCAAUUUUUUUUAUUUUACAUUUAGCCUUUGUACUUCUUUCAACAUUAAUUCAGAUAUAUGAUGCCAAGGUACAAAUUGUUUAUGCAUGAUUAAUGAUAAAAUAUGUGCAAUCGAACUGGUGACCGAGUAAGACUUGUCCAUUUCCUUCUGGUCCCCAGUCCCAAUAUAUUUUUUGUGUAUGAGUAUUCUCUGCGUGUCUCCUUUUGUCCCGCUUAUGUAUUAUAUAUAUGACUUGCCAUCAUAGACAGUUAAAAUCGCAAUUCUAAUUAGCCAAGUACACUUUGGCUUUCCUUAUUAAUUAUCUUUUUCUUCAUAUUGUUUGAGAGAAUCAUGCACCAUUUGUGGCUUUUUUUUUUUCUUUUUUAACCUUAGUCAUACUGUUCUGCACUUCAUGUGAAUCUCUAAUCCACCAUCAAGAAAUUCCAGUGAUGUGAAAAAUAUGAAUCACUGCAAAGUUAAUACAUGAUCACCACUUUUACUACCAUGGCACUUUAAAUCAUGAGAUGACACGAUAAAAACAAGAACUUUUUUUAAAAAAAAAAAAAAUUUGGUAACCAUGAUAUCAAGAACAUUAUUGUAUAGAGAAAAGGGAAGGAAGAGGAUUCCAUACAAGCAAUUGAUCCUUACGCAGUGUGAAAUUUUAGAGGUCAAUACUUAAAAAAAGAACCAGCUAUGUGUCUAUUGUUGAUUUUAGGGUGAAGAUGUUAAUCAUUUUCUUUCUUUGGUGCAAUAAGUCUAGUGCUUUUUCAUUAAAGUUGAUGAUAAAAAGCACCAUGCGCGUGUGGCAUUGAUAUAAAGCAUGAUUUUGUGCUCGUGAUAGUGUAACAUAAUUAUGAUGUCUUCUUCUUUUUUUUUUCCCAUGAACUGAAAGAUUAAUUAUACUGGUAUAAUUGUUUUGACAGCCAAAAUAUGUUUAGCUCUUCUCUGUUUAUGUUACACUCUACUACAAUUAAUUAACUGCAUACUUCUAAUCUCCAGCUCGAGGAGAUGAAAGCCUUUACAAGAACUUCAACUCGUGCAAGUUUUCUCCAGUUGGUCUUUUGCCCAUUCUCGAUUACAUUGCAAUUUUUUUUUUUUUUUUUUGCUUUUGUCUUAGCCUUUUGACUUCAAGCUGCAUGAAAGGAUUGAAAGUUCACACUUGUGAAUUUGAAAGUUCGAGAUUCAGUCCUAGUAGACUAAUAUUGAAACAAAUUACAUCACCAUAUAUACUUGUGUCAACAGAAAAGAAGGUUAAACUUCUUGCCUCUUUCUUGUUUUUCUCUUUUCUUUUCUAAUGAAAGUGAUUUUAGUCAUUAAUUUAAAUCAUGUUGGGUCUUAAUCAAAAGGGUAAGUUUCUUACCCACGCUUGUACACUUCAACGGAAUUUCUAAAGAAGGCCCAAUUAGAUGUCAUGGUUACAUAGAAAACACCACUUAUUCUUGGAAAUUAAAAUAUACAAAUUAGUCAGUAAAAAAAAUGAACAAAAAUAAAAUUCAGCAUUUCGAACUUUUUUUUAUGGUCUUAAGGAUCCAACAAGUUUGGGUGUAACCUUCGAGAAUACCUCAAGUAAUCAACAAAAAUUAUAGACUAAAACUGUUAUCCAAUCUAGAUUCCGAAUUUUUUUUGGGCAAAGGAGAAACUAAAAAACAAAAUCUCUUUAUUAUAAUCUUAAAUGGGCUAGUUGAUCAGUAUUCAUUAAGAAUUAAUUUAUACGGUUAAACUUUGCCGGAAAGAAUAUGCUCACCAAAAUGUGCCAAUGGGCAUACGAGUCAAAAAAAAAAAAAAAAAGGGAACUGUCUGGCAUUAAUUCCUUGUAUAUGUGUACAUGAACAUUCACUACAAACAAAUACUCCAAAUUCAAAACCCCUUCAAAGUUGCACACAGUAAUAUUCUCACAAUUUAUCGAACCCUCUAAUCGGCAAUUAACCUCCAAGAAAAAAGGAACAAGAGAGUCAACGAAAAUGUGAUGAAACUCAGUAACUUUUAGAAUAUAUAGAUGGAGUGCUGUUUGACCUAGCCUUGUGGUGAAGGAAUCGUUUUUCUCUGUGUUCUUUUUCUCUUGUCAUUAGCAUAACACUUAAAGAAUUGAUCAAAAUUAGGUGUGAUUACUUUUAUAUAUAUAGCACAUCAGUCUGACAAUUGCUUAGCAAGUUUUCUCCACCAAAAACACCCAUAAAAACGCAAAGAUAAGAGAGAAAUGUUUGGGAGACUGUAUGAAGAGAUUGAAAUUAAGGUGGCAGCAAAUGAAGCUUGGAAGAUUUUUGGAGCGCUUGAACUUGGCCAUCUUGCUUUUCAACAACUCAGUGAUAUAAUUCAUAAAAUGGAGGUAUUAGAAGGCGAUGGGGGUGCUGGUACAGUAAUCAAACUCAGCCUUCCUGGUAAUUAAUCCAGAAUGUACUCUACUUUUCUUGCUAAUCUUUGAGGAUUUAUGUUUUAUGCACUAUCAACACACACACACACCCAUGCAUACGUGACCCCUUAUAGUUUUUCAUAUUGCCACAUGACCCCAUUAGAGUUUUAAAAUAUUCACAUAACCUUCUUGUAAUUUUAUGUAAAGUGAAAAGCGGACGGGAAGUACUAAUGGUUACAACGAAUGAACCAAACAAGCUUCAUAAUACAUAUGAUGGAAUCAUAAUAUCCACUUAACCCCUUAUGAUUUGUGUUAAUAUCCAUUUCACCACUUAUGUUUUUUUAGCCACAUAAUUCUCUUGUGAUUUUAUGUAAGGUGAUCAGAUUGUUAUCUAAUUUAGUGUUUAAGUAAGGGUAAUACUGAUAUUUUAACUAAUGGCAUUGUAGAGGCUUUUUUCCAUCAAAUUUUCACUAUACAGAAAAGCAUAGAGGGCUUAUGUAGAUAUUUUGAAAUGCUAAGGAGUUAUGUGGCAAUCUGUGAAUUCACAAAGAAAUUAAGUGUAAUUUAUCCCCAAAAAAAAAAUUGUUAUACUUGCGGGUAUGAAUUCAUGACACAUAAUCUGACUUACAUUAAAAACUUUCUUUUACCACAUAUGACAUACAUGUAGAAAUUUCUCGAUUGUACAUUUUUUUUUAAUUUUCGGGUCAAGAAAUUCUCGUAGGUAUAACAAGUAUACAUGUAUUUUCACAAAACUUCUCUCGCAAUUCACAAUCUUUUUCUUUUUCUCUUAUUUUUUUUUCUAGCCCAUGUAAUCUCUCACGGUUGGCUUGUCCCUGUACGAAUUAUAAUUGACAAGCUGAUCAUGAAACUGAUUAGGUAAUACCUAUUGCAAAGAAAUAUUUAAGGUGGUCGACCAUAAGAAACGAAUGAAAAUAGCGGAGCUUAUUGAAGGCGGGUUUCUUGAUAUGGGAUUCACAUUUUAUCAAGUUCAGAUUGAAGUGAUUGAGAAUGCCAAGGACGAAAACUCAUGCACGGUCAAAUUCACAAUUGAAUAUGAGGUGAAGGAAGAUGCAGCUGCUAAUGCUUCACUUGUCAGCAUCCGGCCUUAUGUUACUAUGAUGAAUGUUGGUGUGGAUUAUCUUGCUAAGAAAAAGAACAAGUGACUUCCCAUUUUUCUGCAUUUUUAUCUUUCUAUUUACUUCAACUAAUCUCCUUUUUCCUUGUGAUUUGUGAUGAAAAAAUUGUUGUAAAAGGAAUUAUACUUCGGUUAUUUUGAAGCAGGAAUGAGGAAACUCUGAAAAAAUGGUCCAUUUCAUACCUAAUUAUUUUUUUUUUCCUAUCUUGUUACAUUCUUGAUAAUGCAUAAUCGUCCCUUACACAUUCAACUCAUUUUUCUUGUCUGGACCGUCCUAAUAUAUCCGAGGCAAAAAUAGAAAGGGGUUGAAUUAUCCUCAAAGGUGAUUAUUUCCCCAAAAAAAAUUAAAAAAGAAAAAGGUGACCUUUUUACAUUUUUUCAAAUCAACGAAAAUGCCAGCCACUUGUUGUAAAGUCUCAGGUUGGUUAUAAGCUAAAAUUGAUAAGUCGGUUCAAUCUUAGUGCUCCCUCCGUUGCAAUUAUUGUAUCAUUUCAGAAAUUCAACUUUUUAAAAAUAGUUAUUUGAUUGUGAUAUUUAUACUUUUCUUUCCAAUUUUACCCUCACAAAUUCAAAUUUUGAAUUUAAAUGGUAACAUACUUAUGAUUAAAAAAUGGACUAUAUUGGAAGGAGAGACUAAAAAGAGAACUGACUUUCUUAAUAUGACAAACAUUUUAGGACAUUUCAAAAUGAAAAGUAUGACGCAUUCAAUGAAACUGUUGGAGUAUUUGUUUCCUCGCAAGAUGAGUUAUACUGUUUAUCUCCUUGCAAUAUCUAACAUAGGUACCCAUCCUAGUAAAAUUUUAGGUUGGUUGUCAGUUGAAAUUGAUAAAUUGGGUUUAGUGUUAUGAUUUUUAUCCCGGCUUUAAUAUGUUAACAAUUACAACAGUUUGAUUUUUGUCUUGGGGUGGCAAAAAACAGGGAAUCUCUUUUUCUCUUCUUGUAUUUAUUUUCUUCAUUUCAAUUGGUAGCAUUUCACUUCAAGAGUUGGCACACCAAACUCGUCAUGUUAUUACUUUGUCAUAGGGUGGUAGAUAAUGAAGAAUCUUUUUCUUUUGUUCAAUUUCCCUGUUUGGGUAUCUAGCACAGCAACUUGUCCCCAUAUAUCUGGUCAACAAUUUAAAUUCUCAGCCAUUCAAAAACAGUACUAGUAUACGCAGGCCAAAAACAUCCGCAGCAUUUUGGAAAAAAAAUGUUUGGAAAACUAUCAGAAGAGAUGGACACAAAGGUGGCAGCAAAUGAAGCUUGGAAAGUGGGGAUGAACAAAGUUUUUUUUCCUUUUUUUUGGGAUGAACAAAGUUAUGCUUGCUAUUCUCGAUUAAUUGUACUCCAAAAUUUGAAUGGUUAUCCAUUCUUGUUGGAUUUAGUCUUUCAAUAUUACUUAAUUGCUUUUCUAUUUUCGAGGGCAAGGAGGAGUUUUUUUUUUCCUUUCAUUGUUUAACCCUUUCGCACCUUUUCAUAUUCUUUCAAGUACACGAUUUGAAUCCUAAACCUAACAGUAAAAAAGAUUCUAAUAACCUUACAUUGUCUUGGGAAAGGUUUUAGCUGUAAUCUUAAUAUAUAUAUAUAUAAAGAACUCAAGUAAAUUUCACAAAAGAAGAGGUGUACCACUUAGUAAACCUUAAUCAGCCAUUACAGGCCACAAUAUCCACUACCUAUCAACAAGAAUAGUGAUAAGAAUCCCCAACUCUGCACAAUGUCAAUGUUUUCCUGAGACCUUUUUACAACUUUCCAAUCAACGAAAAUGCCAGUCACAUCCUUGACAAACUCUUUACGUACGAAGUGAAGGGAGAACAAAACUUUCUGAAAGACACUUUGAUUUCUAAACCUCACAGAUGACAGAAUGUAGUAGCAGAAGCAAUCCUAUGCACUAAGCAGACAAAAAGUGAACUUGUGCAUUUCUGUACCAUCCAUUGCAAUUCAUGAUCUCAAUCAGCAGUAUAUCUAUAAUUUAAACAGCAUCUUUAGACUAAUCCCCAUACAUGAGCAGAAAAUUAAAGAGACAACAGAAAACUAGAUGGAGCAUACUACCACAAGGAUCCCAACUUAUCCUUUAUUGUAAUUUGUUAAUAAUUUGUCCUUUGUUGUAGUCUUUGACCAAAUAAUGUCAAUUGUACAAAUAAAGACCCCACACAAUUUUAUUUGGAUUGCAUUUAAUAUAAAAUUAAGGGACUCCAUAGUUCCGUUUUAAGUAAUUUCAUUCAAAAACCAACUAUUAGACUUAUCAAGUAAUUUAUCCAUACCGUGAUAAAAUUUCUGAAUGAAAAUAAUAGAAAUCACCUUGCAUUAUCCAAAGUGAGGUUUAUCAAUUCAGCCAAAACAACAAAUGUGACUACAAAAAUACGAUAUGUUAAUGCGGUAGACAAACACUUGAAAAUAGUUUUAAAAAAAAAUUUAAAAGAUGGAUCAAUCUUUUAUUUUAUUUCUACCCCAUAUAGCUGUGAGUCAAAUAAAAUAUCAUUUUUCAAUAUUUAUUUACUAGAAUUAUCUCCUAAUCAAAGACCUUGUGAUCAAAUUCUAUAACAAUUGAAUAAAAAAAUUCAAGAGAGAUGACAACAUAGUUUUUUUUUUGCUCGGGCAACAAUAACAGUUGUAUAACAUAUUCUAUCCUAAUCUACAAGGAGGGGGAGCUUAAGGAGACUUGUGUAUCGGGGGUUGGUAGCUAUACAGACCUGACUAAAUCAAAGGGAUGCUAUAACACAUCUCUUAAAUUUUUUUUUGCUGCAGGUGGAAUUUAAACUCCCCACCUACAGCCCAAUGAGGGACUUAAGUCCCUCUCUAAGCUCGGUGGUUGAUGACAACAUGGAUCAAAAGUUUUCAAAACGCAAAUUUCAUUCCUCAAAACUAAAAAUUAAAAAGCUGUCCAAGUCAAGGGAUAAGAAGGGUUAGAAAGGUGAAACCCAACGACGAAAACAUGGGCUUCAGAUAUUCUCUAGCCCAGAACAUUCUCAAAUAUUUGGGCUCCUGCUUGGGGCCCAAAUUUUGUUAUUAUCCUCAUCUCCUCCGGCGGCCUAGUUUUUUUCUCUCUGGCGAACCGGCGAGGAAAGAGAACAGUGGGAUUUUCUACUCUAGAAAAUGAACAGGUAAUUUAAUUAUUCCCAUUUUCUUGUGUUUCUAAUUCGAUUUUAGUGGUUCAGAAGAUUGUAUUCUCCCCCCAGAGUCAAUUUUUGAAAACUUCCUGUUAAAGAAUGUUGAUGAUUUCUUAAACGAAAUGUGCAUGUAAAUGUGUAGCCAAAAAAUUCUAAAAGAAAAUCAUGAAGAAAUCAAGAGCAGCUGGUGUUAAAGAACGUAAAAAGAAACGAAUUUUGAUUUGGGUUUCUGCAGCCCUUUAACUUUGAAGAGCUAAUUGUUCAUGUGAUGUGUUUUUUGAACAAUUAAAAGGGCUGUAAAAGCUUCUUGAAUUUUGAACCCAAAAAAAAAAAAAACAAAGAGCUUCUUGAAAGUGCUUCUUUAAGUUUUACUUGUAUACUUAUUAUAUGAGUAGAGGUGAAAAUUCAAUCUUUUUCGGUAUACAUUUGGAAGUUUCUUGGAAGAUAUCUUUUAUAAAUAUUAUUGAAUUGGUUGUCAGCUGAUUCUAACUCCAAACUGAUAUCUGAUGUCUUGCAUUUAAUGUUUGCGAGUUGUAUGCAGUGUAGUCGAAGUGACAUAGUGCAUGUAUGAAUGGAAGAUUGUAUAAAUUAUCUCGUUGAACUGUCUAGAGUCAGUUUUGAAGUGAUUCUAUCUACUGAUGAUAUGAAAAGUAUUACACUUUAUGCUUGCAAAUCUUAUGUGGACCUAUUUAAAGUAAGACCAUCAUGUGGAGAUUUUACACCUAAUAUGCGUAUCAUUAAGUGUAUCCAAUGUCUUGUAAUGAUUCAAAGAUUUUACUUUGGAGGGCAAUCAUUUGUGUUGUUUUUUUUUAUGGUUCUCAAUGUAGGGCAAUUGUUAGGAGAAUUACGCCUAAUAUCCGUACAUGGAGAUCCACCCUGAAAACUUUCUGUAGUGAUACAAGUGAAAAGUUACAUGGUUCAGACGGUGACAAAGCAGUUACAGUAAAGUCUUCAUCCUUGGUUAAUAAGUUUGACCUUUUUUUAUUAUAUUUUUAAUCUCAUUACAGCUGUCAGUUUAAACCACGAUCUUGUCAUUUCCUGUGCUUCUAUAUGUUGCUAGCUCUUGCUUUGAUGGAUUAUUUUUUAUCAUGCAUAGUUGAUAGAGUUCAAUAACUUCAUUUUUGUCAUUUCCUGUGUUUCUGUAUGGUUUGGAAGAUGCAUCGGACAGACAAUUUGAUUCUUUGUCACUGGAAGCUGAUAAAAUCUUGUGCUCUGCUAAAUCUAGCCGGAUAAAGUUUAUAAGGCACUUUUGUUUGUUGGUGUGAUUUUUUAGUUUCAUGCUGAACAUUAAAAUGGAAAACAUUUUUUUUUUUAAAUAGGAGCAAUGGGCACCAUAGGUUGUCAUGUAAGUAGGAAGCUACCGCAUGAGAUACGUAUGUAACUUUGAACAUAUAGUAGUUGUGUCGGAAAACUAAUGGAAGAUAUUUUCAGGAGGUUUUGGUGAUGGCAUUGUGCAAAGUUACACAUGCAGGAAACAUACAUUUGAUGUUUCACUGUCAAUUAACUGAUAACUAACAUAUUAAGUCUGAUUAUACCUCACUUUUACUGCAUUCCACUACCAAAUGCAAAUGGCUGGUGGUUUGUAAUGUUCCUUUUCUUACAUUGCUUCCCCUCUGCCACCCUACUCUUUCACAUCCUUAUAAUUUUUCUUAACAUUUAUGAUUGCUUAUGCUCGCUUAUAAAGAAAUUAACCUUUUAUUCUGUUCUGUUUACUCCAUCUAUUUAAUGAUCAUCCGAGAGCAUGUUUUUUUGUUUUCCCAUUGUUCUCUCUCUUAUGUCAUUUUGAUAAUCUCAAUAACCUGGAGCAAGAGUAACACGAUUUAAUUUCAGUCAAAAAUAUAUUGAUGAUACCUGAAAAACUUGGUAGCUAUAGCAUGGUAUGCUAAGGACGGGAUCUGUGGUUACCUUAUUGAAGGAAUGUCAUAGUCAUGCUAAUUUUCUUUAUUGGUUCUUUAAUCUUUCAAGUGAUAAGGUAUAGAUUAGCCAUCAUGUCAGUCCUUCAUUCCUUCAUUUGGGAGAUUAUUAUUGAAAGUUUCUUAACUCAAUUUCUACUCUUCAAUGUUAAGCAGGACUCAACCGACAAUGUUCCUCAAUAUGAUGUUGCUAUUGUUGGGGGUGGCAUGGUUGGCAUGGCUCUUGCUUGCUCCUUGGGUACAAAAAUAAACAGCUUUUUUUUGUUUGAAUGUUAGAUAUACUUUUCUGAUCUUUAAUGUUUGUCUGCUUUGCCUUACCAUGCGCAUAUAGUGGCCUAGCUGUAAGUUAGUCCUGUAUUUAUGCAAAUAGUAGUUCUGUAUGUUUCAGAAAACAUAUUUUACAUCUUUGCAGUCAAACUUUAUGUUUGACUUGAUCUUAAACCUCCAACAAAAAGGUCUCAAUUUGUUUUUUCGGCUUCCUCCUCUUUUCUUCUUUCAUUUUUCUUUAUGCCUUUCUUAUGUGUAACAAUAUCCAAAAAUCGAUUUUUGAAGAGCCUUCUUGAUUGGUUAAACUUGAACGAGCCUUAUAUGAGUUUCACAUGCCAGUUAUAUAUUUUUGUUCUGCUUCUUUUUCUUGUUCUAGGGAAACAAGAGGAGAUGAUUAAUUGGAAAUGCUUUCAGUCUUUUUGAUGCAUUAAACUAGUUUUUGUGCACAUUGGAGUAUCUAGAUUACAUAAACAGUUGUUAAAAUGUUCUGCAGCUAGCAUGCCAUUGACAAAACAUCUGAAUGUUGCCAUAAUUGAUAGCAAUCCUGCACUGCUGGCCAGAGAUAACAUAAAAAAAGAGGACGCUCCAGAUCCAAGGGUCAGUACAGUGACGCCUGCAACUAUAUCUUUCUUCAAAGGUACAACCUUUGAAUUUUUCUUUCCUUUUUUUUUCUUUGCUGUGCUUGCAGAUAGUAUACUGGUUCGUGUUUCUUAUUCUGCUGUGUGGUCUUUUUAUAAUUAGGACAAUAGUAUGCAUGUGUAGAGAAUAGAGUUGUUAUUACAUCAACUCAUGUAGAGGCAUGCUGGUAGAUGUAUUAAAUAUUUUAGUCCUUUCUCUGCAAAAAUGGACCAUUAAAUAAUACUUAUGCCAAUUCAAAGCAUCAUGACUGUUAUUCAUUCAACUUAAAACAGUUCCUGUUGUAUGGGAAGGUUAGGCCCAUAGACUUGUCUAACUUUGAUAUUUUGGAUGAGGUAUAAAAAGAGCAAGUAGGGAGCUGCCUAGACCAACUUUACUGGCAAAAAAGAAUCUCAUGUUGACUGUGUUAGCAUUCAUUCAUGGUUAUGAGGUUGAGGCAGUGCCUUUACCUCUUCGUUAACUGCAUAACGGAGAUGCUUCAUUUUCUUUGCCGGUGGGAUCUUUUUCUGUCAUGUUCUUUUUGCAUGAACUUAAGCAACGGUUUUAGGGUAUUUUAGUCCUGCAUUUCCUUGCUACUCAAUCUCAUUGUGGCCAAAAACUACAACAUGCACCUUAGAUACAAAGGUUGUGUGAUUUUAGUGCUGCCAUAUAUUACCUGCCAGAUGAGGAAUUUAGCUAUAAUAAGUAGAAGCUUAUCUCUCUUCUCCCCAUACAUGGACAACAAUAAAAGAAGGAUGAUGAUUAGGUGGUAUGUGGUUUUGCAUUUCAAACAUGUUUAUCAGAAAAGGUAAACAUGAUUACCCUUUAUACUGAAUCUAUUUUAGGUUGUUCAGUUACUCAACUAGUUGAGUCUUUAUUCAAAGUGUAAUCUUUGUCUGAAAAGCAACUUUAGAUGAUAAAAAUGUUUGAAAAAACUUUUGACAUGAUAGUCCAAGCAUAAAUUUAGUUUUCAAUCUAAAAGGUCAAGAUUAAUGAUGUUAAUCUGAAGUCAAAUGUUAAAAAACGAUCAUGUUGUUAGUGGAAUGCUUUUUGGGGGGGGGUACUAAAAUACCCAUUUCAGUGUGAUUGUUCCCAACCUGAUGCCAAGUUUGUAGAAAUACUGAAACGCUAUUUGAGAUGCUUAAUUCUGAAUUUUCUUCUUCUAAAUGGUCCACUCGACUUUAAAAGGGAAUUUUUCAUACUUCUUCCAAGAUUAUGGUUGUUUAUCGUUGACCAACAAAGUAUGACAGUGGCGGCAUGUAGGUAUGGGUGCAUGGCAGUAUGUUCAACUGCAUCGGCAUGCCUUUUUUGAUAGGAUGCAGGUAAAUCAUGCUGUUAAUUUCUAUUCUCUAAGCAUCUUUACUUAUUUGGUGCUUGCGUACAAUGUGAACAGAACAAAAGUAAGCUUUCUUUGUCUUGGUGCAUGUUAUUUUAGGAUUUAGGAUCUACUUCCUUAUGGCAGUGUUGUAAUUGCAGAUUUUUGUUGUAGGACCUAAAACUGCAAUGUAGAAAUAUUUUUGUUUUUCGAAGGCCUUAAAAGGACAGAGCACAGCUCUUUACAGCCUCUGUCUUUCUGUUUGUUGCAAUAUAUGGUACUUGAUAGAAGAGUUUAAUCUGUUUCCUUUAUACCUUUGGCAUGUUGCAGUGUUUGCUUGAUAUGAAAGUAAGGAUUAUGUUACAGAAGUAAGUUACUUUUUAUUGUGUUUUGCUUUCUGAAAAACAAUGCACAACUAGUUGCCAAGUAAAUGCCUAAGGAAACAAAACUUAAAGACUCCAACUGGAAAUGUAAUGGUCGGGCCACAUAGUAUGUCCAACUAUGGAGGAAAGAGAUUUUUCUUUCCUUGGGAUGAAAGAUUAGUGUUUGAGCUGCCGAUAAACUUUUUAUUUGUGAGGUAUCUUAGAAGUAUGCAAUCAGACAUGGUAGGGUUAAUUAAAGAAAAAGGAUUUGUGUAGUCAGCAUGGAUAAAAAUGUUAAGUUUUAUGAUGUUGGAUUUGGCAGGGUUAUUUCAUUUACUUUACAUGUUGAAUAACAUGUAAUAUGUUGCAUUUUUAUCUCAUAUUUUUCGCUGAAUUGUCAUUGUAAUAAGAAUUAGCUGAAUUUCUGGAUUAUGCACUGAGUUGUGCAAGACUGGUACGUGGUAUGGGAAGAGUAUUUUCAAAGCAUCUAGUAAGUCAUAACAAAAGCCAUGCAAGUUGGUGGGCUAGCAUAAAUCUGAUACAGCAAGAGUGUUUUUGCCCAAUUGAUUUUAUCCAUAUUUCAUCAAAUUGCUGCCUUAUGAUUCUAUAGGUUUGGGAUUACACUGGUCUUGGAUAUACAAGGUACAGUGCGCGAGAUGUUGAUAAAGCUGUCCUCGGGUAAGAGUAACAUUUAACUACAUAUGUAUAAUCAUUUCCAUAUUCCAGUAGCGGUUGCUCGCAGAUGAUACGUGAUUUGAGAUUUUAAUUCAGGUGUGUUGUGGAGAACAAAGUGCUUCAAAGAUCUUUGUUAUCAUGCAUGGAGGUACUUUACUACUUAGCUGUUCUUUUUCUGUUUAUCAGUUGUGAUUUGAUUGUAGCUGUAAUUUUCCAUCCCUUACUUGGUUCAGUCUCUAUGAUGCUACCUGUAGCUUCAGCAACACUUAUUUAUUUUUUGAUCUUCACGAGAAACAUCUCCACUUUUGUCCCAAUUCCCCUUCUUUUGUACAAAAUGUGUACUAUCAUCAAUAUUGCUUCUCAUAAAGAAGCUUCUUACUUUUACCAUCAUGUUCUUGGUAUCAAUUUCUGAAGAGUAGGAUAUUGCAUCAAUAUAGUUGUCAUAGUUACCUUUUUAUUUGUGGAUAAGCAAAAAUGCUUCUGAAUAUCGUUCAAGAAUUGUCAUUUAAUGCCUUUUCGAAAAACUAAUGCCCUCUUCCAUGAAACAAAGUAGUGAUCAAACCAAAUUUAUCUUCUAGAAACUUGUGGUUUGUCUUGUUUUGUCCAUAAUUUCAUAGAUGGCCCAUAAGUUAGCUUAGAAUCUCAAUUUGAAUUAGCUUCAGUCUUGGAAGUCCCCAGAUGAUGAGUGAAAGCUGUAUAUGUACUUUUCUAUUUGUUUAGUGUGGGAACAUUUAUAGUUGAAAAUAAAAUGUGCAUUUUUAAUAAUAUAUGUAGAUUUUUCACUUGAAUAAUGUAUUUCUGCUUCUUCCAAUCCCAUUAUAAUGCUUAAGCCCAAUGCUGAAACACCUUAAUUGCAUAAUUUUUAUUUUGAGCAUGAGCUUAAGCAUAAGCUGUAUAGUUCUGCUUUGCUCGAGUUCUAACUUUACAGCCCUUUCAAUUUUUCACUCCUCCGUAGUCCCAAAGGAGAAAGGCUUAUUCAUUUUCUUCAUGUGUUUCAUUUGACAGCUUGAGCAAACUUCUAGUAUUUGCUUGACUUAUUUAAAGUAAUAACUUUCAGGACUCAGAUGUCAAGAAGAAAAUAUAUCCUUCUAGAUUGAAUUCAAUGACACUACAUAAAAGCUCCUUGUUAUCGGGAACAGACAGCAUAUCAUCAGAACCUUCUGGAAGUUUAGCUAAGCUGAACCUGAGCGAUGGUGAUUGUUUGUAUGCAAAGUUGGUGGUGAGUUCUGGCUUAAUUUCAAUUUGAUGAAGCAAAAGAUUGGCAAACUAGAAUAUGUUAAUAGGUGCAUCUUACAGAUGAAUUUGUUGAGUCAUGCUCAUCUUUCCACCCGUUUUAAAUCAAUUUAUUUGAUGCAUAUUGCAGGUGGGAGCUGAUGGAUCAAAAUCACAUGUCAGGAAAUUGGCAGGAAUUAGUACAACGGGGUGGAAGUACCCCCAAAAUGCAAUUAUCUGUACUGUUGAGCAUACAGAAGAUAACAGGUGUGCUUGGCAGAGGUUUCUGCGUACCGGGCCCAUUGCCCUUCUGCCAAUGGGUGAUAAUUACAGCAACAUUGUUUGGACAAUGGGCCCCCAACAAGCUGCGGAUCGCAGAUCAAUGAAUGAGGCUGAUUUUUUAAAAGCAGUUAAUGAUGCUUUGGAUGAUGGACAUGGUCCGCAUCCUCAAUCUGAACGAAUAGGAGACGGAGGAAUAUUGGCUUGGCUAAGAUCCGACGAGACAUCAUCAGCCAGUGAGCACUUUGAAGUGCCUCCCAGAAUCACUAAAUUGGCCUCGGACAGAAUGGUGUUUCCAUUGUCCUUAAUGCAUGCCAACAAUUAUGUAUCAAAGCGUGUUGUUCUUAUUGGUGAUGCUGCACAUACUGUUCAUCCAUUAGCUGGUCAAGGAGUGAACCUGGGUUUUGGAGAUGCAAAUUCUCUUUCAAGAGUCAUUGCUGAAGGUGUUGCUGUGGGAUCUGACAUUGGAGAGGUACGUUGAUAUCGCUAUUCUUGAUUCUGUCGGAUAUCAUUUUGAACUUGUCAUGGAUAUGCCUUUGUUUUCCUUGUUAGCCCAAGUUGAACCGUGCAAGCCAUGUAUUUUAUUAACUUCAAGCCGUUGCACUCUUUGUGAUAUCCAUCGUUGAACACAGACUGCAGUUGGAAGUAGUUGCCUAGAUGACCUGAUAUCAUUGCAUCAUUUUGUAUAUUUCACUGCUGCAUAUGGUCUGGAAAUGGAAUUUGAAGCAGUUGCUUAAUGUUUCUUUCAUUGUUCGUGCAAUUUCUGAUUUCAUUUCUGUGGAAUUACUACCUCUUUUUAUGGUCAGAUGGCGCUUUUGAAGAGAUAUGAAUCAGAAAGGAAAGCCGCGAAUAUUGCAAUGAUGGCCAUUCUUGAUGGUUUUCAGAAGGCAUAUUCCAUUGACUUUGGGCCUCUAAAUGUGUUGCGUGCUGCUGCCUUUCAUGGAGUCAACUACAUCUCACCCCUGAAGAAGAAUAUCAUUUCUUAUGCUUCAGGCGAGCAGAGACUUCCACUUUUUACAUGAAAUAGAUGUAAACUUUUUUUCUCUUUUUUUUUUUCUUGUUUUGGAUAAAAUAUAGAUGUAAACUUCAAGAGGCAUUUUGUAUGUAGAUGACUGAAUGUACGUGCAUAAUAAGCUUGAGAGUACCCAAACAUCAGCUUCAGGAAAAAAUACAUACAUAUACAUAUAUAUAAGCUCAAUUUUCGUUUGUGAAAUUGACUAUGGUCUCUCGCUAUAUUUUAUGCACCUUGCACCAGCUUAAUAAACUACGAAGUCGUCAAUGUUGCAAGGGGCAUAAGCGUCUACUGACAAAAUCCGAAGCAGCUCUUGCAACCUUUGUAUUGACAUUUUUAAUGUGUGUACACAAAUGCAGCUCUAUGUUCAAGGUUCUUAUCCACUUGUGUUGUACUUAAAUCCUAAACGAGCACUAACUAAUGCAGUAUUUUAUCAAUACAGAAACUUUUUAAGAGCGGUUUGAGGGGAAAAUUAAGGGGAAAGUCAUCACUAUUAUUUGGACAAGGUCAUCACUGAAAAAGCUUGAAAUUGCUGGUAGUAAGAGCAAAAUUAGUGCCCGGUUCAUUUACUGAGAGCUUCGCCUGCUCGUAGAUCAUGUGAAUGUGAGGGAAAUAACAAGUCUUGGAUGGUUAUUUAAAAGUAGAAGAGUUUUUAGAAAAUGUUUUGGAUAUUUUUUAAAUAUUAAAAAAAAUUUAAAUUACUUUUUAGAGUAUUUUUUAAAAAUUUUAAUAGUAUUUAAAAAAUUAAUUUUUGAAAAACUCUUGAAUCCAAACAGAGCAAGAGGUUUUGCAACUAGUGACGUGCUCAAGUUUUGUCAUGUACUUUAUAUUGGUAUUUCUUCAGGCCAAAACUCGGAUCUUCAUAGAUUCAAUGGUCGUGGUGUGACAUAAUCUGGAUCUACCCAAGUGUAUGCCUUCUUUCAAAUCAUUGGGGAACACCAAUUUUGACUGCACUUGUGGAAUUGAUUUUUUUGUUAAAACAAAAACAUAUAAGUGUCCUGAUAAGCUAGAUAAUUCACAACAAUCCUUCUAACAAUAGCCCUAUUUUAGUACUUACUUGCAUGUUUGGUGGUACUUAGGCAAAAGUUUUUAGCACUGUGACUUGGACUUCCAUUUUGUCUUUUCAUGAAUUCUUUUAUCAUGUGAAGGAUUUGUUUUUUUUUUUUUCCACUUGAAUGCAUACAAGCUUUCUCUUUUGCUAUUUUAAUGGUCUCUUUGAAGAGCUGUGGAUAAGAUUGUGUCAUUUCCAAAUAAUUCAGAAUUGAUGUACUGAUUGUUAAAAAGCCUUCCGUUAGGUGCUACUGUGCUAGGGAUGCCCAGCGUUAAGGAAAGCACCAAGGGUGACAAUCAAGUAGCAAUAACAUUGGAAUUUGAAGUAAAGAACUUUUGCACAAAUAGUUCAUUGAUUGGUUACUUUGAAAUAUACGAAAUAGCAUUGGAAUUUUGCCACAAGGGUUAAUUACAAAAACUCCCCUUAAGAUUUAGUUAAAGUUGCAGUUUAUCCCCUCAUGUUUAUUUCUUCUUAUUUUAUCCCCUAUUUCACUCCAAGUCGUUGACUAUUUAAGCAAUUAUAUUGACAAAAAAUGCCCUUUUACAUGGUUUAUAAGGAAGGACCCCUCUCCCCCCUCCAAGAUUCUUUGGAUGUACAAAUUAUAAGAUAUGAUUUUUACUUCUAAAUAAUUAUUUUAAUGUAAACUUUUGGAUAAAAUAAAUAUUAAUAUUAAUAUUCUUAAUUUGUUCACAAUCGCCAUGCAUGUAAUUACUUAAAGUGGGUAGAUCACGAAUUUUGUGAAAAAGGAAGACAAAUAUGUGUUAUAUGGCAAAUUUUUUUGUCAAAAAUUAAGGAAGAGAAAUACGUGUUUUGGUGUAAAAAUUACAUUUUUUCAACAAUUCUUGAAUGUAAUGCAACACAUUUUUCUCUUCGUUUUCCUCCAAGUUUAAGGUCUACCCACAUAAAAUAAUUACAUGCAUGAUGAUUCUAAGCAGAAAAAAUGCUAUUCAUAAUUCAAUUUAUUUUAUCCAAAAAUUCCAAAAAAAUCUAUGAUAAAAAUUGAAUAUUGUAAUUUGAACAUCCGAAGAGUCUUGUAGUGGUGAUGUGGCAAAUUGUGGUCCACUCGAUUUACAAGUGGGGGCAGUAGACCAAGCCUACACAAUUUUUUGCCUUUCUAUGCAUCUUUGUGCUAUUGGGCUGAGAAUUAACCCUACUUUCACUUUUAUUUUCUGUGCCUUCAUUCUCCGUGUCCUCUUUCCUAUCCCGUCUCCUAUUUCUUAUUUUAGUCUAUUUUAUAUCUUUUUACCUUCACCUCCUGUUUUUCCAAUCUCUCUUUCGUGAAAAUUUUUAAUGGACAAACAAAAUUUUAGUUGGUUUCUUAUCUUUCUUUCCUCUUGAUUUAGUUGGUUUCUUUUCUCUCUAGGUUUGAAUUUUUUCACUUUUACUUAAACAUCCUUUUGAUCUGCAAAAAAGAUAAAAGGGGAACAUAAAUCCGCUGAAAAGAUAUUCUUAGAUCUAUCUAAUACCAGUAAACGUCCUUUAGUAGAAGAAUAAGGAACAUAAAAUUUAUAUUUUUUAUUUUCUCAAUUUUUUAUUUAUUUUUUUUCCUCUUCUUUUUUUGUGUGGUUUUGUGAUGCCCAACCCGAUUCAAUUCAAAAAAAAUAUGGUACUCGACCCAUAUUAUUUGACUAGAUCUGAGGAGGUUUGGGUACCUGCUUAUAUGCAAGGUGGGUUUGGGGUUAGAGGACUGAGAACCUACAAGGUACUUGAUCUGCACCACACAUAUGUUUUUCAUUUUUACACAUAUGCAAAAUACUAUUUUAGAGCCAACUAAAUAAUUUCAUUGAGCAAAUUGCACCCCAAAUAUGAGAGAUUAUAAUUUGUUUACAAUAUUCAUUUGUAAAGGUCAUGAUCUUGUGAUUUUUAGAAAAGAGUUCAAUUGAUAUGGAAUACAUAUAAAAUGUUAAUGUUUAUUACAAUUUUCAAUGGUUAUGGAUUCUUUUAAUUUUUUUCUUUUUCUUGUAUUUUCUUUGCAUGUUUAUUUCUUGGCAUCAGACCUUUUUUAGGUAAAAUCUAAGCUGAAUCAUAGAUGAGUAUGUAAAAUAUAUAAUUAAAUUAGUAUAAAUUAAUUUUUAAUGGAUACCCACUAAUAUGAUCCACUUCCGGCGAGUACUCAAUGACUGAGUAUCCGUUGAUAUGUGGAGUGGGUAAGGACUAGAAAACAACUAAUCCGCAAAGUGUGGGUCGGAUUAGCCAAAUCCCGUGUGUCGGGGGAGUAUCAGACCCAUGCUCCGCACUUCUACCAACUAGAUAAAGGAACAGCUUUAGCUCACCAAGGAGUGCCAAAUGUCGAUACCCUAUUGGAGUGAGCAAAUUUGUUUUAGUUAUCUUGGGGUUUAAGGGAUUAGAAAUGUCCAUUUGAUCUUGGUGUCCAAACUGACAAUCCAAACAACCCCUUUCUAUUUAGGGUUAAUUUGAUUCAUGUACUGGUUCAGAUGGGAUGACUCAUCUUCGGAUUAUUAAUCCUGGGUUGAGUUAUUUUUGGAUUAAUAACUCAAGUUAUCUAGUGUGUGUUUAGUUCUAAGUUGGAUAGGAUAUAUUGAAAAAUAAUCAUAUUCUAUGUUUGGUUGGAGAUUGGAUGAUAUAGGAUUACUAUUUUAUGACCAAAAUGCCCCUUAAUUGGUAUGUUCAUUUUAGUAAAAUAAUUUGAUAAUUUAUAACUUUUAUUAAAAUAAAGUAACUUGAAACUUUAGAAUUAUAAAGUAAAUAUUUUAAUAUAUAAAAAUUUGCAUUCACUCAAACUCAACCCAUUUGAGCCCUUAAAAAUAGGUUUUAACUUAGUUUUUUAAUCUGAAUUUGAAAUUUAAUUAAAUAAUGGGCUGAGUUUUGGUUAAUUAAGGUUAAAUUCAAUAAAAUUCGACUCAUUUAAGAGUUUUAAAUGAGCCAAGCUCAAGUCAUUAUAGAAAAUUUUCUCUACGCUGAGCUUGAGCUUAGUGAAGCCCUCAUUCACAAAUCCUAAUUGAUAAAGUUAUGUGUUUAUAUAGAAUUUGGUUGAGGAAACAAGAUUAGUAAGGGCAACUUAGUUCAAGGGCAAUAUAAUCCUUUUAUUAUUAUGUAAGUAGGGGCAAAUCAGUUAAAAAUUUAAAAUAAUGAAGAAGGGCAAAUUAGUUAAAACUUUUUAAUAUAAUCAGUAGCGGCAAAUUAGUCCAUGUAUUAUCAUAUUAUUAUGUUAGAGUAUGGUUAUAUAAUAUUCAAUAUGAAUUUGUAUCAUGCACAAGGGCAAUUUAGUCCAAAUAUUAUUAUGUUGGUAGCAGGAGCAAAUUAGUCAAAAAAUUUAAAUUAAUUAGUAGGGGCAAAUUAGAUCAUUUAUGUUAUAUUAUCAUGCGUGACUAAGGUUAUAUAACUAUUAGAGUAUAAAUUUUUUUUUUUUUUUUGUAAAGAUAAGUUAGUUUAAAAUUUUAUCAUCCUAUCUUUUAGUUAUCCCGAGAUGAGAAAUAUUACCUCCCUCAUGGGAUCAUUUUAUUCCAUGAAUAGGGGAUUAAUUUGGUUAGUUGGGAUGUAUCAUCCAUGUAUAAAAUGCAACCAAAUAUGGGAUCAAAGAAAAUGAUUAAUCAAAUUUUAUGUCGUCCCAUAAAUCAAAUGGAAAUUUUGGGGGUGUAUUGGUAAUAGCAGUCCAAAUGUUUCCAUUUUUUGAAUUGUUUAUGGUUGGAAAGGUGUGAAAAGUCCAUUAGGUCCUUCAAGUACACCCCGAACUUGAAAGGAAAAUGGUUCAAAACAUUCCUUAUAUUUUACAAAAUGACUUAUUUCGUCCCUCAAUUUUAAAAGUAUAAUUUUUGUACCUUAUAAAUUCAAAUUGAUCAAUUUCUGUCCCUACCUAAAUUUUUGACUAGUUUUUUAUCGAAAUAUACCACAUGCCUUGUAUGUGAUUAUUUUUUAAGCGCAAAAUUGUCAAAUCAAAUUUUACAUAAUCUGAUCCAUAGUUUCUCAUAAAAUGAAUUUUAAUUUUUUUCAUCCCUCAUCGAUCACGCAUACGAAUAGAUUUUUUUUUUUAACUCAUGUAUAUAUCUAUUUGAUUUCACCCGAAUAGUACAAAUAGCAUGUAAUAUAUUUGUCUUUAUUUUCACUUACAACUAGAAAUUAGCUUGUUCGGGUAAAAUCAAAUAAAGAUAUAUUACAUAUUAUUUGUACUAUUUAGGUUAAAUCGAAUAGACAUGUACAUGGUUUUCAAAAAUAAGAAAAAAAAAAUUUUGCACAUGAUUAAUGAGGGAUGAAAAUUUUAUUUUAUGAAACGUGAAGAAGGAAAAAUUAAUUUUGAGAAAUGUGAGGGACGAAAAAUUUAUUUUGCAAAAUGUAAGGGAAUAUGGAUCAGAUUAUGUAAACUGUAAUUUGAUAAUUUUUGCCCAUAAAAAAUGAUCACUUGCAAGGCACGUAAUGGAUUCCAAUCAAAAACUAGUCCGAAACUUGGAUAGGGACUAAAUUUGACUAAUGUGAUUUUUUAAGAGGACGUAAAAUUAUACUUUUAAAUGUGAGAGACGAAAAAGGUUAUUUAACAAAAUAUAUGGGACAAAAUGAUUUUCACAAACUUAAAACCCAUUCAUAAACAUUACCAUUUAUUCUGCUGACCUAAUUUUUCUGAUUUGCUACGCUUUCCUCAUAGAUUUUCAUUCUUUCUUUACCCAAAAUUCAGCAACUUUCGGAAGGUAUCUUCACCAUUCGACCUAUUCCCACUGAUUUCAGUUAUGCACAGGGCUUAGAUUGGGAUGGAUAUCUUAUAAUCGAAUAUGUAUGUACUAUUCAUGUAUGUAUUAGCUAUCUGUCUUUGUUCUUUUAUUUCUUGUUCGAGGGAAAUAAGUGCAGAAUGAUUAUGUAUGUUAUUUCUUGAAAAUGUCCUGCAACUAGGAUACCAUUGACUAACAUCUGAUUCUUGCAUUUAUUGAUAGCAAUCAUACACUAAUGGCCAGAUAUCGCAUUAAAACAAAGAAUUCUCCUGAUUCAAGGGUCCGUACAAUCAUGCUUGUAACUGUGUGUUUGUUCAAAUGUACAACCUUUCACUUGCUUUAUUUAUGCUUGCAGAUAGUGUAGUGGUAGCUAUCACAGAUAGGAUAGGAAAUCAUCAGUUAAUGGCAGUUUGAAGUGCUGCUUUAAAUCACUACAUCGGCCACAUAUACAAUGGUGUUUGCAUUGUCCUUAAUACAUGCCAAUGAUUAUGUGUCAAAGCAUACUAUUCUUAUUAGUGAUGCAAGCAGACACUAUUCAUCUAUCAGCAGGUCAAGAAGUGAUAUGAGUUUUGGAGAUCUGUGUUCUCUUCUUUAGAGUUAUUGCUAUAAGAUCUGAUAUUGAAGAAGUAUAUUGAUAUCUAAAAUUCUGAUUCUGUAGGACACCACUUUGGAACUAUCGUGGAUUGCCUUUGCCCUCGUUGUAAGUCUCGAGUUGAAGAGUACAAGCAAAGUAGUAUUUAUACAAACCAAGCAGUUGCGUUAUUUGUAGCAUUUGCUGCAGCAUAUGGACUGCAAUUAAGAGUUGUUUGGAUGACCUGAUACUGUUGAGGUAAUACUAGUCUAGAUAUCUUGUAAUCGAAUAUGUAUGUACUGUUCAUUGAACACUCGUACUUUUCUAUCGCAAUUGGUUGCGUGCCCAAUUAUGCUUGUGUUAAACAAUGAGAAAUAUAGUUACCUUGAUUCUGAAUUUUUUAUGUCCUAGCAUGUAGAAUGUUCUGUGUUAAAUUGGAAAAGAUAGCUUUAUGCACUUCAAUGUAAAUUAGGCCUUUGAAGGUGUGUUAUUAAGAAGAUUUUUAUGAAAGUAAAACUGAAAAAAGAAAAUCAUAUGAGUCAUGUAUGAGCUUCAUAUAUCAUCUGUCUGCCUUUGUUCUGUUUUUUCUUGUUCGAGGGAUAUAAGUGCAGAAUGAUUUGUCCAUGAUGCUUUCAAUAUUUCUUUCAUGAAUUCAGCUAAUUUUUGUCGAUAGUGGAACAUCUAGAUUAUGUAUGUGAUUUCUCAAAAAUGUCCUGCAACUAGCAUACCAUUGACUAACAUCUGAUUGUUGCAUUUAUUGAUAGCAAUCAUGCACUAAUGGCCAGAUAUCGCAUUAAAAUAGAGGAUCCUCCCGAUCCAAGGGUCUGUACAACCAUGCCUGUAACUGUGUGUUUGUUCAAACGUACAACCUUUCAUUUGCUUUAUUCAUGCUCGCAGAUAGUGUAGUGGUAGCUAUCUCUUAUAAUAUUGUGACUAAGAUAACUAUAUGUGUGUAGAUAAGAGAAUAUUUAUUUCAUGAGCUUAAGUGGAUGUAUGCUAGUAGAGUUAUUCAAUCAUUUCUUUGCAUAGUUUUAAUUGGAAUGGACAGACUUAGAAUGAACCAUCAACUAAUACUAAUUAAAGCAUCAUAACUUAUUUAAUUAAGUUUAAAUGCUCUUGUUGUUUUGGAACGUUAGGCCCAUGGACUGUUGUUAAUUAACCUUAUUUACUAUUUUUCUAAGUUAUAAUGGCUUCAUUUAAUUAUCUUAAUGAUAAGGCACGUGAAGUAGAAAUACUAAACGAAAAUUGGAAGAAUCUCAGAUUGUUAGAGGUAGAAAACUUGUCUAAAGUGGUAAGGUUAGGGUCCAAAGCUCUUUUGAGAGCUGAUGUUGCAGCCUUAUUGGCCUAUACAUCUCCGGAGGAUAGGUCUCGUCACAUUUACUUGCUAAAAAACAUGGGUUUUACCUAAUCAGUGAUGAUUGGAUAAAUUGGGAAGAAAUCAAAACGAAGAAAUAUCGUUUCAAUCGAUUUCCAAUACUUGUUUGCUAUGAAAAAAGACCUGGGUGAGACUUAUUUUAUUGUAUCUUUGAUUGUAAAAUUAUUUUUGUGUCUAAUCCUUGUUGUUUAAUUUUUUUUAAUGCAUAUGCAGGUUGACAUUUAACGUUGAUGCCUAUUUUGUAGCGAGCACUACAUUGGAAAUUCGUUGUAAUCUUUGUCGAGACUUGCUAGGUUAUGAGAAUAUUGGUUUUCAAAUUUUGCAUGUUAAACAUUGUCGAGAAAUUGUGGAAACUGAAUUGCAGGGGAUAUGGUGUGUAUUAGAAAAAAUAUAUGGUUGUAAAAAGGAAGACCGUCUAUUUACAGUUCUUUGUGACAACCAAAAAGUUGUAAAAGUUACACUAGGCGAGGAAAUGGACGAAUGCACGGUUAAUAGGAAAUUUUAAGGUAAGUUUGGCUGUAUGACGAUCUUUUAUAAGCUGUUUUGAAUGUACUUUGAAUUAUUUUUUUUUUCCUUUUGGAACAGUGCUGUCCGGCAAGCAACAAAAAAGUUGCAAGAAACGGGUUUUGAAAUUGCUAUUAACCAUGUACAUCGAGAAAUGAACUUGGCAACGAACGCGUUGGUUGAUAAAGAGAAGGUAUUGUGGAAAAAAUGAUUGCCCUUGCAGCCAUCCAGUUCAAUGAAUGAGUAUUUUUUAACAAGAAACAUGGUCAUAUUGUGAUAGCUCAGGACAAUAUAGUCAAUAGAUGUUAGCGCAAUUAUGUAUAACCAUACAUGCCACCUAUGUAAUGAGUCAUACACAUUCCAAUUUAUUCUAAGAAAUUUUGCCGUGUAAUAGACAAGAAAAUUCCUACAACAAACAUAAGUUCUUCAGUAUAUUUACCACAGCUAUAGGUUUUGCCAUGUAUGACAUGAUAUUUGGUAAAAGUUACUCUGAAGUAAUAUGCAUGCGUUUUAAGGUCAUGGCUUAACAUGAUUCACACGCUAACAUUAUACAGCAGGUACCACAUAAUUUUAAAAAUGGAGACACUGCAGAAUACUAUCAAAUGUUUAGCAUAGAAAUUCCCAUACCUGAUUUGAUGAAGUUAUGCUUCCAGCAGUUAAGAAUUCAAUAAUUUUUUCAACAUUGUUUAAUAUGACUUUGUCCUCUUCAGUUAUUGAUGGUAGAAGUGCAGCAGGCCUAAAAGGCCCCAGGGCAGGAACCAUGCUAAACAUAGGAGCCACAUUUCCAAUCCCUAGCAAUGCCAUUAUCUGCACCAACUGUUCCCUAGUUACUGCAUCAAUUCCCUUCACAAUCUGCAUACAAAUUUCUGUAAAAUCAAAUUACUAAUAAACCUUUUCUAAUACAAAAACUCACAAUAGCAUUAGAUAACUGUAAACUUUCAAUUCACAAGAGUAGUAGCAUAUAAUAGAUUUGCAUCAAUAUUUCCACUCCCAUCAAAUGGGGCCCUCGGACUGUCAGUACGCAUGUGCAUGUGCUUAUAUGGUCUGUCAGAUUUAAAAGUUUAUUAUGCGCCUUAGAACAACAGACAGGGAGAAUAGUUUAAAAUUAGUAUGGUAACCCUUCCACCUUUCACCUGAAGAGACUGCAACGUCUUCCCAAAUAAAGAGAUAUAAAGAGAUCUGGAGAACAUCAUGAGUUAGGUCAAUUAAUGAGAUUUCAUUACACAAAAUUGACAAAUACUUGUUAUAUGAAUGUCAACAACAAUGUUAAGGAAACUAUAUGAUCUCAUAAAAAUACAGCGCUAUCAAUCCAUAAACUGGCUGUCUUCACAUAUAAAAGAAAUAGCUGUUAAAGGCCCUUAGCAAUUAAACAGUAAGCAGUCGCAAUAAAUCUAGGAUAUGAUUUAGAUCUCCUACUCUGAAUGCUACUAUAGCCAUGAGAAUUUCAUUUCCUUGAUCUGUCAAUGAAAACAUCAAUCUUGUGCUUGUACUUGUCUAGGACAACAUGCUUCAGAACCUUCAGUGAUGCUAGUAAUGUAAAGAUAAUAUUAUAGGCAAUCUAAGUAAAGAUCCAGAAAACCUAGACUAAAAAUUUGACUUGAAGCCAAACAGAACACAAAACAAGCUAACAACCACAAGAGAAAAAUUAAAUCACUUUCAAGCCUCUUGAGUUACCUCGUCCAAGAAAAAUUCUCGGAAAAAGUUCCCCUUGUCAGACAAUAAAAAUGCUAAGGCAGCUCUUGUCUGAAUUGGCUGCACAGAUUGAGGACUACUUGUAGGAAAUCCAGGAAGCAUAUAACUGGAUUGAUUUUGUAAGACACCAAGUUCUGCCAUUCUGCCACUCAGAUUCUCUCCUCCUCCACUCUUAGCAGCAGUAAUGAAAUUCUCAAAGGCUUGCAUGACAUCAAUGAACCGGUCAGCAUCAAAGACACCAGACUUUCCAUAGAUUGUAUAUCGUAAAGCAUUCCUUAGGCGUGGGGAUUCAUCAGUCAGGAGUCUCUGAUAUUCAGAAGGAGGAAAGACGUUCAAAUACUAUUCCUGAUAGCCACAUAAUUAGGCAUUUACAGAAUGAUAACAACCCAUCCACAAACAAAAAGGAAAAUAAAGAAGAUAUAGGUAGGGAUAUAAAGCAAAAGACAAUAAUAAGGAAAAAGAAAGAACGUUUCACGAUUAAAUAACUGUUGUUUCAGUAUUUAGAGUUCACAAAGAAAGACAGAAAGCUGUUAAAGGGAUGAAAUGUUUGAAUCCUGAAGCAGUAAAUCAAUUCCUCAACUUUCCUGGCCUAAAAAACCCCAAUUAUCGCCAGGUGAGAGAAGGAACCUAGAAAAAAAAAGGAUGUAUGCUAACAACAUACAGGCAGGGAGUCUAAUCCAAAAUUAUUUAAGAAAGAGAGUAUCAGAAAUGACAAUAAUAUGUUAUACACUUGUUAAAAGAUAUGUUCAGGAGUCGCUUAAGCAAAAGGUAAGGCACUAUCAUCCAUCCAUGAGAAAUUUUCUAAAGAUGGACCAAAAAUAUCUAGAUGCUAGCAAAAGUAUAUCAUUGUUAAAUCCUUGUAUUUUUCCUUUAGCCAAAUCUUCCAGCACUCUUUUUUGCGCAAGUGAACCUCAUAAAUACAUGCAUAUUUGGAAACAAAAUACUGCAUGAUAUGACCAACAUAUGCAGCACCACAGCUUUUAUCUUAAUACUUCCAUACCUGCGCUAUGUAUGGGUAGGCUUCAUCUACAAUAGCAAAAUCACGAUUUCCCACUAGAGCUAUGCCUUCCAACACCCCUAUUGCUCGAAUAAUAAGAGCAAAAUAAGGAGGUAUUCUAAAUGGAUAAUCAAAUGUAAUUUGUGCCAAAUCUGAUGCCAGCUCCUGAAAGUUAAUGUUUUUGGCUCCCCCACCCUCCAAUGCUUGAUCAAAAACUUUGGCCAGUACAGGCAAUAUCGGUUCCAAAUUAACUCCUUCCGGAAUGAAAUCAAGUUUGACGAAGUCUUUGACAAUAGCAUCAUAAUCUCGAUGAAUAAGGUGAGCAAUAGCUUCAAUCAUACCAUAUUUCUGAUCAUCCUUUAGCUUUGUUACUAAGCCUGAAAUACGAAAAAUAUACUUUAGAGAGCACCACAUUAAACUAGCUAGAGUUUGUUUCAACUGUGCAUUACUCAACGUAUUCCAGGAACCCUAUCCUCAACUUUAAAAAUGUCAUAAAGCUCAGAACAUAAGAAAUCGACAGACAAGGCAGAUUGAACUUUGACAAAAUUUGGAAAGAAAAAAAAAAGCCACCAAGAUCUAGAUAGAGAAUAAAUUUCAAAAUGGUGAAAACUCUAAUCUAUAAAAUGAAUGGAGAAGGUCAAGGAAAGAUUUUACUCAAUAUACCCUCAUGGCUAAACAAAAAAUACAUAAAGUAUGUCAAAAAAAAAAAAAAUCAUGACAUUUAUAGCAUGAUGAAAAAUAUUACCAAAGUCAAGUAUCGCUAGUUUCCCGUCUGGAGUACGAAUCAGAUUCCCAGGAUGUGGAUCAGCAUGGAAGAAACCAGUAUCAAGCAACUGUAGAUGUACAGCAAAAUAAGAAAGUUAAUAGCUACAAAUUUAGCACUCUAAAUGUCACAAAACACGCAAUUCAAUUUGAUAAAGUUUAUCAGACAAACAACCCAUAUGCAAGCUGGCCUUUCUCCUGCCUCAUAGGGCAUAUCCAUUGUGAAGAAACAAUAGUGAGCUAGACAUCUUUCAUAUGUCCAACCUCAAAAAAAAACUGAUCCAUUUUGAAAGCAAUUGUGCUCAAAUCACAUAUUUGAUGCACCAGGUAGGCCUGGAUACAAACACCAGAAAUAAUGACCUGCUUUGGUCAACAAGGAUGAAACUUCCAAAAAGGUUUAUAUCUCCAACGAAUCAAAUUGGCUAAUGGUGUGCGUUCAUGAGCCCAAGCUAACCAGAAAUCCCAAAAGAACAUAUUUCGCCUAAGGUGAUGGACUACUGGAAUGGUAAUGAUUGGCAUUGGUUUGACCGAGUAGCAAACAGCUUAACCUUUUGGAAAGCAGGGAUUGAAAAUUUACCUGCUUAAGGUAACAUAUCACCCCCACAUUUACCAGUUCCCCAACAUCACUUGCUGUACUCUGUGACAGCUUCUCUCCUUCAAUCCAUUGCGUUGUAAGAACCUUCCUUGAUGUAUAGUUCUGAUAAGUUUAUGGAACAACCACCUGAUAUGUAAAACUUGUUAUAACUUUCCAUAGAAUCACUGGCUGGCAUUUUCAGAACAAAACAAAAUAUUUGGUUCGAUUUUAACAACCUACAAAGAAAAAUUCAUCUGUUGAUAGCAGCAAAGUUCACAACUUGUGCAGCACAGAAGACAUGCACGCUUAACGUAAUUCAUGUUACCUGCGGUAGAUCCUUCUUCAUCAUCUCAGCAAAAGUAGUUCCAUUUUCCCCUUCAGUAACGUAAUCAAGUUCUUCAAAAAAACGUGCAGCCCAUUCAUCAACUAAUCCAACCACAUCAACAGAUAUCUAAAAAAUAAUAAGGGGAAAAUCAAUUAUUAUUUUGUCCAUGCCAUUGUCCACAUUAGAAGAGAAAAGAAAAGGAAAUUUUUUUAACUACAUGUGUAAAUUGACCUGAGGAAACUUCCGAAGAACCAACCCCAAGUUUCUAAUGAUGUACAAAUCAACAGUUACAGUUUCAAGAACGAAAGGCCUUUGUACUUUCACAGCAACCAAAUCCCCAUUCUCCUUUAGUCGGCCCUUAUAAACCUGCCCGAGAGAUGCUGCCAUUCAUUUUCAACAAUGACAACAAAAUGCUUUAUUGUCAGAGAUUAACACAAAACAAAAGGUUCCAAGCAUUCAUUGAUACGAUUAAUCUACACCAUUAUAUCACAAACAACUCAUUUUAAUUAUCACUUUUAAGUCAACAAAGUAAUUUUAGAAUAUUUGCAGGGGUCAACAAACAAAGAAAUUACCAGCCGCAAUUGGGGAUGAAGAAAGUUCAGAAUAUAUGUUAUACCACGGCUGUCCAAGCUCCUCCUCUAACAGAGCCAUUGCAACGUCAUCAGGAAACGAUGGAACCUAUACCAAUGAAAGAAAAAGUUAGCGAAUAAUAAAAUCUUAAAAAGCAUGUCUACAAACUUAUCCUGGACAAUAAUUAUUAUCUCUCUUUCCUUCUCUGAUAUUCUUAAAACUUUUCCUGAAUUCACAUCAAAUUGCAAGCUUGAAGCUGACUUUGCUUGCAACUUGUAUAAUCCUCCAUAUGUUUCCUCAAAGAAUGUCAGAGAAGGUAUCAAGCGGAAUUUUCAGGUGGCAAAGACAAUUGUAAUUUUUUUCCCUGAAUAACUCUUUAAAGAAAAAAAAAAGGAAAGCUUGAAAGGGUUGAAAUGGAACAAAAGAUGUUACAACAGUUGAUCGAUACAGAUGACAAAAGAAUAGCAAUAGAAGGAGAAUGGACAAGUGAGUGCAGAUAUAAAUGCAUGCAUGAAGAUGUUUAUCAAGUCAUUGUAUAUCUAAGAUAACAUUAGCUACUACCAAUUAACAUAAUAAGCAUGCAAAUAUCACUUUUUCCACACAAAGCACUUGCCACCUUAUGGACGAUUACCAUAAUCGAGACAUGAGAAAAUUGUGAAAAUGGUUUUUUAAUGUAAAGCAUCUUCAUCUGUCAUAACAAAAAUCUAUACAAGCAAAACAUGUCAAGUACAACAAAACCAGGAAUUAAUCCAACUGACCUUAUCACAAAGCUUUUGCAGCUCAAUCAUUGCAGCUGGAGAUAAUAUAUCUGGUCGAAUGCUCAAUGCCUGCCCAAGCUUUAUGUAUGCUGGUCCCAGAGAGGUUACAAUCUCUCGUAAUUCAAUAGCUCGAGCAACUUCAUUCUAGUUACAAUUGUGAAAAAGACAAAGGAAAACUAUAGGAUUAUUUGUGAAAGACAGAUGAAAAUCUGAUUUCUGUGAGCUGGGUGGACAAUUGUGGUCAAACACUUCCAUCACAAGGGACCUUUAAAUGCUUUUUACCUCUUUGACUUUUUUGUUUAUUAUAUCCCAAGCAAUACGUGAAAGAAAACCUCCAGCAACAGACAACAACUGCACCAUACGUGUAGCUACAGCACGUGGUCGUUUUCCCCAAUAUGCAGCAAUACUAGCAGGAUCAUAAACCAAUGGUAAAAACUCACUGCUUUCAUCAACCUGGGAAAAAGAAACCCACCAAUAACACAACAAUGAGGAUUCCUUGGUUGAAAGACAUCCUUUACAGGUUGAGUCUACAAAUGCUUGAUGAUAAGCAUCAAUGCAUACAAUGCACUGAGUUUAAGCUAUUUAGUGGCUUAAGAAAGAUUCAUAUUCUCAGUAUAUCCCAUUUAAGGUACUCCAGGUAACCAAGGAUAUCAACCAACAAGCAAGACGUGAUUCACAUAUUUCCCACUUGAAAGCCCAAACCCUAUAACCAUAUCAUCGAUCUCUGGUUGAUUUAAAUAAUUCACAAAUCAAAGGCUAAUGACCCUUGAAAGUAGAAUUAGCAUACAACUUAGUAAAUCAAAUCAUGCUAUUAGACCUCAAUACAAUGAACAUUGUCAAGAACGAAAACAAGAAUAAAUUCCUCAAGUUUCAAUGUGGAGUUAUCAGGCAAACCUCAACUAGUCUGAGCUUGAUAUUAUCAUCAGCAAACAACGAAUCCUUCAAAUUUUGACCUCGAAGCCCACUCAUGAGCACUGCCAACUGCUCAUUUUCUUCCAUUUGUGCCCUCACUCUUUUGAUCUCCUGUGAAACAUCCUGCAUUCUCUGCAGUCCACGAAAUUCAAAGCUUCACUAACCAUUCACCACCUCUAGGAAACAAAAACAAUAUACCAGGAUAAAUAUUUUUCUCAAAAAAAAAAUCAUCAAUAGGAAACAUUUAGAAUUUUUUUCCCCUCAGUUUCUCAUAAAGCAGAAUACAAUUCAUUUUCAAGUACAACUAAUUAGCACCAAUUCAAAUAAAGUUAAUUAAACCAAAAAAAACGUAGAAUAAAGCAAACUACAAGUUAUUGAAGGACAAAAAAUUUGGAUCUUUACCACUAAGCAGAGCGAAAUUGUCAUAAGAACAACACAAUAUUACAUAUAACUGAAAAAUUCUGUUAAUUAAACCUGAGAGAGAGAGAGAGAGAGAGAGAGAGAGAGAGAGAACGGCAAAGUUGUUAAAAAAAAUCAAAAUCCAAAAAAAUGAAUCUUUUCCAGUACGCUUAACUAAAAUGUAAAAAAUCAACAUGCAAACUACGAGGCAACUGAAAAUUCUCAUAAUUAAACACCAAAAAAAUGAAAAAUUAACAAAAUUAAAUCAACUUCAGAAUCCCAAAAGUUUCUCAUAGUUUCCAUUGAGCUUAACUAAAGUUUCAAAUGCAAAUACCAGCACCUGAACAGGAAAAAAAAAAAGAACAAACUUUAACAAAUUUAUAAAAAAUUUAAAUUCCAUUCCACAACUAGAAUUUCACACAGUCGAAAACAGUGCAGCCAACAACAUACUGUGGAAACACCAUUGACUUUCUUAGACGACGUCGUUGCAGAGGAGGAUCCAUAUCCAUUAACAACUUUCGGCUGCGAAGAAGAAGAAUUAUUUGCCUGUUUAGUAUCAGCCGGUCUUGGCUCCGUGGCAAUAGCCCGUACCACGCCAUUCCUCUCAUUAAUUCUCCGGAAAAAUCCGUUACGAUCAGCUGGACGGUCAUGAAAGUUAGAUGAGAGAGUAUUUUGCCGCCGUGUGGUGCGUCUCAGUGGGUUGAUUCCGCAGUAGACCAGCUGUACACUUGCAGCUGCGUCCAUUGACGGAAUCAAAAUUCACAAAAAGAGAAAUUUGAACUAAUUGGACUGUGUGAGUGCGUGUUUUUGGAGCGGAAAUGUGUGAAGUCAGUUGGGAAUAGGGAGGGAAGGAGUGGACUCAGUGGUGGUUCUGGUUCUGGGGAGGACACGUGGAAGAAAUUAAUGUACUGGUUUUUUUAUUAUUAUUAUUUUUUUUUUAGUGUAAGUGAUAUGAUUCGAAUAUGAAAUGUCACGCUUAGAACUGCAUACAAAUCGAGUUACUCAUAAGCAACUCGAGUCGAGUUCGAACUAAUUAAAUCAAACUUUAAUUCAAAAAUACUCAAUUCAUUAGUUCUGGAGACGGCUCGAUUUUAUAUAUAUAUAUAUAAUAUUUUAUUAUUUGUUAAAAAAAUUAUUUUAUUUAUUUUUAAAAAAUAAAAAGAUUAAACAUGAACUCGAACUUGACGCGACUUGAAUUUGAGUUGAGUUUUACAUUGAGAACUCGUUGAGUUUGAGCUCAAAUUUGAUAAAAUUAAAUCGAGACUCAAUUCAAUUAAGUUAAAGUUCGACUUGAUUCAAUUCGAUUACAGUCCUAGUCUCACUCUUACACUCCCUCCCCAGAGUUUAUAGCCACAAUAAUCUUCCUCUUGAGAAAUAUUUUCAAACUAAUGCAGUUUCAAAAUUUAUCCCCUUGUUAAUAUGUUUGUUGCCAUGUGGACUUUAAAUAUGGAAAACUAAUUACCCUUAAACUUUUGCUCUUAUCUUCUUUCAUCUUGAGAGUUAAAUCCCAUUAAAAUGUCAACAACUAUUCAGAGUUUAAUUAAAAUUCACAUUAGAUGAAUCCUUCAUUUUUUUAAUAGCUUAAAUUUUGCUACUUCUUCUCCAUAUAUUGUUCAUUGUCUAUCUUGAGGAAAUUCUUAAUAUAUUUGGAAAUUUCCUAAAUCAUCAUAACAACUAAAAAAUUUUCUUACCAUGCGUAUGAUGAAUUGCCAUGUAGAUAAACUGAAAAUCUCCAGAGAUCUAUUGUGUUAAUUCAUGAUUUUUUAGUGUUAGAAUGCAUAAUGAUAACUCUUCUAGAUAUCAAGUACUCCCUCCCUUUUUUUAUAACUGUCGUUUAAGGUUUUGCACACCAAUUAAGAAAAGUUUUCAUUGCUUAAAUCUAUACAUCACUUUCCUUUUAUACCCUCAUUAAUUAUUCAAUUCACCCAUGUUUUAUAGGAAAGAAUAUGGAAGGGCAGAGAGAAGCAAUAAUUACUAGGAGUAGUAAUUAAGAAUCCUGUAAGAGAGAUAAAAGGGUAAAAUUGUGAAAAAAUAAUAAAUGCUGCAUGGGGAUAGUAAAACGACAGAUAAAAGUACUUAAGAGCAAAUUCCUUAAACGACAGUUAUAAAAAAAGGGAGGGAGUAUUAACUAACCUUGGUGUUAAUUCUAAUGCUAAUUAUGACUUAGAUUUUUUGUGAUAGGUCAAAAAUACGUGAGGCUUUUUUUUCAUUUCUCUUUUCCUUUAAAGUGGAACUUUUAUAGUUCACGCAAAACUAUGAUCAUUAUUAGAGCCAAAGUUUAAGCGUAAUUAGUUUUUCAUAUUUAAAGUCCACAUGACAGCAAAUAUAUUAACAUGGAAAUAAAUAUUGAAAUUGCAUUAAUUUAAAAAUAUUUUUUUAGAGAAAGAUCGUAAUGGCAAAAAACUCCGCUCCCCGAACCACGCAUAACCCAACCCAGCACUGCCCCACUACUGGUUUGUUAACAUGGACAAUAGAACAAAACUGCAAUUUCUCUACCGUCCAUUUUUCCUCUUGUCUGCUGCUUUAUGGUCGGGCGACACGGAUUCACAUGUAAUUUGUGUGACCAGAUUUAAUGGUUAUUUUCUUUGGCACAAGGUUUAAAUGAUUAUUUUUGUUGAGUCGUUUUCUUUUCCUUUUUCGUUCUAUCCUUCUAUGUCUUUUUUUUUUUAAAAAAGCUGAAGUAGGUUUAGAUAAGAUAGAUGUUUCUGAAAUGUCCUAUACGCAUAAAAUGGGAGUUUGUCCUAUACGAGCUUUCAUCCGCCUCCUAUAGGAUUAAUUGAGUAAACUAAAUUGUGAAUUUGUCCUAGAGGAGCUUGUGUCCUACAAGUUUUUAAAUAGUGAAUUUGUUUUGCAGAUACAUAUUUUAGAGAUGUUAUUAAAACAUUAUUAUUUUUAAAAUUGAUACCCUCACUCAACCUUCUUUCUCCCAACCACCUGCUCAUGCCUCUGCACUUUACUCGUACCUAUGCGGCUAUACCAGCUCUACCUUUUCGCCCCCUCUCCCUGCCUUCCAUUUUUUCACAAACACCCCACAAUCCUUUUCCUCUCCCUCCUUUCUUGCCUAACACCCCAACUCUUCUGUCCUUUUUCCACUCUCACCCCAUUGUGGUUGUGCAAAGCCAAGAUUUUUAUUUUGAAGGGCCAAAAUUUUUCUUAAAAAAUUAUCUUAAUGUGCUAUGUUUAAAAUAAUUUAUAUUUAUUUAAAUAUAUAGCAUCUAAAAACAUCAAAUAUUAACUUUAAUUAUAAAGCAUGUAAAAAUAUUUUUUUUGAAGAAAAAAUUGAUUCAAAAAUGGUUUAUUCACACACACACAUAUAUGUAAACUCUCAUAAUAUAAACUAAAAUUGUAAAAAAUUAGGGAGGAUCAACUUUGGUUUACACAUAUAUUGACAUACUAUAAAUUAAAUUUUCAAAACUCGGGGAGCCGUGACUCUCAUCGGCCCCUCUUGACUCCGUCAUUAGUUGUGCAUCUGGAUCAAGAGAGAGGGGUAACAGGCGGGGCAUGAGUGGGAGAUGAAGAGAGGGUGGGAGACGAUUAACGAGAAACGAGAAAAGAUAAAUAAGAGGUUGAUAGGAUGGUGGUAGGCGGUGGUGGAGUAGAAAAUGAAUAUUGAUGUGUAUGUUGUAUUUUUUUUUUAAUGUCUUAGAGGUAGUCUUUACUUUGUAGUGUGUGUUUUGGGUGUUUUGAUGUGUUUUUGGGAUAUUUUUUAGUUUUAUUAUUAUAAAUGUAUUUUUGAAAAAAUCUCUUCUAGCAACUCAAUCCUUCUUAAUAAAUUUGAAUUACAUUUUAUUAUGGUUUUCUUUCUCUUCUAGCAAACUAUACCUUUAUUUACAAAUUCACAUAAUUUAUUUUAUUCAUAUGUAUUAACUUUAUUUUGUUUUAAUUUAAUUGUUACUUCAUUCAUGUUGCUUAAAAGUUAAUAUUCAUCUAUGGAAAAAAUAUAUUUUUGCAUAUUUGGUAUUUAGAUGAGUGUGUGUAUGUGUAGUUUUAGAUUUCUAAUCAUAUAAAAAUUUUGUAUACCUUGCAUAUUUAAUGAAUAAUAUUAUAUUAAAAUAAAUGUAUGUAUAGAAGUUUUUACAUAUUAAUAUGGCAUUUCUGAACACUUGGUUACAUUAGUUUUCUAACAUAAAUAUCCAUGAAUAUGUAAGAAUAUCAUUUUAUAUUUUCUUGAAUUAUUCAUAUUUCCAAAAAUUGACAACUAAUACUAAUAUAAAAAAGAAUCGUGUUAAUGCACGGAUCAAAAUACUAGUUUUGUUUUUUAGUUGGAGAGCAGAGAAGCAUAGCAGGAAAAUAAGAAGAGUAAAAAGAUGGGGUGUUUGCAUUUGCAAAUGAUUUAAGUAAAAGAUGAAUGCAGCAAAAAAAAAAAAUUUAGCAGUAGAUAAUUAUAUUAAGUUUGCAUGAUUCAAACCAUUGGUUGGAAUUUCAGUUAUGCUAUAGUAAAACUGCAAAAAAAAAAAAAAAACGAAUCAAACCAUAUAUAUUUGUUUUCAAACUUGUGGUUUUUAUUAUGUUUCAGGUUAGUAUCUUUGUCUGACUUUGUGGCAAGGUAUGUGUCACUCUUAAAUUAGCUCUAUGUCCAUGAAAGACUGAAAUUUAUUAUGAAAAUUACAUAACUCAUCAAAAAGAAUAAAAUAAAAAUAACUGGUAUCACAAAGCCAUGGCUGCAUAAAUUUUACACAAAAAAUAAAAUUUACUUUUAAAAAAUCUUUCUAACAAAAUAAAAGCAAAAUGAUCCAUAAAUGAAACUUUUGAAAAAGUGAAAAAAUGGUCCAUAAAUGAAGAGGCAAGGAGUAAUCUGCAAAAGUGAUCCUCCGUUGAACUUAAGCAUAAACUUCCUUUGAGAAAAAAUAGUUAAGGACAAACCAUUUGAUUUAAUAGCUACUUUAAUUAGAAUUCGCAAAUAGACCUGAAAAUAUGUGUUCAAAUUAGUAUAUAUACUCAACCCCUGAAAGAAAAAGUUACCAAGAUUUGUUUGCAGAAGGAACAUAACCACAAGGUUUUAAAGGUUUUAGCAGUUUACAAUCCAAAAGCUGCAUUUUUUCUUUUCUUUUUUAGGCAAUGAGCUACUUGAUUCAUUAGCAUUAAUUCUAUAACCUGAAAAUGUUGGUAGUGAUGAUGAAGUUAUUGGGAAGAUUUACAUUAAAACAGCCAUUUACAUGAAAGAUUAGGCUAAAGGUACAUUACAAAGUUUAAUUUAAAAUCUAGUAACCUUUUUAAUGCUAAAGUCUAGUUUCUAGGUUUCACCUAAAGACCACUUAUUUGCAAGGAAAGGAUAUGGUAAGAAGAAGAAUAAUUCUCAUAUUUCCAUGUUAUAUUUACAUGUAUUGGGUGGAUGCAAGUAAACAAUUACUGCUUCACAAUAAUCUUGAAGAAACCAUUUCUUAUGUUGACAUAUAUUAACAAUUAUGCCACAAAUACAUGUAUGGAUUGCCAUUUUUGCUUAAAAAAUUUUUACAUAGGCAUAUUUUUCAAUCACUUCUUUAUCUCGUACGAGUCAAAUUGUUACAAUAUAAUUUUUUAUAAAAAUUUAAAAAAAAUAGCAAUCCAAACGGAUUAAAAAAACUGUAAAUUGUACUAGUUUAAUCUGAGGAUAAUGAUGGUAUUCCAACCGAAAUUAAUUUUCUCGUCAAAAAACAUACUCCAAGAAAAAUGUAUGGCAGUUUCAGUUUUAGGGUUCUUUAACUACCCAUUUCACACAUAAGUAGCCCCAUAUCUUUCUUCUUUACCGUUUGGCCUCAAAAAACCAAAAAGAAAUAGAACCCUCCAGAAGCACACUCGCACACACAAACACAAACACACACUGAGAGUGCUACAGGGGGAGAUAGAGAAGAAUGGACAGGUACCAGAGAGUGGAGAAGCCAAGGCCUGAAGAACCUAUUAACGAGAAUGAGAUCAGAAUCACUGCUCAGGGUCUUAUUCGUAACUAUAUUAGCUAUGCCACCACGCUUCUUCAGGUUAGCAAAUUACCUUAUUUCUUCUUCAACCAUACCUGUUCUUUUUUAAAUUUCCUGGGUUUAUUUUUCUGUCAGAAAAUGUUUACAUGUUUUUUGAUUUGGGUUUUUUUUUGUUUUUGUUGGUGGGAUGUGUUUAUUUGGUAAGUAUUUGCUUAAAAUUUUCAUAAAAAUCGAAUCUUGGGAUGCUCUUAUAAAGGACUUGUGGCGGUAAUGAGCUCAUGAGUUUGCGAGGUUCUGGCUUUUGUUUGAAGGGAUGUAUUAAGCUAUCUAGAGCCCAAGGCCGUUGUUCUGAAUUAUUUUUGCCCUAAAACAUUCAUUUUUGUAGAGCAUUCUGUUUGAUUCUUCUUCUUACUAGGAGAAUCAGUAGCUGUCAUAGAUGUGUCUUUGAGUCUGGAGACAUGAAAAUUUUUGGUUUUGUGAAGGUCUUGUCUUGAAGCCUGCACAUUACCCCCAUUAGGGUGUAAGCAUUUGUUACUGUUUAAAAUUGCUGUGUCUCAUGGAAAGAUUUCGUGGAAAAGCAAGAGAUUCUUGGUGAAAGGUUUCCCUGGUUUUUAUCUGAUCAAGUGUUGUGUUAAUGUUUGUUUUCUGGACCUAUAUGAGUGCAAUUUUUUGAGAUUUACCUAUCAUGAUGUAAUACUUUAAUGUCAUGCCAGCUGUAUUUGUUAUGUCUAUGCGCUUCAUUAGAUUUUAGACCUCUUAUGGUAUGCUUUAGUUAAUUGUCCCAUUUUAUUAGCACAUUGUGUUUGGGAACUUUAUCAGUGUUAGGACCUGCAUAUCUUAUGAUUUAUAUGGAUAAUCCUCAACUCCUGAAAGUGAGACCAAUCCUGGAAUUGGUAUAUUGGAAUCACAUUUCUGAAACUGAGGGGGUGCUUGGUUCAUGCUCUAGAAUUGGAAUUGGAGAUGGAAUAAUAUACAAAAAAUCAGUAUGGGUUUGAACCCCUGGUAUCAUUCUACAAACUCGAGCUUGGCAUAAAUAUAGUUGGAAUGGUGUCAAAUUAAUUUUUCAUUUUUUUUAAUUAUUGUUCUCUUUCCUGGAUUGAUAAUCACGGCCACCAUCAGACCAGCACCGAAUCACUACCAAUCCAAAUCUUUUUUUGUUCUUUGUUCAAGAAUUACCAACAAUAACUCAUGACUAAUCAAUAAAAGAUCUGGACGUUUGUCAUUUUUUUCCUUUUCUCAAAAAAUUGCAACUGGAACUUUCAAACAUUCACAAAAAAUUUUCCGAAAGAAAAUGGCAAAUUUCAUCCUCUGCUGAAACCUGUUAGAAACACCAUACAAUGCAUUCCAGUUGGAGCCCUUCACAAAGAGAAGAGGAGGUCGAUUGCAAUGAGGAGGAUGAUUUGAUGGCGAGGGAGGAGAGGAAAGGGUCUACUGGGGUGAUGGGGGAGUGACCAGUGGUGGGAGAAGAGGAAGGAUUUGUCAGAUGCCAUGGAAAAGGAAGAAAAUUAUAAACAAAGGAGGAGGGGGUGUUGUCAGAUGCCGAGAAGGAAGGAAAAGCGGUCAGAGACAAGGGAAGAGGGAGGAGUUGUCAGAUGCCAUGGGGGAGAGAGGAGUGUUGAAGGCAAGGGAGGAAGGGGAGGCUCGAUGGUGGGAGUCUGGGAGAGGGAGAAAGGAAGUAUUUUAUCAAAAUAUUUUAUUUUUUAUUUAUUCACUGUUGGAAAUGAAUUGAGGAUUUUGAGUGAUUCCUCCCAAUUUAGUCAGGAAUCAUGAAUCCCCAAAAUUUUUUGGACGUGAUUCCAAUAUUUCAAUUCCCGUUACAGUGUACCAAGCUCUAAGUAUUGGAAUUAUCGUCAUUCCCCAUGCCAAAACCCUCAGACCAAGCGGCCCCUGAAUGAUCGUGAAAUUUUAGGAAAUUUGAAUGCUGGAAUUGAAGAAUUGAGUGCAGGGCUUGAAGUUUGUAGAAUCGUAGUUUAAGGGACUUGUGAUAAAAUUAGCAUAUCUACUGUAAUUUUUGGUUAACUUGGAAUGAGUUGGUAGAUUCUAAUGGGUUUAAGUUUCAUAACACUCAACGGGAUUGUGUGUCCAACUGGAUUUUUUCAUGUGGACUAGUGAACAAAUAGUCUCGAAGGGUAUGCUUAGUUUUGUGCGUUAUAAUUGUUGAUGAUAUUUUCAGAGCAUCCUUGAAGCACACGGCUUGUACCUAUAUACGUAUGCAAGAUAACUUUAAAAGGUAACUUUUUGUAUUUUGUGGAGAUGAAGUUAACUAGUUUAGGUGACUUUAUAUGGUUUGGUUCAUCAAGGUUGAGGCUGUCAUAACAUGCCAGUCCCAAGAAUUAAGAAACUCAUCCAUUUUAGUGCAUCCUCCAAAAAAUUGUAAACAAAAUUCAAUGAGCGUGUGACCUCAUUUGGAGGUCAUAUGGUGCUUGUGCGUCUUUGAAGCUCUUACUAAAUGGCUUUCCUUUUUUCCUUUUUCUUUUGCUUGGUCUUGAUAUUUAUAUGCCUAAUUUAAGCAUAGUGGUACUCUCCUUAGGGCUUGUAAAGAACCUAUGAAGAAGGGAAUCCUGAAAAGAAAAUCCAGUGGAUUUUGGCUUCUAAUGUGGUGCUUCUUCUACUUGGAUGAUUUAAAGUGUAAAACUUAUUACACGCUUAAAGGAGAAACUAGUUUUACUAAGAGCAUUAAAGGUAAAAACUAGUUUUACUAUAAAAAAGGAGAAACUGUGAGGUCUAUUUUACAUGCUUUGCAUACUAGGUAAAUAGUGCUAGUAUUUCUCUCCCUCCCUCUCUCUCUCUCUCUCUCUAUAUAUAUAUAUAUUAUGUUGUUCUUCAACAUGAAGCUUGAAGCUAUUUCCUUCGCUUUGUGAACUCAUGAGAAUGUCCAUGCCUAGAUAUACAUGAGUAAUCCUUUUGGUCAGUUGCUAGUUCUUAUGAUAUCUUAGGAUCUGUAAGCGUGAAUUUAGUUAUGUAGUUCCUUUUAUUGUGUAUUUUGGUCUCCUUAGUCCAUCUAGGAGAGGUAGAAAGUUGUCCUGUUUCAUAUUUGCCUCCGGAUUCUUGAUCUUAACUUUUCUUCUACUUUUUCCCUAUUAUUAGCACAGUUUUCUUUCUUACAGCAUGUCUAUAGGAAUAUCUGCAUAUGACAUGUUAGAUUAUCAUUUUAUCGUAAGAGUAUUUGGAUCAGAGUGUGGAGGUAUAAUGGAAUAGCUAAUUCUUCUUUUGAGGGUCUAAUUGUUCUGAAGAUGCAUGGCAAUGGAGUAGCUCUGUGCCUGUGCAGUUUUGGUACUAAAUACCAGAUAUCUGCUUUCAUGAUUAGGAAAAGCGUGAACAGGAGAUUGUUUUGAAGGCAAUGGGCCAGGCAAUCAGUAAGAGCGUGGCCAUUGCAGAGAUUAUAAAGGUAUUUUUUGCAGCUUACCCUUUUCCUAUUAAAAAUUUCUUGUGAUUUUAACUAGUAUUCCUUCACAUGAAAACAGAAGAGAAUCCCUGGGCUGUAUCAAGACACUUCUAUUGGCUCAACAACCAUAACGGAUGCAUAUGAGCCAAUUGAAGAGGGUUUAGAACCGUAAGUUGUUCAUUUAAAUGUUACCUAAAGUUAGAGGCAACAGAAGUUACUUUUGAUAACUGGAAAAAUAUUUAUUACUUCUACCUUCUGUGUAGUUUGGAGAUGACUCGCCAGGUCUCCCUUAUAUCAAUUACUUUGUCAACCAAUGAGCUGAAUAAGAAUUCUCCAGGGUAAAUAUUUAUAUACUGUCCUCUUCUCCUGAAAGAAAGGGACCUCUUUGCCCCCCCCCCCCCAAACAAAAAACAUCUCGCUUGAAAUCUCACGUGUGACAGUUUAGGAAUUUUAUGUGUCUAGGUACCAGGCGCCCUCCAACAUAGAUCAGCCAAGAGGUGAAAAUCAGCAGCACCAGCAACCAAGACAAUAUGUUAACAUAGCUGAAAAUAAUCUAGGUGAAAAACCUUUCCACUAUUGUUGGUUCUUAUUUUUAUUGUUUAUGGUGUAACACAAGCUUUUUGACCUUCUAUGUUUUGGCUCUUGGAACUUGGGUAAUAGGUUAGUUUGAAGGGCACAUCAGUUGUGUUUAUCUGUAGCUUCUUACAUGUUUACUUAUGUAUGGAUUUCUUCUGAUGAUACAUGAUUACUAGAUUCAUAUGGUGGCCGAGGUCGAGGCAGAGGUCGAGGAAGAGGAAGAGGACGUGGUCGUGGGAGGGGAGGCUAUGGAAACUAUCAAGGUAUUUAUGCAGUAAUAGUGAGAUUUAGCAUUUUCUUGAUUUAAUUUUGUUAAUUUAUGUUACUUUAUCACUAGGGGAGAACGGUGGAUAUUAUAACUAUGGUCGAGGAGGUGGACGAGGCAGAGGCUGGGGUUAUCGUGGUUAGUUUAUUUCUUUUACGAUGCUUUCUGUUUUCUGAAGCGGUGUUAUUACAGUGGACAAGCCUGACUGAGGCAGACUUUUCCUCUGCUGCUAUUUAUGUAUGCCUAGUCUCUGUUUGUGUUACGAGGUUUUGAGAAAACAUUGUAUUUUUUUAAGAUUUGGAAUCACACACACGUACAUAUGUAUGCAUGAAUGUAUUAAAUGUGAGUCAAUGGAGACCUGUAACUGUGGUACUUACACACCACACAAGGAUCCUUUGGGAUAACUAGGCUGUUGCAGGCAUGUUGCUACACUAUCUUGUUUGGUCAAGCAUAAUACCUAAUUGUCAUGGAAAGUUUGCGAGUUUUAUGGGCAUAUUCUGUUCCGUCCCUCUAGUGUGAUGAAAACUUUGUGUUUGUGCGGCAAUGAUGUUGAUUUUUUUAGGUUGCUUGGCACCUUAAUCAACCUAAACUGCUACUAUGAGUUAAAUUCCUAUGACAUUCUUUGAUAUGGAAAAGUUUGAAAAGAUGGAACCUCAAUUAUUUGUCUUAACCACUACAUUUGUCAUUGUCAGGUUCGGGAUAUGGAAGGGGCAGAGGUGGAUUCCAAGUUGGGGGCCGAGGUUAUGGUCGUGGGCGUGGAAGGGUGGGCCGAGGAAGAGGUGGUGUAAACCAGGCACAGAUUUGAGAUGGUUUGUCUGAAUGUUUUGAAAGCUGAACAGUUUUACCUGAUCUUAUAUCAUAAGGAAGUUUCAGUGCUUCUUUCGUGGAGAAUGAACUUUGUGGGUGAUCUUUUCACAGUUUUCUGGUUUGCCAUACUAUGGAUGUGCCAGGGUUUUCUUUCAAUUGGCUGCCCUUUCUCCAAGAGAGCCGUAUGUUGGUUCUUGUUUUUUGCGAGAUUCAUGUUACUGCCUUUUUGUAGCUAUAUUUGAUUUUUGAGUGUAUAUAGAUAGAUAUUUUAGUGAAUUUCCUUUUUCUUUUCCAUUUUGCAAAGCCAGUAGCUCAUAAUAGGCUGUAAAAGAUUGGAUUGGAAAUGCUUUUUUUUUUUUUUUUGGUUUGGAGCACUUCAAAAUUGAAAUAUACAUGAAAGAAAGAAGGGUAUCCAUUUGAGAACCUGUAAUGACUUUGCCGGCUAAACUAGUGGACAAGCACAAUAUACAUGGAUCCAACUUUGUCUGUUCCUUUGUAUGAUUGGGGGGAUUCAGUUGUCGAUGUUGGUGGACCGAUGGUUCUCUUUGUGCAGUUUGAGUUGCACUUGUCAAAACAGUAUAUGACAAGACAAUUUGUUUUCCUUGCAGACAGAAAAUUAUUUUUGCAGUUGUCUUAAUAACAUGAACUUUUUCUUGCUUUGAUGCAUUUUUGGCAAAAGCAAAAGUUUGGCAGCUGAUUGUGAGAAUGUGGGAUGAAUGCACAUCGACUAGCUAAUGACAAUUCCAUUAGAAACUUGUUGGACCGCUAAAUGCGAAAAUAUCUCUGUAGUUUCUUUAGAUGGAAAGGACAGAAAACAAAGGAAGAACCCCGCAGCCCCCGAGAAAAAGUAAAAGGAGAAAAAAGGAGGGGGAGUGGGGUUGGCUUGGGAGGGGUAAUACAGUAAUGGGAUUGGUACCCAUCAUGUUGUGGACAUCUUCUUCUCCUCUUCUUUAUGCAUUUCCUCCUCCAUUUCUUUCUGUUCCAUCAACUUUCUUGACAAUGCCUAAUGUGAAUAUAUGAUUUUCAAAAGAGACUUAAAACACCAUAAUUGGGCUUGAGGAAGAAUUAUUUCAAAGGAAGGAUCAUUGGUUUCUGAAAGGAAAAUGAGAAAAAAAAAUACCAUGAAUGUGAUUUAAUUGUACAUGAGCAGCCUAUGCUAGGUUGAUUUGGCUGUAGAAGUUAUUGUUAAUCCUUUUGAAGCCCAUAAAAGUAUUGUUUUGAAUUCUCAAAACUAUGCAUUCGUCUUUACAAGAAAUCCAUUUCAACAUUGCUGGUAUAGGUGCUUUCUUUAUUUUUUUUUUUAAAAAGGAAACUUUUCUGGUAGGGGGUUAUGGUUGUUAAUUACUGGUUCGAGAAGGAAUGAAUUGGGUCGUUUGAAGGAGAAAAUAUAAGUAAGAGAUCUUAGGUUAUUGAACCUAGACCAAACUAGUACUAAUUGCCAAUGGUGACGAGGAGCCCACAAGUGACAGGGUUUGUUUUAAUUUAAUUUAGACAUGCUUAGCUUCUAAUUAAAAAAAUUUUGUUUUUGACAUUCACAACUGCUUUUUCCAUUUUUUAAACUUUAGAACUUUUUUUAAACCUUCUUUCUUUUAAUAUGUUUUUUUUAAAAAAAAAAACUUACCUCUCCUUAUGUUUAUCAAAAUUUUUAACUUACCUCGUUGCCUAUGUUUAUCAUGAUUUCAAGAAAUCUUGUAUUCUACUUUUUGUGUUAUCCAAUUAAAUUGCAUUUUGUUGUUCACCGAAGCACUUUCUCAUUGCCAAUGCCCAAAUGCUCAUCUAUUGCAUUAUUUCAAAACAUAUUCCCAUAGCUUUUUCUAUCCUGCAUAAGUUGUAAGAAUGAUUUUUUUUUUAUAUAAAAUCAAAAUUUAUUAACAGACCAGAAACAAUGAGUCCUCGUUUGCAAAAGAAAUAUAAAUUGUCUCCUUCAAUGAUGUUAUUACCAAAAGCAGAAAUAUUAUAGCUAACGGGAGCAAGGACUCCAAUUCGCCAAAAAAAGAAGGGACCACCAUGAUAAAGUGGAGAGUAGAGAGUGAUAGAGUAGAGAGGAGGAAAUGAAGAGAAUGUUGUAUUAGAUAAAAUUGUAUGUGUCUACAAGUACAUGAAGUGCCUUAUAUAAAUAUGGUAAGAUGUGAUAAUGUAGUGGGUUGUGGUAGUUGGUAGAUGUCGUAAAAAUAUGCAGUUAGUGGAUGGUAAAAUACACUAGAUACAAGAUAGAAAACUCUAGAAAUAUAAGUUAGUUAGUAGCUAUAUUUACAUUUAACAUCCCCCUUCAAACUCAAGGUGGUAAAGUGAAAAUCAACUUGAGUUUGAAAACGAGAAUAUGAAACCGUCUUGGUGAAUAGGAUUUUGUGAAAAUAUCCGCAAUUUGGUUGUAGACACCACAAGUACUAGAGAAAGAGUUUGUUGCAUGAGAUGGUGCCGAACAAAAUGACAAUCAAUAUCUAUGUGUUUCGUCCUUUCAUGGAAGACAUCAUUAUGAGCAAUUUGGAUAGCAGUCAUAUUAUCACAAUAGAAAGGAGAAUCGAUAGAGAAUGAAACACCCAUGUCAUGAAGGAGCCAUCGUAACCAUAGAAACUCAACAGUAGUAUCAGCAAGGGCAUGAUACUUCGACUCUGAGCUAGAUCGAGAAACAAUUGAUUGCUUCUUGCUUCACCAAGAGAUAAGGGAAUUUCCAAGAAAGAAAUAGUAACCUGUUGCAGAACGACGGUCAAUAGGAUUACCAGCCCCCCUCGGUUAGCUCGGGUGGCCUGUCAGGGACGGAGCCAGAAAUUUAUUUUUGGGGGGCUGAAGUGUAUUAAAAUUUUUUUUUUGUGACGAAAUAAAUAUAUUUAAUAAGUAAAAUUUAGAAUCAAUAAUUAUAAAAAUAAUAAAAACAUAUAAUUAUACAUACCCAAAAAUUUGUUAUUGAUUAACACUUGAAGUAUUGGUAGUUGUUGCACUCGAAUAACGAAGAGGAGGCAAUUGCAUUCUGCGAGUCUUCAUCCGUUGAAAACGCUGCAAUAUUUGCUCAUUUUCAAUUGUUGCAAAAAUAUCCUUCUCGAUGUAUACAACCAGACAGUCAUUCAUCCACUCGUCUCCCAUUUUGUUACGCAAAUCAGUCUUGACAAUAUUCAUUGCAGAAAAUACUCUUUCAACAGAAGCAGUCGCAACUGGUAGAACUAAUGCCAACUGGAUCAGACGAUAAACCAAUGGAAAAACUGUAUUUUUACCAGUUUUAACCAUUUGUUGAGCAAGACUUCCCAAAUCUCCAACUUCUGAAAAUUGAGGAUCGCGUUGCACAUUAUAAAUAUAAUUUCGAAGUUGAGACUCAAGAUAUAAAUAAUCGUUACUUGAGAAGUCUUCAGGAUAUAAAUCAGCAAGACGGAGUAGUUUCUGCACAUUGAAUUGAGAGAAAGAACUUUUUGGAUCAAGACAUGCUAUGCAACUAAGCAAUUACGUGCUAACUUCCGAGAAACGAUUAUUCAUCUCUUGUAUAAUUAAAUCAACAACCUGACAUCACAACAAUAAUAAAAUUAAUAACUAAGAAAAUUUCUAAUUCACAAAUAAUUCUUAAAAUUUCAAAUAUAAAACUAACAAAAUUUUAAAAAUUAAAUACAACCUAAAAUCUAUACAAUUUCUAAACUAAUUUCUAAUUUAAAUUUAAUAUCAUUAAAUUUUUUAAUGUAAUCUUUCAAAUUCUUAAAUUACAUUAACAUAAACUAAAUAAAAAUUAAUCUUAAUCAAAUUAAUAUCAAGAUACUCAAAAUUCAAAAAUAAUUUAAACAUAUAAUUAACAAAAAUAUAAAGAUGAAUAUUGUAAUUUAAACCAAAAAACUAACCUAAAAGAUUUAUGUGAAUGGAAUGGUGGAGAGUUGGAGUCUUGGAGCCUUGAAUUGAAGGCUUGAAGCAGGAUGGUAGAAUCUCAACUGAAGCUUCUUGGAGUUCUUGGAGCCUGGCGUCUUCUUCUUGGAGUUGGAGUCUUGUUUGCCCUUUGGCACUGGCGGCGUGCUUUUGCAUCAGAUGAAGCCUUAGGCUUCAUCUGAUGUAUUUUUUUUUCCCCUCAUUAUACAAAACGACGUCGUUCCACUAAAAGUGAAACGACGUCGUUUUGUAUUUAGAGGGCAAAAAAAAAAUUUCAAAAUGAAAUGGGUCAUCUUCUUCCUCAGCAGUCAGCACGGCAGCGGCUUUCCAGCUCUUCUUCACUUCCUCUGCAGCAUUCAUGGAGCCAUGGAGGAUGGUAGAUCUGGAUCACCGUGGGGGAGCUGGGCUGGGCUGGGCUGGCCGCCGGAAUCCCCUAUAUAUAGGGGGUUUUCCGGCGGCUUGGGGGGGGCUUAAGCCCCCACCAGCCCCCCUUAAAUCCGUGGCUGUGGCCUGUGUAGCCUCAUUAGGUGAGACAGGUCUGGGGUUCGACCUGAGCCUAGGCAACCGGGGUAAUACUCUCGGGGAUCGGUGGGCCCGCUCUCCCUGGGCGAUGGGACUUAGGUCACAGACGGUAUUACCAGUCCGGAGUGACCGAUACCCAGCGACAAAAAAAAAAAAAAAAAAAAAGGAUUACCAACCCAAUCGGCAUCAGAUUAUGUUUGUAACUCUAGAGAAGAAGAUGAGAAAAAAUGCAAUCCAUGAUAGAUGGUUCAUUUCACACAGCGCAAGAUUCGAAGAACUGCAGUAUAAUGAGUGGAACGUGGACUUGACAUGAAUUGACUCACCAAGUGUAAAGCAUAAGCUAUGUCUGGUCGAGUGAUAGUUAAGUAGACUAGACUCCCGACUAACUGAUGAUAACAAGUAGGGUCACUUAGAAGUUCUUCAUUAUUUGGACGUAAUUUGAUAUUAGUUUCAAGUGGAGUGUCAGCAAUUUUAGAAUCUGUUAUACCAGCACGAGAGAGAAGAUCUGAUGCAUACUUGGUUUAGGAUAAAUAGUAACCCGUAGAGGACUUGGAGACCUCAAGACCAAGAAAGUACGAGACUGUCCCCAAAUUCUUCAUCUCAAAUUGUGUGCUAAGGAAUUCCUUUAAGGUUUGAAUUCCUACUCUGUCGUCACUAGUGAUUAGCAUAUCAUCCACAUAGAGAAGAAGCAGAAUAAUUUUGGAUGAAGAUUUUUAGAUGAAUAAUGCAAAAUCAUGGCCUUGUUUGGCACGCAAGUUUUUGGCCAAGUUUGUCUACUACAAGUGUUUUAACAACUUCAUCUACAGUAAUCUCAAAAAAUUUCUCCAAAUUUUUAAACUAUAUACUUCAAAAUAUCCAAAAAUAUACAUACUUUAAAAAAAAAUUUUACAACUUCUACAGUAAAUUACAAUAAAUUUUUAAACAAACACCCAAAAAACUCACUUACCAAAUGAGGCCGCCCAUAUGAGCUAUUAGAAAAGCCAAGUUUUUCAAGGGUGCCGCUAAAUUGUUAAACGUAAAUUUAGCUACUAGCUAACUCAUAUUUUUAGAGUUUUCUAUUUGAGAUCAAUUCAGCUAAAACUAAUCGAAAUAUAAGGUUUGUUUGGAUUGUAAGUUAUUUGAGAUAUUUUUACUGUAGCACUUUUUGUGAUGUGAUGUAUGUGAGAUGAAAAGGUAAUUGGGAAGGUAAAAAAGUGUAUUGGAAAUUGUAAUGAUGAUGUAAGCAAAUAUAUUUGGGGAAAUAAAGGCCAAUCCAAGGCAAAGGAUGACGGCGUAAAAGAUUUGCUCGUGUAGGCUCAUAGUCAUCAUUGUGUAGGCUCAUAAUCUCAUGUUGUCUCUAUAUUUGAUAAAAAGUUCAACAUCUUUAGGACAACGCCAUUCAGGUUCAGAGAUAGCCAACUGUUUCCAAAGAUUAUUCAUUUGAGAGUGGAAAGAGUCAAUGGCUGACCUGACUCUCGAUGAAGUUGUUGUAUUUUAGUGACAAGUUGAUACUGAUGAACCAAAUCAGCUGUGGUAUACUUUUUUGCCAAAAAAUUCCAACCUUCUUUUGCAGUGUCAAAACUAUGCAAAAGGGCACCAAUGGAGGGAGUAGAAGUAUUUAUUAGUCAAGUGAUGAUAUUGAUAUUAUCCCAUUCUUCCAAUGUAUCAGAAAAUUUAUCAGAAAAUUCUUCCUUUUCUUGAGUGAACUUGACACGCUCUCUUGUGAUGACUUGUCACAGUUUGCGGCCUUUAAGAAAGCUUCUCAUUGCGAGCAUCCAUAAUCCAUAAUUAGCACCAUUUAAAAUAAUGUGGUAGGAUGAGAGACAUCGGAAUCAGGAUUAAAUUCCAUUAGGAUAAAGUGCUGAUCCAGUAAUGACGUAGCACUUGAUUGAAUGAUGUCUUGGUGCUAAUUGGGUGUGAGAAGCACUGAGAUGAUUGUUGUAUUAGAUCAAAAUUUAUUAUGAGAAGAAAGUCAAAGAAAAGUUAUAAAUUAGGCCCCAAGUUCAAGUUCCAAUACCAUGAUAAAGUGGAGAGUACAGAGUGAUAGAGUAGAGAGAAGAGGAAAUGAAGAGAAUGUUGUAUUAGAUAAAAUUGUUUGUGUCUAAAAGUACAUGAGGUGCCUUAAAUAGGUAUGGUAAAAUAUGAUAAAUGUAGUGAUUGUAGUAGUUGGUAGAUGUUGUAGAUACAUAUGAUUAGUGUACAGUAGAAUACACUAGAUACAAGAUAAAAAACUGUAAAAAUAUGAGUAGCUAUAUUUACAUUAACACACCAAACUCAUUUUGGAGUCAAUUCCCAAUUAGGUACAGAGGUACCUAUUGAAAUAAAAGUAUGAAAUCCUCACGUAGAUUUGAUGGAACACUAGAUUGCAAGACCUAUCCCACUACUUAUUUAGAGAUGGGACAUGAGUGCAAGUUUUAUCUCAAAUUUGGGUGCUCAAUUUUAUUUGACUUUCACCAUUUAUAAUUAGGAUUAAUUUUGUAUAUACGUGGUGGCAUGACAUGUAUUCCCAAUUCGAUUUUGAAUUUUAGUUCUUAUAUAUGUGGCAUGCAUUUAUACCUGUUAGUAGAUAUCCUGCCAAUACAUACAAGAUAAACCCUUAUAAUUAAUCAUAAAUUGGGGGUAGAUAUACAAGAAAUUCUCUUAUUUGGCUAUUUCUACCAAGAAAAAAAAUGAUUAGUUUGUUACCUGGUCAUCUAUUGGAUUCUAAUGACUAAUAGAUCACUUGAAAUAAAUGUUUUUAGGAUUUUUCUAAGGGGUGCUUAUUGAGGAGUCGUUAAUACACAUAAAAUUCAUCUAAUCUACCAUGUACAUAUACAUACUAACAAUUAUUAUCCUCCAUUACAUUUAUAUAUUUUUCCUAUUUAAUCUUGAAUACCUCUCUUAUAUUUAUUUAAUAAUCCUAAUUAAUCUUACAUUUUAAAAAAUAUGAUAUCAAAAUAUAUUUUAAUGAGUGUGUAAUGGGCAUCCGUUAGAAAGACCAUAUUUUUAUUAUUCAAAAAAUAUAUUUUAAGGGUUUUUUCUAACAGGGCAUAGGCACCCAUUAAUAUACCUAAACUUUAUCCAACAUAUUAUGUGUAUACACAUAUUAACAAUUAUUACCUCUCUUGCAUUUACACAUUUUUCCGAAUUAAUCUUAGCUUUCCAAAAAUUCUAACAUCUGAAGUAUACUAUACCUUAAUGAGUGCACAUUGUAUGCCCGUUGGAUAGAUAGACCUUAUUUUUAAUUAUUUUUUUAUUUCAUAUAUAUCAUAUUAAAAAAAUUAUAUACUAAAUAAUUAAUGCCAAAGAGUUUUUCCAAAUAACCUUUGAAUUCAAAUAAACUCAUUUGGGGAGAAAUUCCGUAGGUGUUUAAUCCAAUUUUCCCAGUAUGGAUUAUUACCCAAAUUCACGCAAUAGACCAGAUCGGGAAAUUUAUUAUAUGAACCUUAAAAGGGAAGAAAACCUGAAUAUAAAAACACACUCGUUGAGUUCACAAACGUGGCGACUACAGGUGUCAAACAUGAAUACUGAAGCACAACAACCUUGAACCUAACUGUUUUCCCGUCCACAUUCAUCUUCAUCCCAACUUGAUCCUGUUACGCAUUUAAUCAACUUUCUCUUUCCUCUUCCCAUUGGGCAUUUGGCAGCAGACUUCAGCUUUCCUCCUCCUCUCUUGCUUCCUUCCUGGGAAAUCCCAGAAGCCCAUUUCAUUAAUGACUCAGAAAACUUGAGAUAGGAAUCAGUUCUGGGAUUGUUCUUGAUCAGAAGUUUCCUUAAAAUACACAAACAUGUAUGGUACGAAGAAGAAACAGGAGUCUUUCCACGUCGUUCAUAAGCUUCCUCCUGGUGAUAGUCCUUAUGUCAGAGCCAAAUAUUUUCAAGUAUGUGUUUUUCUUUCUCCUUUCCUUGUUCUUUUUGAUUAUUAUGCAGUAGAUACUGUAUAGAUACUCGUGAAGAUUUAUGAGAGCUAUGUUUCUUGAUGCAUGAUAUUUAUGAGAUAUUAUAUUCAUGGGCUUUUAUUUAGUUAUUUUGUCCUUAAAAUGAUUAUUUUACUUUAUUUAUUUUCUUGUAUGCUCUUAGUGUAAUUUUUGUUGGUUUUCUUUGGUAAGUGUUUUGGAGGUCUUUAAGUAUGAUUAAAAUGACUUAACUUUCCCAAAUCAUGAGUUAAUACUUAGUAUCUAAUUUGGAUGUGUUCUAACUGCACAAUACUUAGGUCCAUUUAUUUUGUAUUUUUGUUUAAGUUUGACGAAGAACAAAAACCUUAACCAUUAAUCUAUAUUCAAUGAUCAACUAUUUCUCUGGGAAUCAUAUAUUUUUGUUUAAUAUGUUAUCUAGUUGAUCCUUGUUACGAUAGCAUUUGUUUUGCGCUGGUGAUUCGAUUAAUUAGCAAAUGCUGUUCAUAUGGUUCUUUGCACGUUUUUAAAUUUACUGGGAACUGUUUCUCUAGUUAAAAGGGUUGGUUCUGUUGAUGAUGUCCUCUUAAGUUUUGUAUCAAGUACUAAAUCUUCUUAGUGUUAGAAAAAGGUUAUUUCUUUCCUGAGGCAUCAAGAUAGAGUCCUGAGACCUUUUUAAUGACUAGGUCCUCACACUAAUGGAUGUAGAACUUCUGUGCUUUGGUCUUGUUGACAAUGGUGCUAAUUAUACUAAUUUCUAUGUGCAGUUGAUUUUGUUAACAUACCCUUAGUCCUGUAUUUGAUUGCUCCAUUCUCAGACUCAACCUGGCACAUGGUUAGUUGGUCUCAUCUACAAGUUUGGAAACAAAAAUACUCCUUUUUCAAGGCUUGUCACCUUGUCUACUCCUAGUGGCCAAAUGAAGAAAGCACAUGGACUAUCUGAUGUUGCUAUCUCUUUAGGAGUUCUGAUCAACAUAUUUUUCUUCUUUUUGGGUUUUAAUUUGUGCAAGUUGCAGGAGGAUUAAGUUGGGAUUUUACUUUAUAUCAGUGCUUCUGGAUACUUCUUUUUGCAAUUCAUUUUUCUGCUUUUAUUUUAUUUUAUAGAAAUUUUGUGGCCCUAAUUUUUUGGACAAGCCUUUGCAGUAUUCAGCAAAAUGGUUCAGUUAUACCUGCAUUUGUUCUCCAAUGUGCAUUCGUUUAGAUUUCUAGGACAUAUUGAAUGUGACGACUCAUGCCUGCAUUAUUAAGUUUCUGUACCACCAUUUCUCACAAAAGAUAAAUGUUAAGCAAAGCUGCUAAACAUCCUCCUUUAUGGGGUUUAGGUCUUGUCUUUACAGCAUGCUUAAAUAGUAGAAAAUACUCAGGAGCCUGGUUCUCUCUGUCUGAGGAUGGAAAAGUGCAUAUGUACCCUGUUUGCUACAUGCAUAGACUUUGUUAUAUUAAAUAUCCAUCUGGUAUUUGUUGAUCAAUUAUUCAUGUUUGUUUUCUAUCUAACAAACAGCUAAUUGAGAAGGAUCCAGAAACCGCAAUUGUUUUCUUCUGGAAAGCAAUAAAUGCCGGAGAUAGAGUAGACAGUGCACUGAAAGACAUGGCAGUGGUUAUGAAACAGCAAGAUAGAGCUGAAGAAGCUAUUGAGGCUAUAAGAUCCUUCAGGGAUAGAUGCUCUAAGCAAGCCCAGGAAUCACUUGACAAUGUCCUUAUCGAUUUAUACAAGGUUUGACAACUUGGAAGAUAGAUUUAAAAUUUCUUUUCCUCUUAGCAUAUUUCACUUAGAAAUCUGCUGCCAAUUGUGGAUCUCUCUCUUAAUCUUAAAUAUAUUUUUUAGUUAAUUGGUGAAGCCAGGGAACUAAAUGUAAAAAGCUCCCCUGGGGAGUGGUUGGGACUUGAUGUUAUAAGGGUAGUAUUAGAUAAUUUGACGUCACAUUAUGCUUUAGACUAAUUAUGGCUUGUUUAAGAAGAUGACAUCCUAUAUAUGUUUCCAUGAGAUUUGAGAUUGUACAAGAAUGUUAACUAAUAGAUAAGUUGGAACAAAAUGUUCUGUUAUUUCUUUUCCUCAUGGUACCUGUAAGCUCCUUUCCUUUUUUUUUCCUUUGUCUGAUCUUUAUCUUCUACUGUAUGUUGUCAACAUAAUUUGGGUGGAUUUGGCAGAAAUGUGGAAUGUUGGAUGAGCAAAUUGAACUGCUGAAGCAGAAGUUACGGAUGAUAUAUCAAGGAGAAGCAUUCAAUGGAAAACCUACCAAGACAGCUCGCUCCCAUGGUAGGAAGUUCCAGGUUACCAUUAGGCAGGAAACCUCAAGGAUACUGGUAAGGAUUAUGACAUUACAUAUGUUCAGUUUAUCUCAUAAUCCAACUUAAUUAACUACCUUUUGGGAGGCUUCCAAUGCUCUAGUUUUCAUUAAUCCACUUCCAUUUAAUCUAGUUGUACCACUGUUAGUUCAUUCUUGUAUCUCAGACACAGACAUAUUCCACGAAAGAACAAAAAAAAAAAAGAGCUUGGAGAUGAAAGAUCACAAACUUCGAAUAACCAGAACUAAAUCUUAAUUACAGCUUACUGCCCAUAUGAUCAUCCAAUUUUGUCAUUUUUUAUCCAAAAAUUUAUGGAAGUUGGAUAUGUCUACCAAUAACUAUGGUAAAAUCUACCUUUUGCUUUGGUUAUCAAUCACUAUGAUAAAACACCUUUUUUUUUUUUUUGGUGUUUGGGUGGGGGGGGGGGGGGCUAACCACUGCAAUAGACCUCUUCUAUUUUGUUCAUGGGCUUAAACUCAAUCAAUUCAAGCUACUUAGUCAGCUUGGCUAAUGCUAGCUCCCAAUGGUAAAUUUGCAGGGAAAUUUGGGUUGGGCAUACAUGCAACAAAGCAACUAUGCUGCUGCAGAGAUUGUUUAUUGCAAAGCCCAGCAGAUAGACCCUGAUGCCAAUAAGGCUUGCAAUUUGUGUCUAUGCCUAAUUAAGCAAGGUCGAUAUGCGGAAGCAAGGCCUGUUCUUGAAGACGUGUUUGAAGGUAAGCUUUCUGGUUCAGAUGAACCCAAGUCGAGGAAUCGUGCUGAGCAACUGCUGAAGGAGUUAGAGCUUUGUGAAUCAGAAGGACUUGCUCCACCUGUUUCUGGACCUAGUAUAGAAGAUGCAUUUGCUAAAGGUCUUGAUCAAUUAAUGAACCAGUGGACACCAUUUAGGUCAAGAAGACUUCCCAUUUUUGAAGAAAUUUCACCUUUCAGAGAUCAAUUGGCCUGUUGAUCCUUCUGCUUUUACUACAUUUUUUCUUUCUUUUUUUUUCGGUUGGGGUUGAUUUUGUACGUAGUUGAUGAUCAUAGAUAUAGUGAAAGUAAUUAAGAAUAGUCAAAUUCUGGGCUUUCUUGACCCUGUGAGCCUUAUCAAAAGUUUUGUGCCGCUUGAACACAUAUUCAAGCACGUUGUGCCAUUUAGAUACUACAGUUUCUGCUGGUAGUAAUGAGAGAAUAUAGUUUUACCAUCUUGAGAAAUUUGUCCAUUCAUUUUUUUUAUUUUUUGUAAACAUUUGUCACAAAUCAUUUAAUAUUUUCGAGCUUUUAGCAGAGGAGAUAUACCACAUUUAAACACAUGAAUGAUCUUCUGGGAACAUUGUCUUUUAAAUUAUGACAAGAAUUAUCUCUCAGGCAACAUUGUCUAUUUUGUCUCAUGUUUUCUCCUCCUUACUGAUUACUUGUUACUCUUUUAAGCAACAAUGAGGUGCUCAUGUGACAUUCAAAGUAAACAGGAAAACAGGAGGUAGCACAUUAUUGACUAGCUAUAGAUUUAAACUUUUUUUUUUCAAGAGAAAAAGAGGCUUAAUAAGUGAUAAGAUAUUUGUUUCUAUCUAAUAUAUGAAUAUUUAAUGUAUUGGCUUCUAUCUAAAAUACAAGAAAUUUAUAGCUCUGUCACAUUUUGUUUUUAUACAAGUAAUCCCAAAAAAUUAUUAAAAUGCAUACUGUUUUCUCCAUAUGGAAAAAAAAAUGCUUCUUCUAUAUAUAUUUGUGAAAGCCAGACUUUACCACGUAAAAUGUUAAAAGUUUCUGCACCAAAUGUCCAUAUUUACUAGUCCUGCCUCCCAACUCCCAAGGGUUAAUUCUUCACAUUUCAUCAUAUAACAUUCAUUUUUACUUGGAAAUCCAACAUGUUACCAAGUUUCUUAGCAAGUAAUUAAUACUUUGACAGGGAAAGCAAUUAAAAGAUAUCCAAUGGAAAGAGAACAAUAUACAGCAACAGCAGUGUUAUAUUUAUGAAUUUGAAUGCCAAAAGAUACCAGCACAAAUUAAUAUAUGCCACAAAAUCCAUAAGGAUCAAAAACUUUCAAUACUGAUCAACAAGGAGUUACAGAUGUAAAAUACUACCAUGAUAAAGGAUUCAGUGUUACUUAGGCCUCAAUCUCAAACCUUGAGCAUUUGAUUGAACCCAUGGACAGGUCGAUCUCAAUCAAGUUUUCUUCCUCAUUCAUGUCAUUGAUUUCUGCAAAGAGCUGCUUGAUGCUAUGCUGAUGAAACAUUUUUGUUUCUGUGGAGAAAUCUUGAAACUUUUGCUGCCAAGAAAACUUGGGAUAUUCUUCUUUUGGUCCAACAUAAUGGCCACUAGGAAGAGCUAUCUCAAUCAAGCUUUCUUCAUCAGAAAUGGAAUCAUCUGAACAUUCUGGGCUUUGGCUUGGUAAGUUACCUGAGUAUGACCAGUCAAUAUCUGAAUCUUGAUCACUUGAAAAUGACUGACCAUCAAUACUUUCACUUUCUGAAUACAAAUCAGGAUGAAUCUGAUGAGCUGCACCACCUCCCUGAUUUUGAACUGCCUUUUCUUGAAAAGUAUUACUCUCAUCAGCUUUUGCCUUCUGCUCUUCUGAUACUUUGAUAAAAUGAGGGAAACAUUGCUGCUGCUCUGUGUUGCUGAUUCCAACAACUUCUUUCCCUGAUUCAUUGUCAACCUCAUCAAAUUCUGGUGAAUCUUGCUGGUGCUGACUAGCUUCUUUCACUGGUUUAUUGUCAACUCCUUCAGACUCAGAUUCUGGUGAAUCUUGCCGCUGCAGAAUAGGGUGACUAAUACUGCUCUGACUAAGAACUUCUACUGUUUGCACCGUUUCUUCUUGAUAUUCUCGCUUUGCAUAUGCGAAGAGAAUUGUGGAUAUAAUCAACACUAAAGAUGUGAUAAAAAUGGAUAAAACCCCACAACCAGAAAAGGCUGAAAAUGUAAUAAGAACAAAAACCCCUGGUAGUAUUGAUUUUUGCAGGAUGCAACUAGAAGAAGCCAUGUCAGUUGUUUUCAGAUAUGGAAUUAUAGAUCAAAACCUGGAGCUUUACAGCAUUUUUACAAAAAAUGGAAAAAAUGGAUCGAUAGAAAAGAACAAAAAAAGAAAGCCAACUUUUAGGCUAAGCUGUAACCUGCUACACAAGUACCAGAAGCAAGUUGAUAAAGAUGAAGAACUGGUUUACCAAGAAAGGAACAUGAACAUGUUAUUAAAGGAGCAAAUUCUGGUUUUUAACCCUUUAUAAUAUUGGGACACUUGCCAGUGUUCAGACUAGUCAAAUUGCUUGGCAGUUUCUCCCCAGCUUGCUUCCCCUUCACAGACUGAUCACUUUUCCCAAGCUUGUACUGUUCCUAAAAGACUGGGAUUUUAUUUUCUCGAUACUAAUCAGGUGGUCUUCCUCUGCAACUGAUUCUCUUGAUAAUGCCAAAAUCUGGUCUUCCUGUAUCAAUUUUAUGAACUCAACACUUGGAAAUGAGAGAAGCCAUGUGAAGUCUCUGAGCUCAACACAUGGCACUUUCUAUCAGAUCAGUAAAAACCUCCCCACAAUACAACAAAACCAAACAAGCAAAUCCCAUUAAAAAAAUUACAUUAGUAGUCAGUAUUCCUCCAUAAAAAGUAGUAUUCUGAGACUUCAGAAGUUGCCAAUUUUAAAUCCAGCUUCAAGAUCCUGAAGAUCAAGGAGUAUGAAGAAAGCACUACCACCAUUGAUAUUGCUAUAGAUGCUUGUACUCAUUUCUCUGUGUUACCUAUUUCAUCAUGCCACUCAAGAUUAAUUAAAAAAAAAAAGAGCUAUUGGAAACUUUUGAGGGGACUACACUUAACAAAAGCAUGCCAAAAAAGUUCUAACUUUUCCCCCCAAGUGGAGCCUUUCAUCAUGCCCCUAGACUCUUUUGACUUUUCGAUUUAGCUUAAUGAGGUUCAAUAAUAGCGGAUUUAGGUAAAAGUAAGCAGGUUAAUUUGGAUUGUCAAAUCUCUUCAAUGAAAAAGAAAAAACUACAUUUUAGAUAAUAGUCCUUUAACCAUCGUAGUAAAGCUCACUAGAACCUUUGCUAUUAUUUAAUUCAUGCUAAAAUAAGUUUUUUUUUUUGGUUUUUUUUAAAUAUAUUUUAAGAGGGAUUUGAUCCUAGAGCGUUAAAUCCUGUGGUUUGAACAUUAACUAUUACACCAAAACUUAUUAAUGAAAAGGAGUAAAUUCACAUUGCAUCCUCAAACUUGUGUCACUUUUUAUUUUACACCCAAAAUUUAAUUUUGGACAAUUUGCACCCUUAACUCACAAUUUUGUCCCAUUUAAAUCCAAUCAAUAAUGACAUUCGCAAAAUUAACAGAAAUAGAGAAUCAUACAAAUUAACGACAAUGUGUUGAAAGUGAUCAAAAUGAGCUAAGGAAUCACAACUGAAUCAAAAUAAUAUAUUAGCAUUAAUUUGUAUCAUCUUUUAUUAGAUAAUUUUGCUAGCAAUAUUAAUUAUUAAAUGUGACAAACUUUUGACCAGUUUGUUUUAGUUGCAAUCAUUUUGCUUAUUUCGACCACUUUCAACACAUUGUCAUUGAUACGUAUGAUCCUCUAUCCCGUUAGUUUGACUACCAUUGUUAUUGAUUGGAUUUAAAUAGAACAAGUUUGAGAGUUUAGGGUACAAAGAAUCUAAAAUUACGAAUUUAGGAUAAAAAAGUGUUCAAAAUUGAAGUUUAUGAUACAAAAUAAGAAAGUGAUACAAGUUCAAAGUGUAAAAUAAAGUUAGUCCAGUAAAAACUAAAAAGUCAUCACCAAGAAAUUCAUGUAAAUGUCAUAAACAACCAAGCGUUGUAAUGAUGAUGAUACAAGUUCAAAGAUAUAAAAUAAAGUUAGUCCCAACAAAAAGUCAUUACCAAGAAAUUCAAGUAAAUGUCAUAAACAACCAAAGGUUGUAAUGAUGAUAGGGGGAUUGGAACAAAAUCUUUUCUCACCUAAACCAGCAAUAAUUCUCAACAAGAAAUGGCCAAAGGGAUCACAGGCUCUUGACCUCGACACAAAAAGAGGAAAAGACAAUCAAGAUAACUCUUCUUUUGUGGAGCGUCCUAUUAGAGGAAAAUGUAUGGUAAAGUUAGGGAAGAUGAAUUUUUUUUUUUUUUUUUUUUUUUUGUCGACACAGGAGUGUUCGGGUCAAUCCUUACGGGGCUCGACUAAUCCCCUGCGACCCGGGCCCGGUGCCCCAACCCGACCCAAGCACGAUAAGUGCGCGGAGGAAUCCAGCAGAGCAUAGACUCGAUCUUGGGACCAAGUGAUCACCCGUAGGAGGUGCUACCGCUGGACCAUUCACCAGUUAGGGAAGAUGAAUGGAUAAACCUUUUCUAAGGUAUGUGAUGGAACUCCUGAUGCUUCAAGGGAUUAUAGGGUUGAUGCUGAAUUUGAAGUGAAGGACAGUCCAAGAGACUAUAUUUAUUUUUUGCUUCAAGAGUCAUGAAAGAGAGCUUAAAUGGACGCUUAUUCUAAUUUGCAUAACUGUCUUUGGCAGUACUUAAUCUGACUCAUGAUACGUUUUUAAGUCACGUACAUGGAUUAGUGUGAUUAUUAUUUUGUUUUAUGCUUUUUAAGAGAGGGAUGUGAUCCUCUUUGUGCUGUUCAGAUUUGUUUAUUCAAUUAAUAAAGAUUCAGUUUGUGCAACUAAUACCUGCACUAAGGUUGAAGUCCUGGAAAUUAGAGGUUCUAAGUUUAAAUCUUCCUGUCCCCUCCUUGUUUUUUAAGUCUCGCCCUUGGAAAUAUAUAUAUAUAUAUAUAUAUAUAUAUAUAUAUAUUAAAAAAGCUCUAAGGGAAAAUUGCAGCAUAAAUACACAUAUAUAGAAGAAUGGUACACUUAUAAUAAUGAUAUUCUGAUGUUGAGUGGUAGCUAACAUGAAGAGAAAAUUACAAAAUUAUUUAGUAGUUGAAUAUAUGUAACCUCUUAAUGUUAAAAAAAAACUUAUGAAAUAGGAAGUAUUUAUAGUUUUGGGAUUUUUUUGUUGUAGGUUAAGUGGUUUUUUUUUUUUUUGGGUAAUGAAAGGUUAAGUAGUUGGAAUCCAAUACAAUGAGCCCAUUAUCCAAGCAUACAAUUAUUUUCUCACCACAUUAUAUUUUUGGAUGAAGUAUUUAUUAUGAUUUAUACACUCAAAAUCCAAAAGAAAAAAAUUUCUUAAAAAGUUAAUCACCAACACAAAAAGAUAUUUCUUCUAGUUUUGGGCUUUAGAUCACAAUCAAACUGUGAAGAAGUAUUUUAUAAUAAUAUGACUUUGUCGAAACAAAUAUUUUGAUUUUAGUCCUGUCGCUUACACUCCUUCCUUUUGAACCACCAAACCCAUCCCCCUUCCAAUUUUAGGAAAAAUAAAGUAGUCUAAUUUUAAAACCAAUGCACAUAUAUAAAACCAACUUAAAAAAAUAUAAUAUUAGAAAUAGCAUCCCAAUAUAAAAGCUAAAUUUAUGCUACUUUUUUAUUAGAAAAAAUAGAGUAGUAUAAAUUUAGUUUUAUAUUGGGAUGCUAUUUCUAAUAUUAUCAUUUUUUAAGUUGACGAUUCUUAUUUGCUGAUUCAAUAAAAAAAUUUUCCUUUGCCUAUUGAAAAAAAAUCCAAUUUCUAGCUUAUCAACUUGAGUUAAACGAAAGACAAUAUACUGUUUUCUUGGUUGUUUUAAGGUUAAUAUUAUCUCUUAUUUCCAGCUUCUGUAGCUAUUUUAAUUGUUUCUUUUCUUUCUUUAAUUGUGGCUUAAAUUAGUUUCCCUCAUCUUUGGGAAAGAAACAUAAUCGUUUCUAAUUAACAUGCAACAUUUUGAUAAGCUUUAGAUAAUCUAUGAUGAACCAAGUAUAAUGUUACAAAAUCGAUUCAAUCCAUCAAUCCUCCAUCUUAAUUAAGUGGCUUUCCUUUUACGUAAAUUUACUGCAAUAUUUUCUGGUUUGUUAUUUUUUCAUAUUGUAUUUUGUAUAUUGGUUGGUGUACCCCUUUUAAUUAAGAGUAAAUCUUAUAUACACUGAUAGUGUAUACAUCAUCACCGUUAGAUAUAUGAUAUAUGUGCAAAAAUUGAAUUUCAAAUUCAAAUUUUGUAUAAUUAUCAUAUAUCCAAUGCAGUGUAGAAAAGAUUAAUCUAUUAAUUAAUAUGCACCUUACUCUUUUCUUUUUUUUUCUUUCCCAAUGAUUUCCAUGCAAUUUUAAAAGUGUAGGUUGGUUCUUUGAUGAGAUACGUAAUUCCAUAAUGGACUCACUUUCAAAAAUUAAAUCUUGCUAAAACAAAAACAAGGCAGUUUUGUGACUUUUGUCUUUUGAGAGCAAAAAGUGAUAACAGGGGGUGCUACCAAAAAAAAAAAAAGAAACAGAUGUAAUGAUCUUGUGCGCACAAUAACAAAUAACGAUUCUGUUUUAAAACUUUAUCAAAUCCACCCUGUAAUAUCUGGAUUAAUUUUGAAGCUGCAGAUUUCAUCAAGGAUGUAACUUUUAGGCAUUAAUAAUUAGGGCUAAUUUCAUAAACCUCCCAUGAUAUAUCUGACAAUUUGAUUGAGCUCCCUUGAGGUUUCAAAAAUUACACCUACUUCUCUUGAUUUGAUAGUUUUGGUAAUCAAACUUUAAACUUGGUCAAAAGUUUAAAUGAAUAACCCCAAAAUACCCUCAUCUUACCAAGAUCAAUGUUUGCCAGAUUAGUCAACAUUUAUAUAUUUCGACGCAACAACAAGAUGUUAUUUGUAACAAGUAGUUUUGUUGGCUGGUUAAUUGGUCACAUUUUAUUCAUGAAAUGGCUUGGAUUGGUAUUAGUCUGGAUACGGCAAAAUCAUUCUAUUAGAUCGAAUAAGUACCUUGUGUCAGAAUUGAGAAUUUUUAUGGCUCGGAUCUUUUAAAGCAAUAAUAAUAUAUUUAGCACACAUAUAAGAAAAGAUUCUUAAGUUUUCAAUACCAAAUUUGUUAUUUGAUAAGCAAUUAUGAUGAUAAUUCUAUUAUUACGAUAAAAUAUUUUUCAAUACCAAUUUUAUUCAUUCUAAAUUGGAGAAGAAAGUGUUAUUAUAAUGCUUUUAGAGUUGGUAGAUUUUUGGAUUGGGAAACUAUCAUUAUAGUUUGAUAGCAGUUUUGGGCAUUUUUUUUUAGUUAGUGUUUUUUGAGUUGGUGUUGCUUUUAAUACCAAAAAAAAAAAGAUUGACAAAUAAAAUUAGAUCACAAUAAAAUUUUUCAAAAAAAAAGUAACUAGUUUAACAUUUAAGGUUUGUGUUUGUAGUUGCAUAGUUUUAUUGGCAAAAAGAAUUAAAAAAAAGGAGGAAUACAAAGAGAAAAUGAAAAGAAAAAAUAAUCAUAAAUCCCAUUCUUUGUAUAUGCAUAUCCAACAAGAGAGCUUUGUUAAAAUGUUAAGGCUAGUAUUGUUAUUUUAGGUAGACAAGGGAGGCAAGUGUAAUUUUUAAAAUCUCAAGGGAACCCAAUGAAAUUAUUAGAAACCUCAGGGGAGGCUUCUGAAAUUACCCCUAAUAAUUAAUUAAGACAAGGAAGAAAAAUAAGUGACAGAAAGAGGAAAUAAAGGGGAAGUCAACUUGAUGUCCCAAUGACAACUCAACAGCCAUGACAUGCAAAAUGUGUUAUCUAUCAAGAAGUUUGCCAGCAGGAAAACUUUGUUCCCCAUAUAUGGCGGCCAACCGUAAAAUUUGGCUAGGCCUCUUAAUUAAAAUCUGUUUCAUCUCUGAUUUUUAUUCAUUGACAAUGUAUAGAAAAUGAUAUUUCCAUUGUAGCAAUAGCUGUGAACCAAAAGUCCAGGUUGUGGUUUAAGCCCUGGCAAGAAAGGCAAGGAGGGGACAUAUAUACAGAAAGAGGUGGUUUGAGGAGGAGGAGGAGGAGCAAAAGCCAUAAUGACUAACGCCACGAUAACUGUGGAUUUUGAUAAACUAUAUCAAGAUGUUCAAUGCUAUUCUGAUACAAUAUACAGGUUCAAUGGCGUUUGGGAUGGCCCUAAUCCCUUGCUUCCAGUUGUUCCUCUCUUCCUUGUUCAAUUAACAGUUGCUGUCCUGGCCACCCGCCUUCUCAUUAUUGCCUUUAGACCCUUUAACCAACCUCCCUUUGUUGCUGAAAUCCUCGUAAGUUCAAGAUUUUUGCAGCUCUUUCAUGCAUGUCUGUAGCUGAAGUCCAUCUCCUUAAAGAAAUAUAAGAAUAGGAAAAUUAUGUUCAGGACAAAUUAGUGUAUUCACCUCGACUGUUGGACCUCAAUUUAGAUGCAUAUCUUGGAGAAUGCUUUGUUUUCCUUUUGUAGUUUAAUGACCUCUUGGCCUUGAUACGAUUUCUGAAGGAAAAUGUCUUCCUGAUUUUUUAGCAUGAAGAUAGUUGGUUGGCGCGAUUCUCUGCGAGAAUUUGAGAUUUACUGAAAUUUAAGCUAAAUCAAUUAUGGUUUCUUGUACCUCUCAAGCCAUCUUUUAUGUGCAUACAUGCUUGCAUUAUUCAGUUCACCUAUAUGGAUAUGAAGUCUUGCUCCAAAUAUGUUGAUUUGGGUGUAAGAAAUCUUACAUGGAAUAUUGAAAAUGAAAUUCUUAACAAUGGUCCUAAUUUGUUGUGAUGCCACAAUUAAGAAUACUAGAUUGAGCUUAGUUUUAUCUUAACGUAGUGUUUAUAUGAUGAAUACAGCACAUAUCAGUACUUCUUUCCCCUUGAUCAAAUUCAACUGCAUUCAAUGCAUAAAUUGAAUCAAGCAUACAUUUGGCGUUACUAAUCAGAAGGAGAAAAUGAUUUCUGCAAUUUGCAGACUGGUAUCAUCUUGGGACCUUCUGUACUUGGGAAACUUUCAUUCUUCUCAAAUUUCUUAUUUCCACCUUACUACCUUCCAGUGUUAGAGCCAAUGGCGCAUUACUCCUUGGUCUAUUAUGCAUUACUGACGGGAUUACAGAUGGACAUACGAGCAAUGUACCGAACAGGAACCCAGGCUAAGCAUAUUGCCGUGGCUGGAAUAUUUAUUCCAAUGAUCAUUGGUUCCUCCUCAUACUUCACUAUAGAGGAUCACGUAACGGCUGAAUCACCAACAAAAUUAGGUGCUUUUUUCUGGGGUUCUGCUCUAACAGUGACAGGAUUUUCAGUGCUGUCUAAAGUUCUUGAUAGGCAGAAAAUCCUUCACACAGAGAUUGGAAAAAUAGCUGUCGCUUCAGCUUUACUCAGUGACCUGGCCUCAUGGUUUUUUCUUGCGCUAGGACUUGCAAUAACGGGGGAUAAAACAACAAAUUUGAUCUGGAUUGUGUUAUCUACGUGCGCUGUCGUGUUGUUGUGUGGUUUCUAUGUUCGUCCUGCUCUGAGUUGGAUCGUUAAGAAUACUCCAGAAGGCCAAGGGUAUAGUGAAUUCUACCUGUGUUCAGUAAUAACAGGAGUUGGGCUCCUCGGAGUGAUCACAGACGCAUGUGGUACACAUCCACUUAUUGGUGCUUUAGUUUUUGGACUGAUCAUCCCUGAUGAAGUUCUUGAAUCUGUACUUGUUGAUAGGCUUAAAGAUGUUGUGAAUGGAAUAUUUAUGCCUGUUUUCUUUGUUGCCUGUGGGCUUAGAGCCGACCUGAAUAAAGUUGAGGCAAGCUGGAUUAAGGUGGCAUUAAUCAUCAUAUUAGCCUCUUCUGCUAAAAUUGUAAGCGCCCUUACGAUCUCAUUUUUACAUGAUUUACCAACCAAAGAGGCAGUGGCUGUUGGAGUACUCACUAACACUAAGAGCACCUUAGCUUUGGCAAUUCUUGAGAUUGGUCUCACCCAAAAGGUAUUUUUUUCUGUCCCUCUCCCUGGAUAUGGAUUUGAAUUAGGUGUUGACUCAGAAACUUAGAUAUUUUCUUUAUCUUAAUUAAACAGGCUCUGACUCAGGAAAGUUUCUCAGUUAUGGUUGUUGCCAUUCUUGUGAUGACAAUGGUUGUCACGCCAGCAACAAUGUUGUACCGUCCCACAAAGAAUAUGACGCCAUAUAAGAGGAGAACCAUACAAAAAGCAAAAUCAGAUGAAGAACUCCGAAUACUUGCUUGUAUCUAUGAUGUACGAAAUGUCCCUUCCAUCAUCAAUCUCCUGGAAGUGUCCAAUUCCACUCAAAAAUCACCAAUCACUGUUUUUGCUCUUCACCUAGUUGAACUCAUCGGCCGUGCCUCUGCUAUGCUGGUUGUCCACAGCGCAGGUGGGUCAGGCCCCAGAAAUCCAAGUUAUUUAGAAGAAAGAACAGAACAAAUCCUCGCUGCCUUCGAAAACUACAAGCUACAAAGUGAGGGUGUAGAUACUCAGGUGAUGACUGCAAGUUCAGCUUAUGCGACAAUGGAUGAAGAUAUUUGCAGCAUUGCCAAGGACAAGAGGGCAGCAUUCAUAAUGCUCCCCUUUCACAAGCAACAAACCUUGGAUGGAGACAUGGAGGACAUAAAUCCCACUGCUCGAAAUGUCAAUGAGAGUGUGAUGGAAAAUGCACCAUGUUCUGUGGGCAUUCUUAUUGACCGUGGUCUCACUGAUUCACAAAACCGUGCAAGGAGCAUUGCCAUGCUGUUUUUUGGAGGUUCCGAUGAUAGGGAGGCAUUAGCUUAUGCAUGGAGAAUGGCUGAACAUCCAGAGACCAGCCUAACAGUGGUAAGGUUCAUUUCAGGUCAAGACACGGAGGAAGAAGAAUGGGAUCCCCUGGCUUUUGAAGAUAGAGAUCAAGUGACUAUAGAAAUCGACUCCAAAAGCCACGGACUUCUAGACGAUGAAUUCUUGAACAAAUUUAAGAUUGCUACAGUCAAUGACAGCUCCAUAAGCUUCUCUGAACUCAUGCUAAACGAUGAAGAGGAGACUGUUAAUGCAAUAAAAGACAUGGAUGGUGACAAUCACGAUCUAUACAUAGUCGGGAAAGGGAGAGGAGUAACAUCGCCUCUGACAGUAGGCCUUGCUGAUUGGUGUGACUGCCCUGAGCUAGGGCCUAUUGGGGAUCUUUUGGUCACAUCAGAAUUCAAAUCUGUGUUUUCAGUGCUGGUGGUGCAGCAAUAUCAUAAGCCAUCUGUUCCUAGAGAUGGUUCAGUGAGGUCUGCCGGCACAAUUAGUCAGAGGAAGGACAUGGAAUUCAGGCCAUCACUCUCGGAGACCGAAACAUUUGAGCCAUAUGCAAGCUUUAGAAAGACUAAUUUCUUAACCAUGAACUAGUAUUUUUCAGGAUUUUUACCCAGUGACUUGGAAGAUUGUUAGCAGUAGAUCCAGAAAAGUGAACAACAAAAGGCAAGGUCAUUUGCAAAUCACAAUAUUACCAUCUCACUAAUUCUUGUAUACUCAGGCUUGUACACCGCAAAAGUGCUUUUUCUCAUGAUAGAACGACAAUAAGAAGGCUCUAUUCAAAAGUGCUUUCAGAAAAGUUGAAUAGAAAGCCUUCUACGUUCAAAAGUGCUUGCAAGGUUAUGGAAAAACUUUUACUGAAAGGUAAUCAAUUAUUUUUGGGAAAAAAGGCCACCAACAGUUUUUCUUUUUUUUUUAAUCCAAGAAUAGAAGAACUUCCAUCACAAUACAAAAUUUUUGAUGCACCAUAACAAAAUUAAUUAUAAUGCAUUAAGAAUUUCAGCUAGCAAUCGUUAUUUUUCUUCCCCUUCCUCUUACAAUAUAAAUGUGUAAGUUGUCAGAGAGAACGUAAUAUAAAUGUGAAAUCGGAUCAAGGCAAAGAAAAAAAAAAGGCAAAAAUCUACUUUUACAUGAAUAAUUGAUUACUUUAUAUCAAUGUUAAUAAAUUUACUAACCUAACAAUUAAUUUUACCAUGCAUGGACAAAAAUAUGGCACGAAGAGAAAUUAUAACUAAAAUUAAUUGGAGGAGAGUUAGAUGUAAAAAAUGAGUAAAACCUAAGUGACUAUUAACCCAUUAAUUCUCUUCAAUUAGGUUUGAAGCCAAAAAGAGAAAAAAAAAAAAAAAAAGAGGUUAAUUGAAAUAAGAUAUUGUCAAGGAUACGCAAUCAUAGUAUCCAACAAUUUGAGAAAACUCUGAGAUAGCCUACAAAAUGUGCUUUGUUGUGCGUGUGUGUGUGUCUAUAUAUAUAUAUAUAUAUAUAUAUACCCCUUGUCAUUGCCCGAUCCCAGAAAAAUCCAUCUUUUCUGUUAUAUCAAUAUCAUAUAGAACUUAAAUUAUUUUAGCAAAAAAAAAAAAAGGAGAGAGAAAGAGAUAAAAGAUGAUCAAGAAAAAAAUACAAAAAAUUCAUAUUUGGAUACUUUACACAGUCAAACUACAACAAUUUGCUCUUAAAUACUCAUAAGAAGCUAUAGGCAAUAGGCAUUACUCGAGCUUCAUAUUUUAGACCCAAAAAAGAAAUAAUAAUAAGAACAUGUUAUUUUGUCCAAAAACUAUUCAGCAACCUCCCAAGGAGCACCCAAAAAACACCCUAAUACACCCCAUCAACCACCACCACCACCACCACCACCACUUUGACCACCUUCUCACCCUUCUCUUUCCACCAUGGCCCCAUCACUCCCACAAUGAUCUUCACUCCCUCCUCCCCUUUCCCACUUCCUUCACCACCCCCAUCUUAUUCUCCGUUUUCCCUCCUUUCCACCCCCCCCCCCCCCAAACAAAAAAAGCCAAAAAAUGGUUGUAGGUAUUGCCUAACGGUUCAUCAUCUUAAGAGUGUUUACAUAAGUGUAGCUUGAAAAUGACACAAAAAGCUUCCGGAACCUGCAUUGGCAAUUAAGAUGAGAUAAAUGAGAAUGCACAAAAGAUCAUUGAAGUCAGUUAGAUUAUUCAAAGUAAAUAUAUCCCCACCCCAAAACAACCUCUUUUUAGGAAAAUCAUGAAAGAUCUUGCAAGGAAAAAUAUAUUGAUCCCUUCUCCUUCCAAUUAGAUGUGAAGAUAGCAGCACGCAUACCAUAUCCAUUGGCUCCUAUGUUGAGCCAUUGCAGCAUAGCUUUGAAAGGGAUUUUCGUUCAGCAAAGACUGCAGUUCUCUGUUUAGACAUUUCCUGGCUAAUAAAAUGGACAACCAAAUAUCAACUGGUCCACAGUAUUUGCGCAAUAUGUUGUUACUGACCUGGGUAUUAUAAGAACAAAAGCCAUGAUUUAAGGUUGUAGAAGCUGUAAAUGAAACUUAAAAUAAAACACACUGCCGCUUUCUCAGGAAAAAUCCUAAAUGGAAAAUGAGAAACAGGAAGAGAAGGAAUUUGUGACCAAACGUCUAAUAACAGACAAGAGGAUGUUAGCUUUAGUUGUAUGCAUAGAGUAGGUUGCUACAACACCCCAAAUAUGGAUGGAUUUUGACCCACCCAUGCUCAAAUGCACAAGAGACUAAGAUCACCAGAUUCCUGUUCAACCAUGCGAGAAUGAAAACAGCUAAAUAGCUACUACUUGUAUGUAUGUUCAUAUGUUCCAAGUAACAAACAAAGACUUCCACACAUAAAACAAAAAUGUAGAUUCUGCUGCCCAGCCACUACCAGCAUUUAGAACUAAUCACAGACUAGUCCCAAAUCUCAUUCAUCCCUAAGUCUCCCACUCUGUUUCCUGACUGCAGCUCCCAGAAGCUAAGCUUCAGUAACACAAUAAAAUCAGAUGAAAAUGUACAUAAUCUAUCAAAAUCGCACGUACAAAUUGAGACCAAAAGUUAAAUCCAACAUCAACACAAAAUCAUAGCAGGGAAUGGGGAGUGAAAGGGUGACUGUGCAUGGGAAGAGUAAUCUUGGAGGGCAAAAGGGCAGGGCUCAAGGACAUUGUGGAAAAUAAUAAAUACAAACACUUUACAAGAUGAGGUUUUCUGAUGGAAGUUAAGAGAAGGAGCAAAAUUUCUUCAAUUUCAAAAUUGCAUGUCAUAACCACAUACUUAGCUGCAAUACCAGGUCACUCUACCAUGACAAACAAGGUCUUUGGUUCACUUCGCUCUUUUUGGUACAACUAAGUCGUAGUUGGAGGAGGUCAUGAAUAAUCUAACAACCAUGGAAGAAAUAAAAUUCACAAUAACCAGUAACUCUAUUAUCACAAGAUAGAUGUUGUAACUUACAAGUUCCCAGGCUUCAACUUGUUGGGAAGAAUUUUGGAAGAGCUUUCUGCAUAGCAAAACCAAUAUUCAGAUUUCAUAAAUGCAAAAUCAACAAAUACAUGCUCUUAAUGACAGCACAAAUAAGUCAAGAUCUACUGACCGCACUCCCCGAUGUACAUCACAGUGAUUACAAUGACCAGAAACACCAUAAUUAUCAAAAGUUAUUAUCUGAGAAGCCAAAAGGAGAGUGAGUUGAGUAUAAUCUCCAGAUAACUUACAAUUAACCAUUCACAUUGCCAGCUACAGUGAGGCACUCAUAAGCAUAACAACGGCCUCAUGCCACAUAAUUUCACAAAGUAGGAAAAAGGCUAGAAGUAGAGAAGUUGGCCAAUAAAAUAGACAAAACCUUACCACAUCAAUGGCUUUAGAAUCAACUUCCUCCUUAAUAAUCAUUUCCAAUAAAUUACAGUUCCAGACCUUGUGAAAACCAUCCUACAUUCAAAAGCCAUAUUCUACUAAAUUUUUGGCAUAAUGUGUCACAAGGAAAACAAUAGCCCAGUAUCAAAUCUUGUAAGAUAUUUCAGACAGGUACCUGCAAAUCUGGGUGGUCCACAACCUUCACUCGCUGGGAUGGCACCUGCAUGAGUAAAAAUAAUUUCAAUGACAUGGAAGACCAAAGCCCAAGUAAAAUAUGAACCCCGGAACUGUUUAUCUGGAUAGUAUGUAGAAUAUUAACGUUAAUCAGGCAACAAUAGAAAUGUGAUGUAGUAGUACAGUUCCAUAAAAUGUGGAUAGUAUGGAUGUAAAAGGUCUGUGGUCUGAGCACCCAGCUGCAUGUUGAAUGGAAGUAAUAAAAUUUCCUAUUCAACAACAAAAUACCUUCAAGACAACAGAUGCUAGGUACAGCUCUUCUUUCCUGAUGCCCCCAAUACCAUCUGCAUUACCUACAAAAGAGACAACUUUUGAAACUUUUAUAUUGGAAAAACCAAAUGCUGAUGACAGUGUUAAGAUUGUUGAAUUUUCAAUGCCAUCUUCUACAGAGGACUAGUUACCACUUCAAAUGUUCCCAGACUAGAGCCAGUAUAAUUAGAAACAUCGUAUAAUUAGAUACAUAUACCCAUUCCCCAUUAUGAGGAAGACAAUCAGACACAGGAAAUUAAAAUUUUCUCUAUCUGCAAGCUUCAACCUUUUGUACAGCAAAGCAAAAUUGCCUGUUUCAGAAAACAUGUUCAGGAAAUCAUUCGACACGUAGUGAGAUUACAUAUCCAGUCAAAUCAGAACAUUGUCUUUGCUAGGACACUCAGCUGUGUUUUUCAUCAGAUUCCAAGCCAGUUUAACCAACCUAACUGAAACAUUAGCCAUGGUAGAGGAGACAAAGGAAGUUUCUCUGCUUAAUUAGGUGUCCUGCUUAUAUAAGCAGCUAGGAAGUUGCAAGUCUGUAGUAGUGCAUUACCAGUUGACAAGCACAGUAUAUAAACAUUAUGCCCCCUUGAAGUCAGGUAAUUGAUUGUUGGUGAAAAGAACCUGCAUAGAUAUCAAGUAAUGUUACAAGCAUAUGGUAAAACCACAAACUUGUGACUCUUAACGUUUAAAAACAGAAAGGACAUCAUGUUAUAAAUCACACAAAGUUUCAAACUUUUGUUUUACUCUUGCACUAUUACAUUCCUUAGUUUAGGCAAUGUUGCUGGCUUAUGACCUAAAUAAAAUUUAUACAUGCGAUCAAAGUCGGAAAAUGUUCAGAAUGUUCUAUAUUCUAAACUUAACCGAUGUAACAAUUCAACCACUAUCAGGUAUCCAACACAAGCUUCUAGUCCAAUUAAAUAAUUGCAACAAAAAGUACACAAUAAGAAUUUUGUAACACAACCUUACAUUGUCUCAUCAUCAGGGUGUGCAAUAACCAACAAGACAUUUUUCCUUGAAGGCAACCCAGCACCUAAAAUUGCAAAAUCCAAGAAUAAAAUUUACUCCUCAAACAAACAAUAAUUCAUUGUCAGGGACAAAGUAUUCAUCUAUGCUCAGAACAAACUUAUUACCGAUGAAAUAGUGAUCUUACUUGCAUUAUCAUUCAGGAAGGUGGUCUUGGAAUUUAAAGAUGAACCCAAGUGUAUUUUGCCUAAAGAAACCGCCCAGAGUAAUACCAACAAGCCAACAAUCACCAGCCACACCAUCUAGCAAUCCUCCCAAGACAAUGCAAUUUCACCAAAAGGAGACUGAAAAUGCCCAAAAUUUGCAGUAGGAAAAGAGGGGGUCAUCCUAAAUAUUCAAUCAAAAUCAGCAAUGCAGUUAUCUGAUGUUUUUCAUCUUAAAUAUAUAUACAAUCUGUAAAACCACAAGAUUACAUAAAGCUAGAAAAUCGUUUUGCUAACAUUGGCUAGAAAAACUCCAAACAAAAAAAAAACGUAAGUUUUUUUCUUUUAUGAAAAUCCACAUCAUAUACUAGAGUUGUUCUCUCUUUAGUUUCCUUUGGGCCCAUUACAUAAUAAAGAACCCAAAAAAGAAAAAAAAAUAUUCAAAAAUCAUAGUACCAAUAAUAUUCCACAACAAUAUACUAAUUUAUACCAAUGUUGCUGAAAUGGGCUUUCAAUAAUUCAAGCAAAUUUCAUGCUUACCUAUGAUUAAAAUACUUGAAGGUACUAAAUAGCAAUGCAGAAAGAGUGUAAUCAAUGAAACAUAAAUAAGUAAAAAAAAAAAGAAAAAUUAAAUUGAUUUGAUACCAUUCCAUUUUCUAUACAUAUGACGAUCAGUGAUGGGAAUUUUAUUGAAAUGGGUUGUCAUAAUUACGACGGAUUCUUACCUUAGACAGGCAUUGGGAGUCGGAAAAAUUGAUUCUUUAUCGCUGAUGGACACCCGCCGGCGGUGAGUCCGGUGACCGAGCUAAGCUUGGUGAUCUAGUUGCCGGAAGAAACGGGUUAACGGAAGAGAGCGAUUUCAAGGUUUGGGAGCUGAAGUCGUUGAGAUCAAAACAACGUGAUUUAUUCGCUGGGAUAAAUUGCUUCAAUAGUCCCUCUUACUUUAAGAAAAUAUAUUUUGUUCCCCCCUCCCAUCUGAGAAGUACUAAUCCUCACCUUUGGAAUAAAAUUAUUUAAUUCCUUAACAUAAUUUAAACUGUACAACUUUUGGCCAAAAUGCAAAAUCCCACCUUCAGCUAUAUUUCUAACAAUAAAAAUGUCACACUGAUAUCAAGUCUACGUGGUUUAUGCAUAUUUUUAUUUAAUUUUUAUAUUUUUUCUUGAAUAAAAGAAUGAAUUACUCGAUUGAUUUCUGUAACUCUCGGGAUAUAUAUUAUAACUUGAAUAUAGCCCUUUCAUAAUUUGUGCUCAAACAUUUUCUUAUAUUCUCGAAAAAAUCACAUUCAUUUUUUAUGCCUUACAUUGGUCAAUCAAAAAUUUAGGUCUAUGGCAUACAUAGACCAUACUCAUUUGAAUUUGAAUCUUGUUUUGAGUCUUAUUUUGAAAAAAGAUAUUUAAGGCCAUGUCAUACUUAAAGAAUUGGAAGGUGAAAAAUGAAAUUAGAAAACUUCAUCGUGUAGUGAAAUUCUAUCAACGUAUGAGCUUUUUUUAAUUUUUUUUUUAGUAGGAGAAGGUGGGAUUUAAAAAACGGAAAGAAGACUGGGGAUUUAAACAUAUGAGCCUUGAAUAAUACACACAAAUAUAUUCCCUUGACUGAUUGAUUAGAGCAAAAAGAAUAAUGUAUUUGUCAAAUCAUAUUUAUUAAAAAAAAACUUUAGUUCUUACACUAUAUAGGUAUCACAUUUUAUAUCGAAAAGCUGGACCAUAAUAAGAAUGUAUCCUUAAGAGCAUGUGAUUUGCAAUUUACGAAUUAAUUUAUGAGUAAAUUUUAUGUACAUUUACUGUGUAUACACUAUCACAAUUGGAUAUACAACAUGCAUGUAAAAUUUGAGUUUCAAAUUCAAAAUCGAAUUAUGUAUCAUGCAUCUAAUAGUAAAAAUGUAUACACUGUUGGUGUAUAGAAGAUUAAUCCUUAAUUUAUUAAACUUUGUCCGAAAAGUACUACUACUAAAUAGUAAAAUUACAUGGAUUCAAGAUGUAAAAUAAAAGGAAUUAGGCAAUCAUCCAACUAGGAUCCGAGAUUGAUAUAAAUGACAUGUUAGAUUAAGUGUGGUAAAUGUUUUACAAUAGGGUGUAGAGAUCUUCUGCACUUGCUUUCUAAUGUUCCCUAUACAUUGUAACCAAGAUUACAAAGCUCUUACCCCACCUCAAGGCAGGGAGAAAGAAAAUUCUAACUGAGAAUGCUACUAGCACCUGGAACAUUUUUAUAUGUCUGAAACCAGCCAAUUCUACGAUGAACCAGAAAAAGACCAAAUCUGUGAUCCAUGGCAACAGAUACUGCCUGAAUCAAAAACAUUUGAAACCAGGACAUACAGACAGUAUGAUGAUUAGAAGAAUUGCUAGUAUAAUACCAGCCACAAUCAACUUCAUCUUCAUAUUCUGCACCCACAUUUUUCUUUUCAUCUUAGUACCUUGUUGCCUAAAAUCUUGAGCCUGAAACAUCAGACAAAUUUUCUCAUCAUUUAAGAAAAAAGGAAUUCAAACUAAUUUAGGGGUGCAAAUGGAUAAGAUAUACAAGUACGUUAAAUAGAAUUACUUUCUUGGUUAGCUCUUAAUGAUAAAUUCAAACUAAUACGUAAACUUCUUAAACUAACCUGCGAUCGAAGGUUUUCGGUUUUAUCGACUAAUAACUCGAUCUUUUCUCCACGAUCAAGAACCUAAAACCAAGAAAUUUAAUGUGCAUAAAGUGACAGAAAACUUGGUAAUUGGAAGCAAAAAAAAAAAAAGGAAAAGCAUGCAACAAAUGAAUGCUUAUUUUAGCUUUCUUACCUUUUCAAUGUUUUCCAUCAUCACUCCUUUCACUUCAGAAACUUGAGCUUUAAUUUUUGCAAGCUUAUUGAUCUCUUCUGGAUGAUCAACACAAUACUUCAUGUGCUCUUUCAGUUUUGGCCUACCACAGAACAAGGAAAUCUUUGGUAAAGCACUUAAAUUAAUCAAAAGAAAAAAAAAUUUGUCUGAUGUUUUAGUAUUCUAAAAACUGAUAGUUAAAUCAGAGAAUUGUAUAAAUGCAAGGAAGCUUAAAAUGUCAUUUUGUGUAUUUAUGUGGUAAAAUUGUGUGCAUGGUUGGAAAAAAAAAAAACAAGAUCCUUAAAAGAAGAACGAACUAGAAAUACUAGAAAUGGGAAUUACCCAAACUCUUUGUUUAAGCUCUUAGCACUGGCAGUUGAUGCUUUUCCUCCACCGUAUCUCUUGUGAAAGUCUUCCUUGAUCCGCUCUAAGAAGGCGAUGGGAAGUUGUCUGCCUGCAGCUUCAGCAGCAACAACGCAAUAGGCUGCAUUAUCCAAUAUUUAGUUGCUUAGCACGUUCCUUAUGAUUAGUUAUAUGUAAAUAAAUGUGGUAUGUAAAUGAAAAAUGAUGCUGCUUAAUCAAGAAAAAUAAAAUAGGAAAAAAGGUAAGCAUUGUAAAAAGAAAAAUAACAAGGGAAAAAAAUGAAAUUGAGAUUCAUGAGUUGCUGCUAAUGAGUAACUACAAGAAAAGUUAAAGAAAUGAUUUACUUUUUCACGCGAGAAUGGAUACAUACACGUGGAAUAAAUACUAAUCAUUUCACUUAUAGUACUUUUUAUAAUAUAAUAUCUAUGAGAUAAAAAAAUAAUUGAAAAGAUAAAAAAUUAUUAAAAAACGUAUUUAUGAUGCAAUCAGAUAAUUUUUUUUUAUUUUUAACGUGUGUGUAUAUAUAUUAAAAUUGGAUGCAAUAUGCAAUACUCGAAAUGCAUAAGCUCAUAAAUCUCGAUAUUGCAUGUUCAUUUCUUUUCAUAUUCAAAAAUAUAUCCAUGAACAUAAAGAUUUUGGAAAUUUCAAAAGAUUUUGUGCUUAUAUGCCUUCUAAUUAAGUCAUCUCAUACUCCAUUUUUGACAUUUACAUAGGAAGACAUAUAGCAGCACGGGGUAGCCAUUCCUCGCAAGAUUUUGGAAACAUCUAUCAUGACUAUUCAUAGUUUGAACUAGAAAAUUAUGUAAUAAAAAUUUGCCACCCCAACAAAUUUUCUUACAGCUAGAGUUGACCUCCUAUACGUCUAAUUUUCAUCUUUAGCCCCUGCAAUGUUCAAAUUCUUCGUUCCUGAUCACCAAUGGCUAUAUAAACUACAAGAACAAAGGGAAAAAAAAAAAAGAUGUACUAAAAACUGCAGCAUGGAUAAUGAAUGAAUAAACGGGGUUGGCAAAAUUUGGCUUACUGAAUCCAUUCUCAACGUGGUAAUUGAAUGUAUGUCCAUCACAAUUGUAAGUGAAUUUGUUGUUGGAAGCGGGCAGCUUUUGUAGGCAUUGAGAGGCAAUGGUGGUGAAAUUGCCUGUAAACUCUGUGUAUUCUGCUAAUAUUACAGUGCCUCGUGCCACAAAGCUGUAGAUCAAUGUUUGUUGUCCCAUUUUUGUUUGAUCAAUUCUCUACUAUUUGAUCUUCAUAUGCAAGAAAAACCCUCAAAUUUUCAUCAAUUGAAAGAAAAGGAAAGUGGUGAAAUUUGGCAAGAAAAUGCAAAUGAAGGUUUGAGAAAGAGAGACAAAGGUGAAAUGAUUGGAUCAGAGAGAAAUGAGGGCUGAGAAUAUGAAGAGGGAGUCUUUUUCUUUGUUUUAUCCUAGAAUUGGGGAGAGCUAGCUUAAAGAAGUAAGAUUGAUGAUGUCAUAAUUUAGUAACGUUUUAUUUGGAAAGAAGAUUUAAUUGAUCAGCACCCAUCAAAGAUGUUCCUAUUUCUUCUUCUUCAUAUAGUAUAGAGUAAACCUAAAUUAAAUUUGGUAAAACAAACAUGGCCAUGGUAACUAAAUUAUAUUUUAACAGAACGUAUGUAAAUAUUUUCCUUUUUUUCUUCGUCAUAAAGGGAAAAAAAAAUACUUUUUAUCAUAUUCAAGUAAGCCAUGGUUCGGUCUUUUCUCUUUAAAAACAAAAUAAUUAUUCAAAGCAUGCACAAUAGAAAAAGCCAUGUCUACACAACUCUUACUAAAGUUAUUUACUUUUUUAAAAAAGUUAUUUACUUAAAUGAAUUUGAUAAGGUCCAUCUCAUUUCUUUUUGCAAUGACAAUUGUAAAUUGUUACAAAAGUUACACUGGUUUAACGCAGGUAAUACUCUAACAUGAGAACUGAAGUUACUUUCUAAAUUUAAUGGAAACUCUAAAAAAUAGUAAACCUCAAACUCAUCAAAGUAGAAGUGAAAUGGUAAAUUUCUUGUGUUGUUUUCCAUGGAGUUUGAAAGCAAGACAUGACAAGUAACAAGGAUGCUAUUUUCUCAGAUAAAAAAUUAAGUUUGAACUCAAUGCAAUAUAAUCAUUAUUUGUCGAAGAAUAUACUAAAAUUCAACUUGUGACAUAGUGCACUAAAAAGAAUAAACUUAAAGCAUAAAUUCGAUCAUGGCUUAUUUCUAACUUUACGCUUAAAGUUAUCGAAACAAAACAAAAAAAAAAAAGAGAAUGAUUAGACUUGGAGACAAAAAAAAAUGAAUAAUUGCAUUCCAACAUUUUUAUUUUUAUUGACAAAAUUGCACUGAUAGUCCCUUACAAAUUACUCUUUUUUUUGACGUAACGGUAAUACGGAGAAAGCCAUUGAAUACAGUCACAUAUAGUGGCAAAUUAGUGUGAGAUAAGGAUUGAAUGCUUGAUCUCCUACACCACCAAAACUUAAGUGCUUGAUGGUGACCAUGGCCCUUACAAAUUACAUAUUACUAAUAUUAAAUUUUACUCUCAAGGAAUCAAAAUUAAAUUUUGGUCCCUAUGCAAUAACAAAUUUUAGUCCCCAUGCAAUAACAAAUGUUUAUAUUUGGUCCUCAAUCACGUUUUCGAUCAAAUUUUGAUUGGAAUAUGUGACAAUACUUGAUGCAGUCAAUAUUUAAAGAGCAAAUCUGACAACCAACUUAAUACCAAAUUUCUGACUUAAUCAAUUGUUUCGUCCCAAUGCCUCUCUACCCUAACUCUAAUUUCACAAACUCAAUAACACAUACACUCAUUUGUCUCUUCCACCACCACUCUCUCCCAUCAUUCCCCAAUCCACCGCCACCACCAACACCAACACUCACAUUGCUACCCUAUUUUUCCCAUUCUCCUCUUUAGUCUCAAUCCCUUUCCUUUUUUCCACCACUAUCACCUCUUCCUUUCUUUGGAGGAUGAAUAGGAAAGAAAACAAGACGGCAGGAUGAAUGGUGACAGGGAAAGAGAGUGAGGGAGAAUAUGGCAAAAGAAGGGACUGAGGGAAAAAGAAAGCAAAAAGGUGAAGGUGGAGGAGUGAGAAGGGGCAGGCAUAGGCAAUGGAAGAGGGAAAGGGAUGUACUCAUUUUUGAAUUUGUGAAACUAAAUUUUGGGUGGAGAGAAGUUAGAGGAAAUAGCGAACUAAAUGAGAUAUUGGGUCAACAUUAAAUGUGUCGCUAGAUUUACCGUUUAAAUAUUGACUGCAUGAUCUACCGGUGACUGAUCGUAACUAAAAUUUGACAAAAAACAUGAUCACAUAACUAAAAUUUGACAAAAAACAUGAUCACAGACAAAAAAAACUAAGCAUUUUUUGGGAUAAUUUCAUAAACCUCCCUUGAGGUUUUUGGCAAUUUCAGAUAGCUCUCCUCACAUUUUGAAAAUUACACCUACUUCCCUUAGAACAUAGGUUUGGGUUUCACCUUGAUGAUAAAAGACCAAAAUCGCAUAUGAACGCCUAAAAUUGCCCUCAUCUAAUUUUCAAAAUAUGAAUAGUCAUUAAAAUUUUUUAAAAAUCAAGAAUACACUUGUAUGCUACAAAUUUAUGAGUUUUAUUACUUAGCCAAUGUCCUGAUAUUUUCCAUCCCAUGGUUUUCUACAUCCAUCUAAAUUUUCAAACUCUUAUCACUUCUUUUUUUUCCGAACAAAUUCUUUAUUUUAGAUGCCAAAAUCCACCAUCAUAAUUCUUACCUUUAUAAUCUUUACCUUUCUAUAGGUUUUUUCCCUUGUAUUGCCUACCAAACCGUCAUAAAACUCACAAUCGUUGCUUUUUUCCCAAUCAAAUAGUCAAGCCCCUCAAUGACCAAAAUUCUUCCUUUUUUGAGUGAUAGAAGGUUACAAUUUAAUGGUCAUGGGUGAAACAGUUUGGUCACAAUAUGUGGCCUGGUAAAAAAGAAUUGUUUUCUCUUUUUUAAAUUUUUUUUUAUCAAUGGCUUGUCUUUGAAAAAAUUAUGAAGCUUAUUAUAGUCACUGUCUAUCGUCAAGGGAGGUAAGUGUAAUAUUAAAAACCUCAAUGGAGCUCAAUGAAAUUGUUACAAACCUCAGGGGAGAUUUCUGAAAUUAUCCCCUUUUUUAGGGUUAAAAAUCACCAUUUGAUUAUGAAAGACUUAAAAUUUAUCACCCGCAAUAUGUGAGGGACUACGAGUGCAAUUUCCUUUUUUCUUUCGCGCCAAAAAGAUCCCCUUUCCUUUAUUCCGCCUACACUCUCCCCUCCACCAAAACACACACUAACACACACUAAACCCAAGGAAAAGAGCCAUGGAUAUGGAUUUUCCAGACCUACAAGAGCUAGAAUGGCUUGAAGCCAACAACUCUAACUUCCAAGACGACGUAGAUUUCGACCUUGAUUUCCCUCCAGAACCUCCAUCUCCACCAUCCGAGCUCGAGCCACCACGGGAUUCACCUGAACCCAAAAUCCCUUCUUUUAAACCCACUUUAUCUCUCCCACCAAAACCCUCCCCAAUCAAAACCCAAACCAACCUCAAGAAAAGAUUCCGACCUGAUUUGAGCCCGGAUUUGAUUGACCGUGGAGAUGGGCGUCCGACUGGUGACCCAGAGGAGAAGCGGAGUAGAGUUGAUAAUGGGGACGAUGAGGAGGAUGAGGAUUGGCUUAGGUACCCUCCCCCGCGGCCGGUGGCUGGAAAUGUGGAUGCUGGCGUGGCAAUGUCGGAGUCAGAGAAGGUGGAGGAGCGGGUUUUGUCCAGGUAUGCGACGGAGAUAGACGGGGAUUACGUCCCGAUUACGGGGUUGGAUGGGGAGAGGGUUUAUGCAAAGAUUUGUGGGGUCGAAUGUGAGGACAGAGUGAAGAAGUUAGAUAUGAGGGGCGAUCUUAAUGGUCAGUUCUUCUUCUUCUUCUUUUUAAAAUCUGUUUCUAGUUAUUUAAGCAAGAAAGUUUGCUUCUUUUUGUUUACUUGUAGCUUUAUCUGUCUUUCUGUUGAGAAAUCAAUGCAAAAACUACCAAGAAAGUGGAUUGAAAAAAAUGACAAUUGAUAUUGAUAUCUUUGAGAGUUUCUGUUUGGAGAAAUUCAGGAUCAUGAUGUAUUUUUCUUGGAAUGUUUUGUUAUGAAAAUAUGUCUUCUAAGGUGGGGUAAAUACGUUGCGAAAACUAAUGAAUCCUUAACAAUUAUGGAUCCUCCUUUAUUCUGCUCUGAAUAAAGUUGCUAGAGAUAGAAAACUGGAUGCACAUGAAUGCAGGAUCUAGUUGGUUGCUAAUGAGUUGGUUCAAUGAGAUAUGGCUGAUGCUUUGCUGAUGGAAAUUUCUGUUUGUUUCAUUUGUGUUACAACAUGAAUAGUUUUGGUAUUCAGUAAGCAGCAAAAUGCUGGAUUGAGUUUGUUGAGACAAAAGAGAAAUUGAAAAUGAGAUUUAUUUCAGUAAAACACAGAAAGUCUGAAGGUCAAAAUUGUCGCUUGUUAAUGAGCCAAAGGUAAAACUGGAUACUUUUUUUGAAUCGUUAAUUGGCCACGUGCAGGAUGAUGUUUCCAGAAAGAAAAUUAAUGGGCUGGAACUAUCAGCUUUUUCACCUCUCUAUUUGUUGAAGAGAAAUAAUCAAAGGAUUCAAAUUUAGUGAAGUCCAGAAAUAAAAUGAGUGGUUAUUAUAUUUGAAUUUGUUUUAUGUCCAAUUUUGCAUCAAUCAUUAAACAUGAGUACUUUUUUGGGUAGAACAAUAGUUUUUCUCGUAGGCUACGCCUGAGAACUUUCUACUUUGAGAUGGUGUAGUAUUACAUACAAAUGGUCAUCGAGCCUUCUAAAGCAGCAUCUUACUUUCUGUGGCACUAUAAAAUAGAGGAAAAAGGUGGUCCUAUCUGCAACUUGGUUCAUGUUUGUACCUUAUUGAAUAGAAUAGCUUUUUAGUGAAUGCGCCCAAAGAUUUUAAGGAGCAAUUAGGCAGAAUUGCAGUUAUUUACACCAUUUGUAUCAACUCUAUGAUUUCGAGCAUAUAACUGAUACAGAUCUGGAGUAUGCAAACAUCAGCGUCAUAGGGAAUAGCAUUAUGUUAGACAUAAUAGUUCACAAAAUGUAGCAAGCUUCUUCUAGAGUCGGAAUCUUUAAUGACAUUUUCUUUGUAAGUUACUAAUCUAGACAUUAUAUGCACCAUCUUGAUGGGGUAUAGUAUCUGUACAGGGAUUAGUGGAUAUGGGUCAUUCAGUUUUACAGAUUCCUGCAAUUUCUUGUAGUAUUACAGUGUCUACAUAUUUAAGCAAAUGAGUCCUUGUUUCGCUUCAAAUACUGGGAUAUGGGAAUUUGCUUCUUGGAUAUCUUUAUAAGGAAAGUUACAGCUUUAAACAUGGUUAUUUGCACAGCAUUGUCUUUCAUUUGCUGCUUUUGGUUGGUUUGUACAAGAUUGUUGUCAUAAUUUCUGUUCUGCAGAAACAUUGUACGGGAUUUCAUCGUUAAUGCCAUGUUUAUCUUUUCUACAAUACUCACUAUGACUUCAUUCAACUGCCAUUUGUCGGUAAUUUUUGCUGGAAGAACAAUAGAAAACAAUCCUAGCACCUUUUCAGGUCUCUCGCGGGAACCUAUUAGAGUUUUAAUGCAGAGAGUGGAGCAAGGUGAAUUCUCAAAGGUAUCUUUCCUACUUGGUCUCAUGUUCUUAGACAUUUUCAAGGAUUGUAGAGUGUCUCAACAAUUUUAUUAUUCCACGAAUUUGGUGAAAGAGGAAAAUGUUAGGCAUAGGAAGGAGUAGAACAUAUUUUUACUUUCUUCAGAUAAUGCUGAAAGUAAGUGUUUCAUUUAGCCUAAGUUGCAUUCUCCUCUCUCUCUCUGUCCCCUGAUCUCUAUUGUACUGAAGAAGUGAAAAAGGAAAAGUAAUGCUUGUGUAUUGAGUUUGCCACUUUCCUUUGCAUUCUUAUUCAUUAUAUCUGAAUGUGAAGAUGAAGAUGAAAUUCCAUUUAUCAGUUACACCUUUGAAUGUGAAGAUGAAGAUGAAAUUCCAUUUAUCAGUUACACCUUUUCUAUAGAAGUUUCGUUUCUGUGAUCCUGUUUUGCUUAGGCUUUAUUUCCUCACAACGUAAGGGUCAGCUUUGCCCUUAUGGGAAUUUUGGUCAAGUAGGACCUAAGAGGUCAUGAUGUUGAUACACAAAAAUGUCCUCUUUCAUUGACUAGCCCUAACCUUGUAUUGGCAACCUCCUCACAUGGUAGGUUUGUUCUUUUUCUCUCCAUCAGAGAAAAUGUGGUUGAUGUUGCUUGUGAUUUUUAUUCACUUUUGGACUCCUGUUUCUUCACCCCCUCCCCCAUUUGAGAAUUUCAUUAGGCGAUCUUUUGCGUUGUAUGGAAGCUCAUAGUUCAUUUAUGUGAUGUCUUUGCAGGCUUUGCAAGCUAGUGUUGAAGUUGAAAAUGAUGUCAAUUUGUCACCAGCACCAGUUGAUCCAGAGCAGCUUUGGGUGGACAAAUAUGCCCCAAAUACUUUUAUGGAGCUUCUCAGUGAUGAAUACACAAAUCGUGAGGUAUAAAGCAUCUGUUGGUUUUUUGUUCACUUUUGCCAAUAAUUUUCAUUAUGGUAAUGGAGCGUUAUCUGGUUACUUUGUGAGUUAUUAUCUAGAUUGUUCAUAUAAGCCAAGGGUAAUUUGGAUACUGUACCCUAUUGGUCUUGGUCUCAAAUGUUACUCUGCUGCAGGUACUCCUCUGGUUGAAACAAUGGGAUUCAAGUGUUUUCGGAUCUGAAAUUAAGAGUACAGCAGAUGAUACUUUGUCUGCUCUGAAACGACAUUCCUCUGCUGUCAAACACUUGAAGUUUCAUGCUAGGAACUCUUUUGGAAGUAAUCGAGAAACCAAAUUGAGCAAAGAAAAUUUUAGAACUCAUAAUUAUCAGAAUCAAGAAAAAAAUCAAUCAAAUGAUAUUCAAGAAAUGUGGGAGAAGAAGCAGAAAACAGUUGGUCAUCCAAAACAAAAGGUGUGUUUUAAUGCAUAAUAUCUUUAUUUGCAUCAUAUUACAACAUGCAACUGUCAUCACUGCGCUGUAUAAGAAUGUGGCUCUGACAGGUAUAACGUGAAUGAACUCAAACUUAAUUUGAAGAAUAAGAUUAGCCUAUAUAAGGUAAUUGUGUUGGUUGAGUGUUGGCCUGACCAAUUGAUAGAAGCUUACCUGAGUAUUAGUCCAGAGCAAAUGAUGAGUGAUUUAGGAGUUUCUCCCAAUCGUCAUAAGCUAUUAAAUGCGAGUAAUUUGUGUAGGAAAGGGUACUAAACUGAAAGUGCAUAUUUAUAGCUUCAGGAGGAUCAUUCUCAUCUCAACAUAUUCUUAGAGAGGCUAAUCAACUCGGGAAGCCAUAUGGAGUUGGGAUCCUUUCUUUUUUUUUUUUUUUUAAUUUCAUUUUUUCCCUUAAUCCUUGCCUUCUCAAUCCAAUGGUCUUGUUAAAUUAGGUUUGAAAUAUACAUUGUUCUUAGCUGUGUUCCAGGUAUUACUUUCUUUUAAGAAGCUAAGGUUCAUGUUGUCUUCGAUGGUUUGUGAUCUCAUUUCCAAUGAAUACAAUGUUCCCAAUCCAAGUCAAACCACACAUCAAAAAGAUGGAUUUUUUUUCUUUCCUUUUACCAGUAAAAAAAAUUAGAAAUUUUUUUAUUAAUCUUGAUAUGGGAUCAUGUUGUGCAUAAAUUCUUCUUUGUCUUUGAAAACGCUCCAUACCAGAAGCUGGAGGGCUUGUGUAGUAUGGUGGUCUAUUCUUCUGAUUUGACUUCAGUUGGUUUCAUCUCCUGUAUUUAGAUGGCCUCAAUUGAUCUAUACAAUGUUAUUUUUAUUUUGCUUGCUCAUUUUUCAUAGAGCACAAUAGUGAAAAUCUUUUGAUGUACCAUCCAACUACCUCUAGGUCAGUUAUACCUCGUACAAACUGCUUUUUGCCAUCUAUUCCCCAGUUGGGCAAAUUCUUAAACUGCUUUUCAAUAUCUAUAUUUUGGUUGCAUGUCCUUAUGUUUCUUUAUUCAUAUUAUUCCUGUUUUAUGUUUCAUGUUGAUACUUAUAGCUGAACAUUCUGAUUUUAUCAGAUUCUUUUGCUCUGUGGUCCUCCUGGCUUGGGGAAAACAACAUUGGCGCAUGUAGCUGCUAGACAUUGUGGGUACCGCGUGGUGGAGGUUUGCAACUUUUUCCACUCAAUUUGUUAACAUCAAUGAUAUGAUAUCUCGACUUCUAUUGCUUAUUUUGAUAAUCAACACAGACAAACUCGAAUUCUCUAGAUCUAAAGAGGUUGACAUUUCUUUUAUGCUGUUGAAACUAUUACAUUUCCUGAUUUUGGGAUGCUAGGUGUGGUCAACAAGCAUACAUUGUGCUUCAUGGUACAAUAACUAAUUUGCUUUGAACUGAUAAUCACUGUACAAUAUAUUCUUAAGCUCCUCUAAUUGAGAUUCCAUUGGUGCUAACUAUGGGGAUUAAUGUGUUUCAGGAGUCCUUUUUGAGGUUAUGUUAUGUGUUCUUCAGAACUUUUAUGGUUUCUCUGCCUGUUCUUUAUUAUUGGAUAUCUUGAAACAUAAAUGGAGGUUUAACUGAAGAGGUACACAUUUCAAAGGGAUCUUCUGCUCAUAUUCCAGAAAGGAAGACAGAGAGCAAUGGAAAAUUAGUGCUGCAAUAGCACUUUCAAUUUUCAUUGGCACGUGUUACAAAAUACUGAAUGUUUUGUUGGCCACUAGCAUCUGCUUUACCUUUUAUUUAUUAAUCUAUCCUGGUGCUUUAUCUGUAAUGAGACUUCCUAACUUUGAUUAGGAACUACCUAAAAUCACAGUUUAUAAUCUUCAGAGACCCUUGUAUUAUUCCUCGUGCAAAACUUCUUGAGUGAUAAUUUUUCAUUCACUAUAGAAUGCUUUUCACUACAGAUUAAUGCUAGUGAUGAUCGGUCGGCGUCAACAAUUGAAACCAAAAUCCUUGAUGUGGUUCAGAUGAACUCUGUAGUUUCUGAUUCCAAGCCAAAAUGUUUGGUUAGUUUUUGAUGUUCACAACUUAUUUCUGAGAUUUCUGAGUAGAGUAUACUUAUUUUUCUAGUGUUUCCUUCCACAUUGUCUAACAGGGUAUAUGAACUUUUCAGAUUAUUGAUGAAAUUGAUGGUGCUCUUGGUGAGGGCAAGGGUGCUGUUGAUGUCAUUCUAAAGAUGGUAACUUUCAUAAUCCUAAUAUCUUCUUUAUGUUGUUAAACCUGUCAUUUAUUUGCAAGGGACUGCAUGCUUAAUCAGUCAUUCACUUGCCAGCCAAAUUAGCAAUUUACUUUGUAAUCUUCGUUAAUUUGCAGAGACAAUCAUUUUGGAUAAUUGAUGAUAGAAGCCUUAUGGAUAUUUUUUUAACAGCCAUUUUGCAAUUAUCUUGUUAUCAAGCUCAGAUCAAUUAACUUAUUUCAAAGUUGUGGAGGUUUAGCAGAUUUGUGAUUUGAAUGUGAUCUGCAUAUUUGGAUAAGUCACAUAUUGUAGCUUCUAAAGUUGCAAACUAUGCUUAGUAUAAUGCAUGUUGAGACUUGACAGAAUAGUCAAUCUUGCUCAGACCGAACUAUAUAGGUUUUAAGUUUGCUAGGUCGUUCCAGGAUGUCUGCUUGGAGCCUCAGACUGAUGGAGUUGUUCACCACUCUGAACCAUAAUUCUGUUGGUUAUUUCUUAUUCCAGUUAUAUGAAUCCAAGACUGUGUUUUGCUCUGUAAAUUCUUAUUUUUUAAAUUUUAUUCAGUUAUUCUAGACUUUUUCUGUGCUUGGUUACUCAGCCAGAAUCUGAAAAAAUAUUCUGUGCCUAUCUGAGACUAGCCAUUUGGAGUAUUCUAAGUGCUCACAUAUCUUAUGCAGAAAUUACAGAAAAUUUUAGCCUAUUUUGUCACUUCUUUUGAACUUCAGCAUUCACUGUAGGCCUGUAUGAGUUUCCGUACAGUUUUGGGAUGGAAAUAUUUUUAACUUCUUGCCUUCAGACAGUCUAAUCCAACGCAGAUAAUAAAGACAAAUAUUAGAGGAUGUGAAGUGGGAAAGAAAUAUACCACGACACAGAUCCCAUCCUGUUUUUUUUUUAAGGGUCAUUUUGGAUACUCUAUUUCUACACUUUCUUAUGCCAUUCUUUUACCGCUAUAAGAAAGAUCACAAGUGUAACAUGCUAAUAUUUUGAGAAGUAGCAUAUACAAAAUAUCUAAAGGACGCAUCUCCUGGACUGCAGUUAGUUUACCUGUCAUAUCUCAGGUGCAUCAUACGCAAUGCCAAUUUUUGGAUCCAUUGCUAUUGCUAAUUCAUACUUGCAAAAAGGUGGCAAUUCUUUUGACAUUGUUAUAUGGAUAGGUGAUCAGAAUUUGGUAAAUUAAGAGGUUGCACUAGUGAGGGGCUAAGGAUAUUUAUCUGAUUUACUCUGUCAAAUUUUUCAAAAUGUAGUUUAAUAGUUUAACUGGAGAGUAAUUAAUGUCUCUAAAUGGCACUCAGAGUUGAUUGUUCACAUUCAGUAAUAUGUGAUUUUGUAUACCAACUAUUCAUGCUUAAGCUGUAUAUUCUUUUUAACUAACACUGUUCAAAUAUUGUUCCUGAAGGUUUCUGCUGAAAGAAAAUCUGAUAGUGGAAAAGAAAUUAGAGGUCAAGAGGAACAUUCUGGACCGAGAUCUUCCAAGAAGCAGAAAAACACAUCCUUGCUAAGACCUGUAAGCUUAUCCUGACCUUGAGUUCUAAGUUAAAUUAGUCUCUUCAUACUGAUAUUGUUAGUACCAAUAUGCAGGUGAUUUGUAUCUGUAAUGAUUUAUAUGCACCUGUCUUAAGGCCACUGCGUCAGGUGGCAAAGUAAGUAUCUUGACGCUUCAUCAAUGAAAUUACAUGGUUUUGAUUGAACUUAUGCUGAAAUUAGUGGAUUAUUUCAAUUCUCAAAAAUUUUCAUUCAGAAUUCUCCUAAUAUGCUUUGAUCAAGUCAUCCUUACAUCCAUCGUAUUACCCAUGGUAAAACUUUGACUUUGAAAGCAAUGGGGGAUAAGAUGAUUCACUUGCAACAUGACUAAAAUACUGCAAUCUUAUUUAUAUUACGUCUUACCUUGAAAUGAAUUAGUUAUAAGUAUGAUAAGAUUCAAAAACUUGUCAGUAGAGCCUUCCUGUGUCCCUUAGAUCUAAGAAUUAAUAAAAGCCAUUUUUCUUCAAGCUUUUCUCUUUGGUAUUUGCUGGAUUCACUUGCCUUUUAGUGCCACAAUCUUAUCUAAUUAACCACAGCUAAUCAAGGUGUUUGAUUCUUAAAUUUUUAUCAACUUGUGACUUAGUUUUCAAAUAUUUUGCUAGUUCUUUAGAUCUGUAAAACUUGGGAGGUGAGUUUAUACUCUUUACUUUUAAUUUUUUGAAUUUCUAAGUGAGUAUGAUACAUUUUAGUGUUGCUAUGUUUUUCAUCUUUAUAUUUUUUAUUUUCAGAACUCUAAAUAGAAUAUAUUUCAAAUUCUUGUUACUUCAUGUGAUAUAUAUGCUCUUUUUGACUAUAAGAAGGUUUGCAUGAAUAGCAGCACAAUAACUGGAAGGUCACCAAGACUUGGCAGAAUAUAGUGAUGAACACUAGUAAAACAGUUGUGGUGUAAACAUAUGGAAAGAUUUUCUAUAUAACCUUUUGCCUGUUUCCAAACCCCAUGAAUAUUAUGAUUUCUUUUUGAAGAGUUGCUGCAUGAAACUUACACUUGUUUGCUAACUUUUGGUGCAAGAGAAAAUGUUUUAUAUGAAAAUAUCCUAAUAUUGUUUCAGUACUAAAAAAGGAGAGAACAUUCUGUCCCCAGGUUUAAAGAAAUAACACGCUCCAAUACUUCAUUGUUCAACUCGAAUGUAUUCAAGGUGCAAUAUGGGUUGUCUGAAUACUUUAUCUCUUCAAGGCUAAGCAACAUUAUUUAAUCGAACCUUCCUAAUUAAUAGACAACCUCAGUAGGUAGCAUAUUAUCUUCACUUGACUACAAAAUUAUAAAGGUACAUUCUAGAUAGUACUUGCCCCUUUGUUAAAUUUCAUUCCGCGAACCCUUUUUUUUUUUUUUUGGUUAAAGCCCAUGACCGUUUAUUUUAUUAUUGUUGUUUCGAGGACAUGAGCUGCUUAUUACUUAGUCAGAUAUUCCUGGACAAUGUUUACUCAUGCAAAAUACUAAUGUUAAUAUGGCUGAAACACUCUCGUGCAUAUAGUUUCUCCAAAUGCAAAAUUUAGCUGACUAGCUCCAAUGAGAAUUUGAACAGAAGAAAAAAACAAAGAACUGGCUUCCAAUAAUUAUACCUUGCUUAGGUCAAUCAUGGAUUUUAGCUGAUAUUGGAAAAGCCUUUUGUCAGAUUCAAAAAGUUCUAGAGAGUGAUAUUUUUAGAGUUAACUAACAUCUUUGAUUGCAAUUCUAAUGAUCUUUCUGUUCUUCAAUUCUUUUUCAAUUUUCAUUGCAGGGUUCAAUUAUUUGUGCAGCCAACUGUGAACCGUGUUGUAAACAGGUCAUUUUUUCAUGAUGCUGCUGAAUGAUAGGUUAACUGGAGUCAUCUUCUUGUGCUAACUGACGCUAUUCUCUAUUUAUUCUGGCAUUAUCCCUGAAUUGUGGUGCUAUUUAUGGCUCUUUCGACCAGCUUGUUUUAGAAGUUUAAUUUGGACCCCAUGUUGAUUAACGGGGAGAAUUACUGUAAGGAAAGUCUCUAUUUAAAACUGUAUUCAGAAAUUAGCUGAUAGAUAGAAUUGUUGUACAAUCACUAUUUUACCUAAGUAUUUGCAGAGAAAUUUCUCUGUGAAAACAAUAAAUAAGCAACUGUUAAAAGCAUCUAGAUGGACCAAACCAAAAUUCACAUGAAUUUGGCUGAAAUUUUAUGUGUUCGUUGAUAUGGAAUAGAGAAUUGCAUGGUUUUUCUAAUUUAAACUGGUGGUAAUCAUACAAGAAGGCUUUCUUUUCUUACCUUUAGCCUUUUUAAUUUCUUUUUGCUUUAGUUAUACUUCUAUUAGUUUCCCUUCUGUUAUAUUGUUUUGAAACUACAAACGUCAUAUUAAAUGUUGAAGAUCACCCCCAAUCAUUUCCUUUAGGAACUUUGUUUUGUAUGCACAAACACAUCGACGCAUGUAUGUGCAUGUCAUGAGAAAAGCUUCGCAUCAUUGACCUGAAUGAUCUUCUCUAGUUUGCAGUUUUGGCUUGAGUUCUGAAGUUCCAUCUGUUAAUCUCUAUGUUUGACCAAUUGAGUAACCAUAAUUGAAUUGCCAAUUUUCAUUUUUCUUACCUGCUGCCGCCACUGGCUGAAAUAAUUGUAGGCUCAAGUAUAUAUGCAACAAGGAAGGGGUGAAGACAAAUUCCAUUUCUCUAACAGCACUGGCAGAAUAUACUGGUGUGUCCCAUUCACUAAAGCAGAGCUGUGUGUUUCAUUGUUUAUACCACAGUUAUAUAGAAUUUACCAUAGUUGCCAUCAGUUGUAAAUGCAAAAAUUGAUAGAGACUAUGAGUUGAUAAAGUAUAACAGAAAAUUUAGAUCAAGUUGACAAAGCUGUGAUGUAAUUUGAUACCUGUUAACACCUAUCUUUGACGUGUCUUGUUAAGGCAUCCGAUGCAAAAUCAUAUACCAUAAGUAGAGGGAACUGGGGAGGUGGUCAGGUUUGUUUGUUUGGCUUGAACCAAAAUGCAGUUGAUGGAAUAGAUCUUUAAUUAUCAUAAGAUGGUAAAUCUUUAUCACCUCGUGUUUUAUGUGCAAGUAUCUUGGGCUUUAGCUUACAGGCAUUGCAUAUUUCUGAAAUCGAAAAUGUUCUUGAAGCUUCUGAUUAAAUGGGAUAGGAGAUUUAUUUGACUUUAUAUGUGGUAAGUUUUCAUAAAAUGGUCUGGACGUAGUUUAUAACUGUGUCAUCGUUGUCAGGAAAUUUAAACAAGUUUUGUUUUGAACUUAAUAGAUGAUGAUGCCUUAUCAAGCUUCUUUAGGAAUGUGUGAAAACUGGAGAAAGAAGCAGCUGUUUUAAAAGUGUAUAGGAUGCCUUACCAUAAAAAUUAGAAUCAUAGAGUCUGAAUGUUUAUGGUAAGGCAUCCUAUACACUUUUAAAACAGCUGCUUCUUUCUCCAGUUUUCACAUCCAUUUUCUUUUUUCGAUAUUGAAGCAAUUGUUAAUAACCUGGAAAAAGAUUAUAUUCACCAAAUACAUAUUUCUUUAAAAAGCUGGGCAACAUUGAUGAAAUAAUGAUAAACACAAAGUUCUCUAAUUGCAUCAUUUACUGGUUUAGUGAUAAUAGAUUGCCUGGCUAUUCAAAUUAAUUGCGUAUGGAGCAUACAUUACGAGAAACUUUUGUGCCUAUGAUUGAUAGUUGAAAAGGACAAGAAGUAAGUUAACUAUCAAGUACUUGGUCCUCGGAUGAACUCAGUAUGGACAAUUAAAAACAAGUAGUGUGAUCUGAGAUUUGGUCAAAUAGGCAAAAUGUUAAGAAGUCUAGGAUUUCGUUGGAAUUAUUUGUCACAAAAUAGGAAUUACACAGUUGAAAAGUUUGUGAAGGUAUAGUUAUCCUCAACAAUAUGUCGAAAGAGAUAUUUUUCAGUUUUCUCAGUUACACAUUAUAAGUCGAAAUGAAGUCAUAUCAUGUUAUUUAGUUCCAUUCAUUUUGCGCAAUUAAUUUUUAUUUUCAUAUUAAUCACUGCUUUUUCUCCCCCUGCCUUCCAAAAAGAAUGUGACAUAAGGUCCUGCUUGAACACUCUUCAGUUUCUCAACAAGAAGAAGGAGGCACUCAAUAUGGUAAGUUGUUAAUUGUUUUUCGCUUUUAUCAUCAUCAUUCUAGUGGAAAUGCCAAACUGAACAGAGGAACUUGGGCUAGUUGCCACAAUUAUAUCAACUGUGCCUGUACAGUAUCUCUGAGGUAAUCUCUCUCGUCAAGAUUUCAUGCAUUGUGAUUUCUGUGAUGCGAUUUAAUGUUACUUGAGGUUAGCUCUUGCUGGUGUACUUAUCCUUCAUUAUGUUGAAUAUGUAAUAUUGACAGUUCCUUUAUAGAUCAUUAAAAAGCUAUUUACUGUUUGGACAAUAAAAUCGUUAAACCCGAGUAAUACUGACUUCCCUUUAGACUCUAUUGAAGCCUGGUCUGAAAUUGCAGCUUACCAUCAGAGCAAGCUGCAUAUAGACCAGGUUCUUAUAGUUGUGAACUUAUAAGUAUUACUAAUCUAACUCAAAUUCUUCUCAUCAAAAACCUUAUCCCUCUCCAUUCAGCUGGUUCUGGGCAAUAUUUGAUAUGAGAUCAGAGUUUGUCCUGCCUUUUAGCUAUUUAAGAACAUUUUACUACAUCUUUUACCUUAAUAAUUGGUGCUUAGAACUUGUUUUAUUGUGAAUUUAUAGGUCUGUGCUGAAUUUUCCUAACCCAUCUUGAAUUGUACAUUUAGGUUUGCCAUCUAUAGUGAUUUAGUUAGUAUGUGGAGAAACUGCCUUGAAUCCUAAAAUGUGAUGCAUUUGUAGCCGAUGUUGUAACAUGAAGCAUUUGCAGUGUGGUUUUGUGAACUUUCCUUCUUGAAAAUUGCCUAUUACAUGAUAUUCCACAUGCGCUCCUGGAUUUGGCCAACAUUGUGUAGCCGUAGUUCUACGAGUCUCUCAACUGCCAUUAGUCUGGUAUUGCAAAUUCAUCUUUAAAAGCUCUCAUUCUAUUAGAGAGUUUUUCAGAAGUGAUUCUCCAUGAACAUAAUGUGUGCAUAUAUAUGAUAACUCAACAUUUGAAAGCUUAAUCAUAUCUAUUUGUUUUGACAAACGAUGGAAUUUUGAGCUGGCUUUUUACAAUGAACUUUCUCAGCAAUAGUUUGCCAAUAAUUCCAAAUAAAAGAUGGUUCUGCAAAUUAACAUUCUCUUGUAGGGUCUGGUAGGUUAUGAGGUUUUCCUAUCUAUCAACUUAAAACCUCUUAACUUUUUUUUUUUUAGCAUUAGCUGAGUAAUAUUUUUCCCUGUUGUUAGCUCAAUGUUUGAUAUUUCCUCUUGGCUCCCAGUUGGAGAUCAGUUCACAAGUGGUUGGCCGAAAGGAUGCAUCAAAAAGUGCUUUAGAUAUAUGGAAAGAGGUUAAAUCAUUAGUAGCUGUUACUCUCUCUAACUUUUCUUCACCUUAUGUUCAUGUCAUAACAUCUUCAGAUUGAAGUUCACAUCACUUGUUAUGUUGUGCUUCCUGUCUGACUCAUCUUUACUUCCUAACUACAGGUAUUCCAAAAACGAAGAGUCAAACGGGAAAGACAAUGUAUGAACAUCUUGAAUAACAUGUCAAAUGAGCUUGAGUUUCUUCUCUCUUUGAUAUCUAAUCGGUAGGUAACUACAUUACAAUUGGUAGCUUUAUAGCCAUUUUCUGAGUGAUGCAUUUAAGUUCAAUGAUUUGCAGUGGGGACUAUGAUUUAAUCUAUGAUGGGAUCCAUGAAAACAUCUUACGACUCCACUAUUAUGACCCUGUAAUGCAAAAGACUGUAAGUAUUAUACCAUCACUAUAUAUUCUUGACUAUCUGCUUCCAAAUUUGGAUCUGACCAUUUACCAUUUGAUAUUUGUAUCAAAGGUCCAAUGCCUGGAUAAUCUUGAGGUUUCUGAUAUAAUAAACAAGUAUGUUAUGCGCACACAACAGAUGUCACUUCAAGGUAAGAGAAUUCUACAACUUGGAAUCAUUUAAGUGUAAAUCGGUAUGGAGGUGAAGCUCCCUUUAUUCCUUGAAUCUUGUAGUUUAUCAGCCCCAAGUUGCAAUGAUCAUACAUGGCCUGAUAGCUCAAGUUGAUAGGCUAAAUAUUGAAUGGCCAAAAUCUUUUCAAAGGUACUUCACUUUCAUCUCAAAGAAUGUGGCAAAAGAAUUUAGCAUUAUAUCUGAUUGUGUCAGAUUGUUAUCAAGCUUUGGAGUUUUUACUGCUAUUUUUGAAAUUUGAACAUAUAGGUACCGGACCGUGUCAUUGGAAAAGAUGGAUAUACUCCGCUCCUGGCAUAUCAAAAUAUCACCACACAUCUCAAGGCAUUUGUCAACUAAGUCAUUUGCGGAAGAGUUAAUUUCUCCAUUCUUGCAUAUUCUGUCUCCUCCAACCUUGAAGCCGGUAAUGUUUACACACUUAUUUCCUAGUUGCAUGCUGCACACAAUGCCAUUUUUUCGGCUUGAUAUGGGAUUCCUGUUCUUAGUGCUUUCUUCUAGCAAGAUAAAGGUGUAAAGUACUGUCAUCUUUAGUUAGUUUUAACCACAUUGCCUAUAGAGGAAACAGCUCCAAUUAAGACAGGCCAUCCAACAGUUUUUACCUAGGGCAAUGAGUACCAUUGGGUAAGAAGCUUACGGUGUGGUUUCUAUUGUAGGUGGCGUUGCAUCUACAAUCGGAGAAAGAAAAAACUGAUUUGGCUCAAUUAGUAAAUACAAUGGUCUCCUAUGCUUUAAACUACAAGAACUUACAAUCUGGUCCUUUAUUUGGUGGCCCAAGACACGAAGAUGUUUUGGAGGGGUCAUUGCUAUCAUUUGAUCCUCCCAUUGAGGACUUCAUAAAAUUCAAGGUUAGUUUUGUUUUCUUCACCUGAUAUGAAUUUUUUCCCAGUGUUUUUUAUUUGCAGCAUCCUAAGUUGUAAAGAAGUUUUCUUGCUUUUGACUUAUUAACAAAUAUCUGCAAUUCAUUCAUUCCUUAAACAGGGAUACAGUUCUUGUCAUUUUGUUCUGGCCUCAGCUGUGAAGCAAUUGUUGGUACAUGAGGUAAGUAAUGUGUUUAUAUUGUCACGAAGCAUCAUCUAUAAGUUGUUCUGUGUUGGUUUCUUGUUGCACAAUAUCAUAAAUAACUCUUUGGUGUUACCCAAAUAAUAACCUAGCCCAGCUUCGAUAUGAGAAGUUAUGUAAAUUACUUCUAUUUUACUUAUUUUGCAUGGCUAGUACACCAUUUCUGAGUUGUCAUGGCUUUAUUUAUGUGGACCUUUCUACUCGUGAAGCUAUACAAUAUACCAAGAAGUAGAAAAUUUCAGCCACAUGGCUGUUUGUCAAACUACCUGUAAUUCAAACUUGAUGGGCCUGAAAUUGAAAAUGACUGGUUUGGUGGCUUAGGUUUGAUUGAUUUAUUCUGGACACUUCUGGGGACUAAAGUUACUUGGUGUUGGUCAAGUCUAAUUACACAUUCUGUGAGUACAAGAGGACCUUUUCUUGCCCUUUUUAUCCUUGCUCUUUUGGGGAAAGCGGGGGUGUUGUAUCUCUUUCUUCUGAAUAAAUUGAAAUAAAUAAUUACUGACAAUCUUGGGACCGUUUAUUCAAUACCUGGGCAAUGAAAAGUUAAUGCAAUUUUACUGGCUUAUCCAAGUUUUUUCAGGUACCUGUAUGCUUGUUUUUCCAAUUUGUAAAGUUAAGAUGUGCUAUUAAUGUGGUUUGCUUCUGAAUGGUAAUUACUGUGGCUAUAUUGUUUUCCAUGAUGUAAAGAAUUGACGAAUUAUUUCUUAGAUUAGAAGCACUUGACUGUAUGAUGAAAGUAACCUGUGACUUUUCAAAAUAUUUGCACACCUAAGAUGCCUAAUUAUCUGAUUAGGUCACUUGAUAUUGUUAUUUUUCAGUCUCUCUUCACUGAAUAAUUGAAGUAUUUUCCUUGGGCAUGAUAUUACGUUCUUGCUCCAUUUUAAGAAAUGUUCUUAUAAUCUGCUUCGAUAGUUCUGAAUUUUGCUUAUUUUGCUAGACAUAUAUUGUGUGUCAUCAGGACAAGACAAAUCAUGUCUGUAUCCAAAUUUGCACGUCAUUCUUCAUUUUUGUCGAGUGUGAAACAAGAUUUUCCCCUAUAUCUCUGUGCCUUGAAUAAUUUAUGCCUUACUAUUGGUAGUAACAGACACAAUGUGAAAUUUUCAGGUGGAAAAGCAUAAGAUUUUGCAAGGCUGCACUACCAGAUGUUUGGACCCAUUGGAUGCUUCCAAUCAAGAAAACUGUUCCUUGGCAGGGAAAGAGAAUCUAAGUUCACAAUCUACCAGGUCUUGCAUGGGAAUUGCAACAGUUAAGAAGCAGACAAGUGCUAAAAAUAUAUCACUGCAAGUACAGAAUGGACUGUCAAUGGUGCAACCAUUAACUAAAGAAGCCAGCACAUUGGAAACAGCAAGUGGAAAAGUAAGAUUACCUGAAAAGACGAGGAAGCUGUUGAGCUCCUCUAACUUCUUUGACAGGUAUAUUCUUGUUCAUUCAGUCUGUGCCUAGACUUUUAUGAUUUGAUUCUGAAAGCAGUGAGUGAUUUAGACUUAGUUAAUAAAAAAAAUAGAGAAGAGUGAAUUGUCUUGUAUUCUGUGUAGUUGAACUGGUUACAACUGAAAAGUAUAGAUGUUGAAUUUGUUAUUUAAAAGCAUGAAAAAAUUACUAAUUUGAACAGUAGAAAGUUAUGCAAGUCUAAGAGGUUUAGAGCGCCAAAAAUUUUGAGAUUGAAAUUUUGGCAUUACCUUGAAAGCUAUAGAUGCUAUUUCAGUGUUUUGAAAGUAUCAGAAGUCACUUUUGCCUUUUCCCCUUGUUCCGUCUUGAAUACUGUUCAGAGCUUUUAAUUUAACACAUUCCAAUUCUGCUGAUAGAUUUUGUGUUAAAUCAGGUUUAGAAAGGUCAAAAGUGAUGGUUCUGAAAAUGUCAAUCAAAAUGUGGAAGCAUCAGGAACAGCAGAGAGAGAUUUACGUCCUCUAUUAUUCAAAUUUAAUGAGGUAUGUAACUUUUUGUACGUUAUUUUUGCUGUCAUUGCUCUUGUUCUUCAGCACAUUAUCUGUAUAUUUUUUUUUUUGACAAAAAAAAAAAUUCUAGAGUACUGUAUAGGUCCACAAUCAUUUCACUUGUUUCUAAUGCUAGUUCUGUCUUGAAUACUGCUUGCGAAUUAUAUGAAAGCUCAAUUCAUCAUAAAUUGAGAACUUGCUUAGUUGUUUAUGAAAUGCUAGCGAAAACUUAUUAAUUCAAUGGAAGCCUCCUAUUGUUUCAGAGUUGGACAGGCAUCUGUUUUGAUGAUGAAAACACUUGAAUUUAUAGAGUUAUUGGCAUAAAGUGUUUGGGCCCAGGAAACAACAUGUGAUACUUUUGGAUUUAAUAUAUCUGACUAUGAAGUCAAUCUGCACCCCACGAACUUUAAUUUCCUUCAAUCCUCGAAAAUGCGGUUUUCACUGUUUAUUUGAAUUUGAAUCCCAAAUUUCAUUAGACCGAGUAGUCCCCCAGGAAAAUUUCAGGAUGACUCCUAUGACAAAAUUGCGCUUAAUAUACGGUAAUACAUAAUUCUCCCAAACAUUGAAAGUAAUGGGAUUUAUAGGUUCCAUGUUAAUGCAUCAGCUUAUUUGGAAAAACUAGCUACUAUCCUGAGAACCUAGCAAGUGCAACUGACAACUCUAUCAAGCAUUUUUGGUUGGCCAAACGUUGGAUAAACAGAGAAAGAGCUGGGUGGAGGGAAUUGGAAGGACAGAAAUUAUUUAGAAGGUUUUGAUCCAUUAUGGUGUUUUACAAAGGGAUCAUAGAGUUGUGCCAGAUCAUUAUGAUUCUGUCUCUAGUCUCUACCCAUGCCUGACAUCCAUUCAUGAAGUUGUCAUUCUAUGCUGGCAAGGAAAAGAUUUUAUAUCUUUCCUAGUGCAUUUUGGUUUGCUAUUCAUCUGCGAACAUGUUUCUGCCACUAUAAGCUUCCAAAAUAAUUUCACUAAUAGUUCAAAAGUAUAACGUCCCAGAAUUUUUAGGCAAAAAUGGUAGUUUUGACCGACGAAUAUCUUCAACUGGUGCCAUGAUGCUUUUGUUAGUUAAUUAAACUCCAUAAAGGCAUAUCCCAAGCUUCACUUCAAGGAAGUGUCUUUCUGUACUUCACUUGGAAUUUGAACUGUGUCAGAAAAGGGUCUUAAGAUUUUCCUUCUCACAAAAUCUAAUGGUACAAGUUUAAUAAAUUAUGACUUAAGAGCCAUUCUAAUGGGAAAAUUGAAGUACAUUAUCAUAACUACUGUGCGAUUGUGCAGGGUUUCACAAAUGCAGUAAAGAGACCAGUUCGAAUUCGUGAUUUUUUUCUGUAAUGGAAAGCAUUUCCUGGGAGCGUGUACUGCCUUAAAUCUAAAGUAAGCAGCUAAAAUUUUGCAGCUUCUUCAUUUAUGGAGACCACAGUUGUGAUUUUGACCACGCUGUUUAGUUACUUUGACGCUGGGGUACUCUGAAAUUUUAAGUGCUGAGCAAUUUAUAGCUCUGCUUAUGGUAUCUGUGAUAUCUGUCUUACAACUUUAACAUGUAAAUUUCCUGUUUAUAUCACCAAUUACCGUCAUAAUGUAAGGUUUUAUUGCAAAUCUAGGAGCAAAGAAUACCUCAAUUGACAUGGAAACCUUCCACAGACAGAAAUUCAAAUAAUUGCAUAUAUCUAACCUGGGAAUAAAAUUUUUAAUAGUGCAGUGAAAAGUAAUUUAAUGUUGAAGUCUUAAUUUGAUUAGAUUCAUAAAAUACCGUCCGAUGUGCAUAGCACUUGUAAAGCUAGUUAAGAUGACGAAGCAACAGGCUAUAUGCAUCUAGGAUGCUUGUAUAAUUCUCUGAAGAGAACUAAUACUUGAUUAAUAGCAUCUAGAAGUGGUCCAACUAAAAACAACAAAAGAAAGAAAAAUCAGGGCACACUGCACAAUUAAGAAGACAGAAUUUCUCUAAGAUAUGUACGCCUUACAACUGGACUGGUUAGGGUUACAAAAAUCUUUAAGAGGAGACUGGAGGCAUUGCAGGAGAGAUCAACGAACCAGAGAGCAAGAUAAGUGAAAUUUGCUUAGGUUAAAGGGGAUAUAAUAAAGCACUAGAACAGAUCAAAACUUUUAGGUCAAAAGAAAUCAAGGUUCAGAUCUCUAGGGCCACUUGCAGUAGCACCCUGAGGAGGACUGAUGGUAAUCCAAAGCAAUGAGAUAGUGAUGGAAAGAAGUCCUGUCCAGACAUAAACUAUGGUGGGCAAUCUUCCUCUUCUUCCCAUCAAUCCUUUGGCAAAAGGAUACAUGUGGGCCAACACCCAGAAGCUGAAGAAAGCUCCACCAAACAGCUUACCCCACUGUGGAAUUACACUAUAAACUGUUCUUGAAAUUCCAAGUACUAGAGCAAUGAGAUUGACCACUAUGAUUGUUAGGGGCAUUAUAAAUAGACUUGUCCACUUGACAACAUACAGAUCGGCAUAGAUGUCAUCUUCAUCUUCUGCAGUAGCUUUUGCUGUCAAUUUGAAUGAAAUUUCAACACCAGCUAUUGCCUUGAGGAGUCCCUGUAGCACCGCUGCAAGGUGCGCACUAGUACCACCAAUGGCCCAGAAUUGCUCAUUACGCCACAACUCCUCGAGGCCAAUACCUGACCACUUCACUUCAAGGAGUGAAAUGAGAGUGAGUGUGACAGUGAUGACAAGGAGGUAGCAGAGGAAUGCAAUAUUUAGGCUUUGAACAAUGAAUUGCCCAGUGAAGAGGGACAAAGCUGGGAGGAAACAGUAGACCACAAGGAAUAUGGAGGUAAAAGGGUAGACUCCAACAUUGAAGUAUGCCACACGUUGGAGGAAUUUGAGGCGCGGACUUGCUAGAGCGGGAUUGUUCCUGGAGAAGAAGAUUUCAACUGAACCUGUUGCCCAUCGAAGUACCUGAUGUAGACGAUCUGUGAGAUUGAUAGGUGCAGUGCCACGAAAAGCGUCUCUUUUUGUGAUACAAUAGACAGACCUCCAUCCACGAUUAUGCAUACGAUAACCUGUGACCACAUCUUCUGUCACUGAUCCAUAGAUCCACCCUACUCUGUCUCCCCACUCUGUCUUGUCCUCAUACCUGCAUUCACAUACAGUGUACAUAUACACUUGAAACUAGUUCUUUUUAUGCGCUUUGAUCUGCUGAAGAAAAGUUCUAUUUGCUAAUUGUCCAUUGUCCACGAGUAAGAAUCUAUUUGCAGCAAGAGUAAAUAGAGGCUGCUAAGUGUUGUUAAAAAUGAUAGUCUAACAGGCAAAACUGAGUAUAUAAUUACCAACAAGAGAUAACGGCAAUAGCCUCAGCUACAGUUGGAGCAUCAAGAGGGGGACGUGCAAUGAUCAGUGCACCUGGAGGCCGUCCGUUCUUUACAGAAAUGUGAUCAGCAAGUGGUCUUCCUUGAUACUCAGCCACUGCUAUAGAGUCAACAAACAGAGUGGAAUUCCCAAACUUCUCUGGCACGGCCAAGUCAGGAUGUGCUGUCAGGGGCUGCGACUCAUCCUCCUCAGCUUGUGACCUAACCUUUUUAGAUGGAGCCUUGUUUUGUCCAAACACGCCCGAGUAUUCAUUUGCCCGUGGUGGGUGGAAUCCAUAGAGUGCAUACCGACGAAACAUGCAACCAGUUCCAACAUACACUGGACCUUGAAGACCAUCCAAUGCCCGCAUGUUCCCUGAUGCAUGCAGAGUUACAGUUUUUGAUAUUUUGUUUGCUUAUAUAGAAUUUUACGAGUUUAAGACAUCAUGAAAAAUGAAGCCUCCACUGGGAUAAAGCUUCUACAGGUUGGUUCUUAUCAUGGUUAUUUCUGUGUUGCUUUUCAAUUCAUCUAUGAGGUUUUAACUCUCAUGCCUUUCCUUUUUUAUCAAGAAGUUCAUCAUCAUAAUAGAAUUAUGAGCUGGAUCUCUGCCUUCUUACAUUAAAGCUUUCUUAUGGGGGACAUAAUUUUACCUUUUGGAGAAAUGCCUCUUUAUCUUUGGAUUCAUCGUAAGGUAACACUUGUUGGAAGAAAACCAUUGCAUGCAUCACAAGUAUCUUAAGCACAUAAAGCUGAUUUAAUAUACUUACAAAUCAUAUAUUGAUUACAAAAGCCAUAUUGUUUUUCUAUUUUCUUAGUUUUUGACUUAGAGGAACUGAAUCCAAAUGCAUACAGUUACAGAACUUUAUUGCAUAAAGAUAGUACUUGUUACUUUUGAUGUGUAUUUGCCAUCAAGUUUGUUUAGUGUUAAUUGAUAUACAUUUACUUGGUCUAGUUCAGGUUUCACGUAAGUCUCAAGACAGAAUUGUAAACCUACAGAUGUUUCCUCUUCUUGUUUUUAUGCAGUUUUUGUUAACUUGGAUUGAAUGCUUAACUCGAAAGGACAUGGAAGGGAUACUAGACGGUUAUACUGGAAGAGUAUCAGGAUAGAAAACGUGUUUGAGCUAAAAUGAACUCUAGUUAUGUCCUUACAAACUUAUCCAGUGGAAAGUCAGUUGAAAUAAUCUUACCAUCAAAAAAGACAGUGUUGUGAUUUGCGUAUCUAUCUGAGGGAUCAAUUCCUUCAAAUCUUUGUGGGAACUGUACAUAGCAGACACGGUCACCACCACGGUCCAUCAUGUAGCAUAUGCCUUCCCUCAUUGCCAUAGAGUUAUAGAUGUAAUGGUCACAGUCCAAGUUAAGAAUAAAUGGUCCAUUGGAAAGUAUUGCAGAAGCUCUGACCAAGGCAUUCAUGGCUCCAGCCUUCUUAUUAUGAUCAUAGCCUGGUCGUUUCUCUCGAGAGACAUAGGCAAACAUGGGAAGUCGUAUAUCAACACCACUAAAGUCCAACCUCUUUUCAUCUGGAUGACCCAUUACAGGAUCAUGUUCUGGCACCUUGCUCAUUAUCUGUAGGAAGGAAGAUUAUGUGAAUUAUAUGUGACUUGACUUUAAUAGGCAGUGUAUAGAUCAGGAUUUCCUCUUAGAAUAAAAGAUAGCUAUCAAAUCGGGAGUUUGAGAACAAAGAAACCACCGAAAUGGUUAGAACUUCAUGUCAUGUGUGACAUAUUACUGUCUCUGCAUUCUAAUUGAAAACAGUUUGAUUGCAUAUGAAACUUCCUCUUUAAUCUCUUUUGUACACUCUGUCUCUCUAUUUGCUUAUCAAUAGAUGUAUUGAAACUGAACGUGCAAAAUGUGUUCUAUGGUUGAUUUACUGUAAGAUAACUACGUAGAAAAGUUUUACAUGGCCACCUGCAGAAUUCCGGCAUGAUCACCCUUUGAGUGAUCGGCUGUUGGUGUGAGCCAUGUUCCUGGCCAAUGAGUUCCAUCUGCCAUCCAUGUGGCCUUGGCAACAUUGGCCUUAUCUGUAGCACCAUUUGUCUCUGCAUUUAGCUUCUUCUCCUUUGAAUUGUACAAUUCACACCUUUUCCGUAUAACUUCAGGCAGACCAUUGAUCCUGACCUUGAAUUCAUCGUACUCCCUCUUGAUCCACCGGCGGUCCUUGACAAAAUCAGGGCGCUUCUUGUUUUUGGUAGGAUCAGUUGUCUGACUGAAGUAACUCUCUGGAUUCCUUGGUUCAAUAUUGUGCUUCCUGCAGAACGGUACCCAAACCUGUCGAAUUUAAAAACUCUUCAGGACGAUACAAAAUGUAUCUGGACAUGCAUAUCCAUAGUGCAUGUUCAUUACUAGAUUCAUUAAUCUUCGAAUGAAGAGAAUGAGAGAGAAAAAUGUUUCAUCCUUUAGCAAGUUCUCUAUAUUUUUGGAUAUGUGCUUGUGUAUUGUGCACAUGCAAAGGAAAUAAGUACAAGAAAAUCAUGCAUUUCUUUAAAUUGACAACAAUGUUUAUCUAGCAUGUUUCGUACAAGUAUAUUUGGCUCUACGUGUAUUCAGAGGCUUUAGGCAAUAGUAUCUGCAAUCUUACAUGCUCAUGUAUCCCAGAAAGCAAGUAGAUGCAAUGCUCAAUUUCAUACAGACCUCAGCAAAGUUGACAGUCUCAGCCAUGGCCUCAAAUGUGAGUAUGGCACCACCGUCAUCUGAAAUGUAGAUUGAGACUUUCUCAACAGGAUAUUCAACUGCAAGGAUGGAAAGGAUGGUAUUUGCAGUAAACAGAGGAGGCUCUUUUUCAGGAUCAGCUGUUGAGAUGAACACAUCAAUGCCAGGGAGGUCAGAUCGGCCAUGGGGAUUGGAGGGAGAAGAUGACUCAAACUUCUCUUUUAGGGCUGCAAGGUCAGCUGUUCGGUUGAUAGGAUUGAACUUGGGAAGUAUAUCAAGCACCCACGAGAACGCAAACCAUAUCUCACAUACAAUGGAUAUACCCCAUAGCCACAUUGCUUCUCGAUUAGGAUUUCGUACUCGCCAUCCAAGGAAGAGGAAGAGUGUUAUUAGACGGACCACUAUCAAUAACCUGUAUUUACAAAAUUUUGGUUAGACUUGAGCCAACAGCUUUUUCUUUGUCGAGUUGUUUUAUAAAGCAGUGUGGUAGGAUGACCACGAGAAAGGAGUGGAAGGAAAAUGGUACAAGCUUCUCACACAAAAAAUUUUACCAGGAAGUGUUUCUCAAUCCCUCUAGACCUGCAAUUUUUGCUGUUAUAUUAUCGCAAUUGGGGUCAUGAUCCCCAUUAAAACCUGACCAUUCUUGAAUCCCUUUUGGAAUCUAAGUCCUUCCAGAUUGUAUGUUCCAUCUCACUCCAGACUUUACCAUCGUGGGCUUUCUUCAAUAAUGGAAACUUUGCUCAUUUCUACUGGUUUGGAGGUGUCAAAACUAUUUCACUCUUUUUCAAUACCUUGGAGUGAUUAGGCAAAGGCGAUAAUGAUUCCCAACCAUGAGCAAAAUUUACUAGGUGAGUUAAAGACUUGCCAAAGUCAUUUUUCAUCUGAUCAAGACUUGCAGUGAGUUUCAGCUCAUUUUACUACCAAGUCUCAUCCCUUUGUGGAUGAUUUACUGGCAGGUUGAACCAUGAUUUCAAGGCAUAACUAGUUCAAAAAGGACACCUUGAAAUAACAAGGCAACCCUGCAAUUUGUACCCGAAACCAUUUACCACGCAAUAAAAAAAAAACCUCCAUGUGUCCCCUCAUAAAAAAAGAAAAGGAAAAGAAUGAAGAAAGUAAAUUAAAAGUUUUUCAUGCCAUUUUAGUGCAGCUACUCUUGACUCGAGACUUAAACAAAACAUUUUAAACAUCAUAAUCAAGCCAUCAAUUCUCCAGAAGAAAGGGGUAGAAGAAAGGAAGAGGGGUGCACCUGUAAGGACUGAGAAUCCCAGGAGGAACCUUGAUUUUUCUGGUAAGCGGCUUCCAAGGCUUGUCCAAAAAAUCAGACAUGCCUAAACCAGUAUCUUGAUCAUAUGAAUCCUCUUGCCAGAAAGCAUUUCCUAUCCCAUACUUUCCUUUUGUUUCAAACAACCAGCGAUUGUGAUCAAAGUCACCAGUUUGGCUCCUCAACAGCAUUGAUUUGUUAUUACUAGAGUUCAUCAAUGACAUCCUCCUCUCCAACUUUCCACUCGCAUUCCCCAUACCACCGCCACCAAUUCCACCAUAAUUCCCUUCGUCCUCGCUCCCGAUACUGCUCAUUCGUACACGUUGCGACUCAUUGCGAAACCUAGACGCCGUGCCAUAGGGGCUAGGCCCGUCAGGCUUGUCGCCCGAGGCACCGGCAUUUGAUGAUCCUCCAGGUUGGUUGUCCGGCGUUGGUGGCAUGAGUACUGUAUAAUUCAUAAAGUCACUUGAACCUGAAAAUUCUUCUGCCAUAUUUAUCUCAUCGUCCCGGGAGAGGCUCACAACACGGCCACUUGACGUCCUACGUGCAAAUUUUACGGCCUGCGGUGGCCGACUAGCGUCCGACGAGGAUUUUUUUGGGCCUGAUGAAGUCGCCAUUAUGAUAUGAUCUUCUAAGCUCUACUCAAACAUCUACGUACAUGGCUUUUUUUUAAGGUGCCAUGAAAUGAUCAAAGGCAUGUGAGGCAAUUAGGCACCUGCAUGGAUUUCCCCAUGUAUAUUGGAACAAAAUUUACGACAUUAUUGGGUUUAACUGAAACAUAAUCCCAGAUUAAGUUAUGAAAAAUCAAAGGAUCCUAGCUUCACGAAAACAAGAAAAGAUGUUUAACAAAAAAAAUGAAAAAGAAAAAGAAAAAGGCAAUGCUCAAUGGCCUAGAAAACCAAAUUGCUAAAAUUGUGCUUUGGUGUUGUCAAUGGUUCUUAUUUUUCGUGACAAAAUUUUCCUACACAGCCAACAUCCCCCUUCUUUUACGCUAGGCCUCAAAUGUAAAAUUCACAAACAAAAAAAACCAUAAGAAUAGAUUCAAAAGUUUUCAACUAGAGUACCUCGUGCUUACUUGAUUCUGAAAGUCCAUCUAAUUGUAUGAGGAUCUAUACCAAACCAAAGCUAUCAUAUUAGUUUGACUGCAUAUUAGUUCAAGCUACAAUUCUCAAGAAACUUUACUUUGCCUUUUUCUGCUAACAUAUAGUACAUUUUCUUUAAGCUGACAGCCAUUUCAUUAAGGGUUUUUUUUUUAAAUGUUGAAUUAACAAAAGAUUUUGACGGUUGAUGUCUCAUUCACAAAGUUGAAUGCAAAUCUGGAAUUUUAAUCAAAUUCAAGUGAAAAAAAAGAAAUUUGACACAUAUCUGCCCAAGUUAAAGAUUAGCAUGUCUUGCUUCAAUCCUCCUCCACUGUUGUUCCCUUUGCUUUGAUCAUAGCAAGUUUGAGAGCCACUGCAUUGUCCAUCAGACUAUUCCCAACACUGAAUUCCUACAGUGCCCACUGAAAUGAAAAUUCUUUGGGAUAUACUUUCCUGUAUAGAACUCUUUCCAACCCCCUGUACUCCAAACCUUUCAGUUCUCUAGCUGCACUUUUAAUAAUCCAUUUGGUAAUCAAAAGAUUAACUGGAGAAUUAAUAUGACGAUCCCACAUAAAAGCCAUUUUGUAUCAUAUUAUGUGUUUUUGGUAAUCAAAAGAUUGUAGCAACCAAUUUUAACCGAUCUUCCCAAAUGGAAAAUACAUUUCCACUUCUAACAAAAUCUACAAGAAAGAGGAAUAGAUAUGUUGUCAAUGAACGAAGCCCAAAGAUUAAUCUAUAAAAGAGAUUAUAGACCAUUGAUAAAAGGGUGAGAGGUUCUCAGAUACAAGUGUUACAUAAUUCACAAUACAUAAUAAUUUGUAUCAUGAUCUGCAGUGAGUACACUUUUCCCUUCCCGACUUCCUGGAAUUCAACUUAAAUGCUUGUGAUAUGAUCUUAAGUAAGCCAGAAUUACAUAUGAAUUUUCUAUGCAACCAAUCAAAUGCUAAACAUAUGUAAUUUUGACAAACAUUUGAUAUCAGAGUAUCACAGAUCAACCCAAGGACGAAUCUCA